This 159999-nucleotide long non-coding RNA is filed under the name Populus tremula. Its description in RNAcentral is "long non-coding RNA (PTRE_LNC001639)". Lineage: Eukaryota; Viridiplantae; Streptophyta; Magnoliopsida; Malpighiales; Salicaceae. The record is from RNAcentral.
UUUGCAGUUCUUCAAAUUCAACGCAACAAGUCCACUUUGUUCCCCAAUUGAUUGGGGAAGCUCUUCAACAGCAGUCUCAUUUAAAUUUAAAUAUGUCAGUUUCCCUGCAGUCUCUGGGCACUUCUUGAGAUUUGAACAACCAGAAAGGUUAAGACUCUUCAGACAUCUUGAAUUAAUUCUACUGGGAAGAUUGAUUAGGCUUGUGCAGCCUCUCAAAUCUAAAUCAUUAAGCUUGUCCAGAUGCUGUAUAGAUAAAGGAACCUUAACCAAACUUGUACAGAAUUGAAGAUUCAGUCUCUCAAGGUUUCUGGACUUUGAAAGGUCUGGCAGGGAAGUUAUGUGCUCACAAUUGCUGAGGUUGACAUCUUUUAAAUUGACGAGAUUCUGAAGCAAAAUGAAAUCAACAGAAAGAAAUUACAGUUCAUACCACACUUAAUUUCAAAGCAAGAACUACGCAUGCAUAGAUUUCUUUUAAAAUACCUGGUCUCCUCUCCACAGUUGCUUAACCUUGCUAGAUGAUAGGUUAAGUUCAACAAGGUUCUGUGGAUGAAAAUCGCGAGGCAAAGAUGUCAAAGGGUAUCCAUCCCAAUGGAGAUACCUCAACUCUUCAGAAAGAGACUCGAGGCCAUGAGGAAGGUGCACUCUGCAUUUAUCUCCAGUUUCAGAAUUAUAAAUUUUUAGCAGUCUAAGUUUAUACAUCCUUGCGAAGGCUGUAGAACUCAACUCAAUUUCUCUUAUUUUUGAAACAUCCAAGAAUAUCCCUUCAACUUUUCCAGUUCCCUGAAAACCAGUGAAGGUGAAAGCAAGUUUGAAGUAAGAUUUUAAACUUACUAGUAAAACCAUAUUGCAUUGCAUAUGAAAAGGAAAACUUUAGUGUAUAUGAAUCUCACCAGGUCAAAACUUUAGGACUCCACAAUCUGCUCUGUCUUCCUAGCUCGUCAGAGAUUCUUUUCGAACAACUUCAUGGGCCAUUUCUUGCAAAGAUCAUGCAUUUCAACCUUGUCAUCUGAAAUUUUAAUGAGACACCUGUCAAAAACACUAAAUCCAAUAUCUGUUUUGAAACCGCAGCCAUCUAGUAUCCGCUUUACAAAAUCAACUCGAUGCCCUCUAAAGAAACAUGCAAUGUCAAGAAAUAUACUCUUCUCUUCACUAUCAAGUGCUUCAUAACUUAUUCUCAACACACUAUGAACUUUUUGCCGUGUUAGUUUUUCAUCCUUGUUCAAUGCACUUUCCCAUUCUUUUGUCGUUCUGCCAAAUAGAAACGACCCUAAGACUUUAAGAGCUAAUGGAUUCCCUUUAGCGUAAUUUAUUGCCCUCACAGACAGCUCCAUAUAAUUGUAUGGGAGCUGGUUAUCCUUAAAUGCAUGCAAACUAAAGAGAUGAAGGGCUUCCCGGUAAUUCAGUCCCUCAACCUCAAAUAUUUUGUCUGCAUAUUUCUUAAGGACCUGUUUAUCUCUAGAUGUUAGGAUAAUUCUACUUCCUGGACCAAAAUCACAUCCUCCAUGUAACAUUUCAAUUUGAUCUACAUCAUUCACAUCAUCGAAAACAAUCAGAAUCUUUUUACGGCAGAUCCUGUCUUUUGUUAAAUAAUAUUUAUGUUGUCUUAUUUAUUAAGGGUAGAAUAGUACUUUCAGUUUAACCUAUAUAUACUUUAUUUGUAAUUAGGUUAAGUUAAUGCAUUCAUAAUAUACAGAUUAUUCAGAAUUCUAGCCUCCUUUUUGUGUUUGAUCUCAAUAACUUUAACAUGGUAUCAGAGCUGAUUUUAUGAAACGAAGCUUAAUCCCAAAUACAGCUUCGCGGAUCCAACUUCUGCAAAGGUUAAUUUUUUUUUUGAGUGAUAUUUUGUCUUCCGCUUCUGCAAAAUUAGGUAUUUCGACAGUCUCUGCAAUUAUUUUGGUAUUUCGACAGUUUCUGCAAUUAUUUUGGUAUUUCGUCUUCCCUUCAGCUUCUGCAAUUUGGUAUCUGCGUUCAGUUUUUGCAAAUUUGUUUUGUGUUUUGGGAGUAAUCGUAUAAUUUCGAGAAGAUAUUUGUUUAGUUUCUGCAAUUGAGUAUUUUGUCUUCCGCUGCUUUUGCAUUCUGGUUAUCUGUGAUUGUUGAUUAUGGCUACUGAAAGAGAUGAUUCGCUUCAGUCUGUGAGUGUGAGGUUGGAUGGGAAGAACUAUUCAUAUUGGAGUUAUGUAAUGAGAAAUUUCCUUAAGGGUAAGAAGAUGUGGGGGUAUGUUAGUGGAACUUAUGUGAUACCUAAGAAUAUUGAGGAGGGGGAUGCUGGUUUGAUAGAUACAUGGGAAGCAAAUAAUGCAAAGAUCAUUACUUGGAUCAACAAUUCUGUUGAGCAUUCAAUAGGUACGCAGUUGGCGAAAUAUGAGACAGCAAAAGAGGUUUGGGAUCAUCUGCAAAGGUUAUUCACACAAUCAAAUUUUGCAAAACAGUAUCAAUUAGAGAAUGACAUACGAGCUCUUCAUCAGAAGAAUAUGAGUAUUCAAGAGUUUUAUUCUGCUAUGACAGAUCUUUGGGAUCAAUUGGCUCUUACAGAAUCGACAGAAUUAAAGGCAUGUGGUGCCUAUAUUGAGCGUAGAGAGCAGCAAAGAUUGGUACAGUUUUUAACAGCACUUCGCAGUGAUUUCGAAGGACUUAGAGGUUCAAUUCUGCAUCGUUCUCCACUGCCUUCUGUUGACUCUGUUGUCAGUGAGUUAUUGGCUGAAGAAAUACGUUUUCAGUCUUAUUCUGAAAAAGGAAUUCUUUCUGCUUCAAAUCCUUCUGUACUAGCAGUACCUUCUAGGUCAUUCUCUAAUCAUCAGAAUAAGUCUCACACAAGGGUUGGCUUCGAUGAGUGCAGCUUCUGUAAGCAGAAAGGUCAUUGGAAGGCUCAGUGUCCUAAGUUGAGACAUCAGAAUCAAGCUUGGAAGCCUGGCAAUCAGUCACAAUCUAAUGCUCAUAGACCACCUCAGGGUUAUAAACCACAACACCACAAUACUGCAGCAGUAGCUUCCUCGAGUUCUAUUACCGAUCCUAAUAUUUUGGCUGAGCAAUUUCAGAAGUUUCUCUCCUUGCAGCCACAAGCAAUGUCCGCUUCUUCUUCCAUAGGUCAGUUGCCUCAUAGUUCCUCAGGUAUGUCACAUUCUGAAUGGGUCUUGGAUUCUGGUGCUUCUCAUCAUAUGUCUCCAGAUUCCUCAUCUUUUACCUCUGUAUCCCCUUUGUCCUCCAUUCCUGUUAUGACUGCUGAUGGCACUCAAAUGCCCUUAGCAGGUGUUGGUUCUGUUGUCACACCUCACAUGUCUCUCCCUAAUGUUUAUCUUAUUCCACAACUCAAAUUGAAUCUUGCGUCUGUUGGUCAAAUAUGUGAUUCUGGUGAUUAUUUAGUCAUGUUUUCUGGUUCCUUUUGUUGUAUACAGGAUCUGCAGUCUCAGAAGCUGAUUGGGACAGGCCGUAGGGAGAAUGGACUAUAUAUUUUGGAUGAGUUAAAAGUGCCAGUUGCUGCUGCUGCCGCUGCUGCUACUACAGUUGAUUUGUCUUCCUUUCGUUUGAGUAUUUCAUCUUCUAGUUUUUAUUUAUGGCAUUCCCGUCUAGGUCAUGUUUCGUCUUCUCGUUUGAGAUUUUUGGCAUCCACAGGAGCUUUAGGAAAUUUGAAAACUUGUGACAUUUCUGAUUGUAGUGGAUGUAAAUUGGCAAAAUUUUCCGCCUUACCUUUUAAUCGAAGUAUUUCUGUUUCUUCUUCACCAUUUGAUUUGAUUCAUUCUGAUGUAUGGGGACCUUCUCCUGUUGCCACAAAAGGAGGGUCUCGAUAUUAUGUCUCUUUUAUUGAUGAUCAUACUCGUUAUUGUUGGUUUAUUUAAUGAAACAUCGUUCUGAAUUCUUUGAGAUAUAUGCAGCUUUUCGAGCUCUUAUCAAAACUCAAUAUUCUACUGUGAUCAAAUGCUUUAGGUGUGAUUUAGGUGGGGAAUACACUUCUAAUAAAUUUUGCCAAUUGCUUGCCCUAGAUGGAACCAUCCACCAAACUUCAUGUACAGAUACUCCUGAGCAAAAUGGUGUUGCUGAAAGAAAACAUAGGCACAUUGUCGAAACUGCUCGUUCUCUCUUGUUGUCUGCUUUUGUUCCUAGUGAGUUUUGGGGAGAAGCUGUUCUUACUGCUGUAAGCUUGAUUAAUACAAUUCCAUCUUCUCAUAGUUCGGGUCUAUCUCCUUUUGAAAAGUUAUAUGGGUAUGUCCCUGAUUAUUCCUCAUUUAGAGUCUUUGGUUGUACUUGUUUCGUUCUUCGUCCUCAUGUAGAACGAAGUAAGCUAUCCUCUCGAUCCGCUAUUUGUGUCUUUUUGGGCUAUGGUGAAGGUAAAAAGGGUUAUCGUUGUUUUGAUCCAAUAACUCAGAAACUUUAUGUGUCUCGUCAUGUUGUCUUCCUUGAGCAUAUACCUUUCUUUUCUAUUCCAUCCACUACUCAUAACCUGACUAAAUCUGAUCUUAUUAGUAUAGAUCCAUUUUCUGAGGAUUCUGGUAAUGAUAGCUCUCCCCAUGUUCGAUCAAUUUGUACUCAUAACUCUGCAGGUACUGGUACUUUACUCUCUGGCACACCUGAAGCUCCAUUCUCAUCUACAGCCCCUCAAGCUUCAUCUGAGAUUGUGGAUCCACCUCCACGUCAGUCCAUCCGUAUUCGUAAGUCCACAAAACUACCAGAUUUUGCUUAUUCUUGUUAUUCUUCAUCAUUUACUUCCUUUUUAGCCUCUAUUCAUUGUCUUGUUGAGCCCUCUUCCUAUAAAGAGGCAAUUCUUGAUCCGCUUUGGCAGCAAGCUAUGGAUGAGGAACUUUCUGCAUUGCAUAAGACAGAUACUUGGGAUCUGGUUCCUCUACCUCCUGGUAAGAGUGUUGUUGGUUGUCGUUGGGUGUAUAAGAUCAAGACUAAUUCUGAUGGGUCUAUUGAGCGAUAUAAAGCUAGGUUGGUUGUCAAAGGAUAUUCUCAGCAGUAUGGUAUGGACUAUGAGGAGACAUUUGCUCCGGUUGCAAAAAUGACUACUAUUCGUACUCUUAUUGCCAUAGCUUCGAUUCGCCAAUGACAUAUUUCUCAACUUGAUGUUAAAAAUGCCUUCUUGAAUGGAGAUCUUCAAGAAGAAGUUUAUAUGGCACCCCCUCCUGGUAUUUCACAUGACUCUGGAUAUGUUUGUAAGCUUAAGAAAGCAUUAUAUGGUCUCAAACAAGCACCCCGUGCUUGGUUUGAGAAAUUCUCUAUUGUGAUCUCGUCACUUGGCUUUGUUUCUAGCAGUCAUGAUUCUGCUCUUUUGUUCCUUCUUCAUUGCAGAUUGCAGAUUUCUUUACCAAGGCGCAUUCCAUAUCUCGUUUUCGUUUUCUAGUUGGCAAACUCUCGAUGCUUGUAGCUGCCGCAUCGUGAGUUUGAGGGGAGAUGUUAAAUAAUAUUUAUGUUGUCUUAUUUAUUAAGGGUAGAAUAGUACUUUCAGUUUAACCUAUAUAUACUUUAUUUGUAAUUAGGUUAAGUUAAUGCAUUCAUAAUAUACAGAUUAUUCAGAAUUCUAGCCUCCUUUUUGUGUUUGAUCUCAAUAACUUUAACAUCUUUAAUGAAAGGGUGUCCAAUACGUGGAGUGCGAAUAUGUAGAUUUUCUUCCUCUGUUAUUUUAGAGAAAAGUUCAUCUCGCAUACGAAAUAAUCCUCCAUUCUUUUCUGAUUCCCUUACAUUUGCAAGAAAAUAGUGACCUUCAUAAUCCCUUGCGAUCUUGUUGAAAAUAUCUCCAGCAAUGGUUGUCUUACCACUACCACCCAUUCCCCAAAUUCCUACAAAACAAACCUCCGGUAACUGUGUGCAUAAUAAGGCUUCGAUUUGCUUCAUACGUGAAUCCAUUCCAACCAGGCCCUUCAAAUCACUUGAGGAUGCAUAAUUCAAUUUCUUCAAAAUAUGAAGUACAAUUUGUUCCACGAGUCUCGACUCAGGCCUGCCAACAUGGAGGCGAACAGAUAUGUCAAAUAGUACCCCAAAGAAACACAAUCUUUUCUUGAGGUUGGAACUUGUGUGACGGAUUCCAAUUGCCAUACAUUAUAACACCACAUACAUGUGAAAUCUAAUCCCAAUCACUUGCAAGUAAUUCUUUUUCUAAAUUUACAGAUGCAUGGAAAAACUAUACUUUAAACUGCUCAUUUGGUAACAUUUCGAAGUCACAUACCAUAUUAUAAAGCUCAAAACAUAUGCUUCUGAAUCCAAAAAUAUGAUUAUCAACUUCAAGAAAUUUUAAUUGCUAUAAAUAAAUUUUAAUUGCUAUAAUUCCAGAAAAAAAAGGUUGAAGAUGAGAAUCUAUAGUUACCUAGUAACCUGUGAAUCCCAUCCGGAUAUAUUGGCAGCACUUGUUAAGUCAGCUCUCCACCUUGGAACCUUGUCCAUCUUCUGCUUGAAAUUUCUUUCAAGCUCAGCAAACGCAUUCCCAAAACUCCCUGUCUGUUCGUCAACAUCGGACGGGUCCACAUGAUAGAAAACUGGUAAAACAAUCUGCCCAUAUGCCUUCUUGCAUUCAAGUAUCUUCACCAGUUCAUCCACACACCAUGGAGAAGAUGCAUAGUUUCUUGAGAAUAUUAUCACUGAAAUUCUCGAUUCUUCAAUUGUUCUCAAAAGUGCACCCGUAAUUUCUUCUCCUCUUUCAAGCCCAUCGUCAAUGAAGGUCUUGAUUUUCUUACGACACAAAGCAUCAUAGAGAUGGCUGGUAAAAUUAUUGCGCGUAUCCUGGCCUCUAAAACUAAGGAACACAUCAUACUUCCAUUUAUGAGCAACAGCAGGUGAAGAUUGUUGGUGGGAGGAACCACUGGUGGUGGCUUUAAAACACUCAGAGGGGAUAAAACACGAAGUUUUAUUACAAAAAACAGAAGCUUAACAAUAACAAUAAAGCUUUACAAUACACACCCUCUCUCUCUCUCUAUCUAUUGUUUUUCUCUUCUCUCCACACUUAUAAUAACCUUAGCUUAGAUGCUUAUUUAUACACAAACUCAGUCGGCUCAAAAUUCAACCGUCAUGGUGUGAAAAAUGGUUGGCGGCCAAUGGUGUGAAUGCGGCUAGGCGGUGGCAGCUGGUGGCUGGCGGCUGGUCGGUGACAGCUGGUGGCCGGUGAGGCGGUGGUUGCCUUCCUUGACCUUCUGGAUGUUGAGUUUACUAUUCAACAAAUCUCCCCCUUAAACUCAAUCGAGGGAUGUCAUGCCUAGCAUGUACUUUAAUCUGAUAAAUACUUCUCUUUUCAAUGGCUUUGUGAAGAUGUCUGCAACUUGAUCAUUUGUGUUGCAAGAUAUCAGUUGAACUUCUUCAUUCUUCACAUGUUCCCGGAUAAAGUGAUGACGUGUAUCAAUAUGUUUGCUCCUCUCAUGAUACACUGGAUUCUUUGCCAAUGCGAUUGCUGAUCGAUUGUCAAUAUAAAUCUCCGUAGGAUUUUCUUGAGGAAAUCCCAAAAACUUCAGCAUAUUCCUUAACCAUAUUGAGUGGCAUACGGCUGAGUUGGCAGCUACAUAUUCAGCUUCACAGCUUGAUAACGUGACAAUCGAUUGCUUCUUGGAUGACCAUGUGAAAGAUGUGUCUCCCAUGAAAAAGACAAACCCUGUUGUGCUUUUCCUUUCAUCCAAAUCUCUACCCCAAUCACUAUCCGAGUAGCCUACAAGAUUAAAGUCUUUACUUGAGGUAUAAAACAUACCUUCAUUCAUUGUGCCUUUGAUGUAGCGAAGAAUUCUCUUGGCUGCAUUCAAAUGAGACUGGUCUGGUGUCUCCAUGUAUCUGCUGACGAGUCCGACUCCGUAGAGUAUAUCUGGUCUGGUACAUGUCAAGUACCUUAAGCUUCCUACUAAGCUUUUGAAGUAAGUUGGAUCAACAUUUCCAACCUUACUCUUCCUCAAUUCCACUCCAUUCUCAACUGGAGUUGAUACCGGAUUGCAGCUUUCCAUCUUGAACCUUUCAAGAAUAUCUUUGGCGUAACCGCUUUGGGAUACAAAAAUCCCUUCUUCCUUCUGCGUUACUUCUAAGCCAAGAAAAUGUGACAUUAGACCAAUGUCAGUCAUUUCAAACUCCUGUACCAUGCUUGUUUGAAGUCGUCAAACAUGGUAGGGUUGUUGCCGGUGAAUAUCAAAUCAUCAACAUACAGGCACGCAAAUAAGAUGCUGCCAUCUGCUCCUUUCUUCACAUAUAUAGCGUGUUCAUAUGGACAUUUCUCAAAUCCAUUAUCUUGAAAAUACCUGUCAAUUCUGGUAUUCCAAGCACGCGGAGCUUGCUUCAAACCAUAGAGAGCCUUCUUCAACUUGUAUACUUUGCCUUCAUUUUCAGCAUCAAUGUAUCCAAGUGGUUGUUCAACAUAGAUUUCUUCUUCUAGGAAGCCAUUCAGAAAUGCUGACUUCACAUCGAGUUGAUAGAUCUUCCAUCUAUGUUGUGCAGCUAGUGAGAUCAUCAGUCUGAUUGUCUCUAGCCGGGCUACUGGAGCAAAUAUUUCUCCAUAGUCAAUGCCUUCUCUCUGUUUGUAGCCUUUAGCCACUAAUCUGGCUUUGUAUCUUUGCACUUCUCCUUUGGCAUUCUUCUUCGUCUUGUAGACCCAUUUGACACCUAUUGCUUUCUUGUUUUCUGGUAGAUAAGUCAGCUUCCAGGUAUCAUUCUUCUCAAUGGCAUGUAUUUCUUCAUCCAUUGCUGUUAUCCAUUUCUCUUCUGUGACAGCUUCAUUGAAGCUUAAUGGGUCACUAUCUGCAAAGAAACAAAAUAAAUUUGUAUCUUCCAUAACUUGAGUGGCAUCAUACAGCUCUUCAAGAUUCCGCAUCCUUCUUGGUUCUUCUGAUGAGGAUGCUGAUGGUGGUGUUGAUGAUGAUGCUCCUGGUGUAUUCCUCCUGUUGAAUACAGGGAAUCUGUGCACCGGACUUUGUGGUUCAGCUGCUGGCAUAAUCACCGGACUUUGUGGUUCAGCUGCUGGCACAAUCGGUUCUUCUAUAAGUACUGUUGGUACUUCUUCACCUUCAAGGAUCAAAUCAGUGUUGAUCCAUCUGACUGCUUCUUGAUCAUCAUUCCAUGCCCAAGAUUUAUCUUCUUCAAAGAUAACAUCUCUACUCGUAAUCACCUUCUUCGUGAUGGGAUUAUACAGCCUGUAUCCCAUCCUUCUUUCACCAUAUCCGACAAAGAUGCAUUUCUCGCUCUUAUCAUCGAGCUUUCUCCUUCUUGCAUCUGGGAUCUUUGCAUAUGCCACACAACCAAAGACUCGUAGAUGAGUAACACUUGGUUUGUGACCACUCCAUGCUUCUUCUGGAGUGACUCCUUGCAAACUUCUGGUUGGGCAGCGAUUCAACAGAUACACUGCACAUGAUACAGCUUCAGCCCAGUAUUGCUUGGGCAGCUUCUUUGCUUUGAGCAAACUUCUGGCCAUGUCAAGAAUCGUGCGAUUCUUCCUUUCUGCUACACCGUUCAGCUGUGGUGUAUAAGCUGGCGUUUGAUGUCUGAUGCCUUGUUGUGUACAAAGGCUUCAAAGUCAUUUGGCUGUAUAUUCUCCACCUUGAUCAGAUCUUACGGUUCUGAUCGUGUAACCAGUUUGCUUCUCCACAAUUGCUUUAAAAUCUUUAAAACAAUUGAAUACUUCUGACUUCCUCUUCAGAAAGUAUAUCCAUGUCUUUCUACUAAAAUCAUCAGUAAAAGUGAGGAAGUACCUAUUUUGUCCAGUCGACAUAGGCGUAAUUGGGCCACACACAUCUGUGUGUACUAACUCCAGUGGCCUCUUUGCUCUCCAGUUGACUUCUUUGGCAAAACUGGAUCUGUGAUGUUUGCUGAGGACACAACUCUCACAGACUUCAUCUGGAUGAUCAAUGUGAGGCAAACCUUUGACCAUCUUCUUGCUUGCUAGCAUCUUCAUUGUGAAAUUCAGAUGUCCAAGCCUCAGGUGCCAAAGCCAUUCUUCACUGUUGGUGAUGGCGCUCAAACACCUUGUUGCAUCAUACUGGAUGUUCAAAGGAAACAUCCUAUUCUUGGACAUUUUCACGUAGGCCAUUAAUCUCCCAUUGUUGUCUCUAAUUGCCAGAUGACAAUUCUUCGAGUAAAAAUAUAUCCUCUCUCCAACAGUUGACCUAAGCUGAUCAGGUUCUGCUUUAUGGCUGGGACAUAAUAGACAUCGGCGAUGUAGCUGGAAUCGCCAUUCUUCAACUUAACUGGGAUGCUGCCUUUACCUUUGAAUGGAACCUUUGUGGUAUCUCCAAAAGUAACUAGACCUUGCUUGGUCUCAUCUAGAUCACGAAAUAACUCUCGGUAGCCGCACAUGUGAUUGCUGGCUCCAGUAUCUAGAUACCAUAUAUCCUCAUGUUUCUCUCAUGUCCUUGUUGGACAAGAAAUGCAGUUUCUUCUCUAUCAUCCUUUCUGCAUAGUUGGCUUGCUCACGUAUCUCAACGGAGCUUUCCUUCGGCAUUCAGUGCUAUAGUGCCCAAAUUGAUUGCAGCUAUAACAUUUGAUAUUCCUCUUGUCACGGUUAUUGUAACCGCCUCCUCUUCCUCUAGGAGUGAAUGCUUGUUGUCCUCGGCCUCCUCUGGUGGUGUUUCUACCACCUCUUCCUCUGAAGCUUGUAUUCCAAGAUCCUCUUCCUCUUCCUUGGAAUCUAUGAAAUCCUCCUCUGGAUUGUUGACUUCCUGCUUGAGUGGUGUAGCCACUGUUGAAGUCUCCCCUUGCUCAUAUCUGUCUUUGAAAGACAGCUUUGCUUGUAAGGCAUGCUCAAUGGCCUUAUCUUCAUUUCGCAUUACAAUCUUCUGCUCAUGAGCUUGCAAAGAACUCAUAAGCUCAUCCACUGUCAACUUGUCCACUUCCUUGGACUCUUCAAUUGCGACAACAACAUGAUCAAAUUUUGGAUCUAUGGAUCUCAAAAUUUUCUCAAUAAUUCGAGUAUCUAUGAUGGCUUCUCCAUUUCUCCUCAUCUGAUUGACUAUCACCAUAAUCCUUGUAUGAUAAUCAGAAAUAGAUUCUGAGGACUUCAUUCGUAAUAAUUCGAAUUCUCCUCUCAAAGAUUGAAGACGAAUCUUCUUGAUUCUGUCAGCACCUUUGUAUUUCUGUUGGAGAGCCUCCCAUAUAUCAUGUGACGUUUCAGCGGAAGCUAUUAUCUCGAAUGUAUCUUCAUCAAGACCUUGAUAGAUGAUGGUCUUUGCCUUGUUGUCCUUCUUUCUGUUGACUUUCAAAGCUUGCUUCUGUGCCUCUUGUAAAGCAUCUUCUCUUUCUUUGGAUUCUGGUUCAUCAUAACCAGUUUGUACAAUAUCCAAACACUCUUGUGACCCAAGGAAUGCCUUCAAUCUGAUGCACCAACUAUCAUAGUUGUCUUUGGUCAGCUUCGGGAUGAGUGUAUGUGUACCUUCUGUAGUCAUUUUGCUCUUUGAAUGACUAUAUCACCUUCUGGGAGCCGAAUUUGCCAAACGGACACUGUAGAUCGAUCCGGAAUGGUCCAAAUAGUAGGGAACCGGUCUACUUUGUUGAAAUCGGGUCAAAAAUGGGUGAACCGGUCAAAAAACCAAUUCUGUACGGCGGGCGGUUCGCUGGGUUGAACCGGGAAUAUUCUGUGGAAUAUUCGGGGAAUAUUCUGGGAAUAUUCGGGGAAUAUUCGGGAAUAUUCUGGGGAAUAUUCUCUCUCGGCUGCGGCUGGAAUACGGCUCGGCUCGGCGCGGAGGACGGCUCGGCUUGUGGCUCGGCUGGACUCGGCUAUCGGCUCGGCUGGCGCUCGGCUUAGGCGGCUUACACGGCUCGAAUAUGGCGCGCGUGGACGACACUCGUCGUCUUCCUCUGGAGCGCGUGGGUGCGCGUGGGUGACAGUCACCGGAUCUUCAGACGGCGCGUGUGGAUCACCCCGGACUCCGAUCAGGCUGAUUUUUGCGGCAGUGAACUCGUCUUGAUGAGCUCUACACUAUGGAAUGAUCAAAACUUGUUUUUGACAACUUUGAAAUUUCGGAUAUACCCCACAACUCUUCUGUUUUCCGACGAACGGGGCUCUGAUACCAAUUGUUGGUGGGAGGAACCACUGGUGGUGGCUUUAAAACACUCAGAGGGGAUAAAACACGAAGUUUUAUUACAAAAAACAGAAGCUUAACAAUAACAAUAAAGCUUUACAAUACACACCCUCUCUCUCUCUCUAUCUAUUGUUUUUCUCUUCUCUCCACACUUAUAAUAACCUUAGCUUAGAUGCUUAUUUAUACACAAACUCAGUCGGCUCAAAAUUCAACCGUCAUGGUGUGAAAAAUGGUUGGCGGCCAAUGGUGUGAAUGCGGCUAGGCGGUGGCAGCUGGUGGCUGGCGGCUGGUCGGUGACAGCUGGUGGCCGGUGAGGCGGUGGUUGCCUUCCUUGACCUUCUGGAUGUUGAGUUUACUAUUCAACAAAGAUGCCAUAUCAGACAGUUACAGGAUCGUGUCUUCCUCAAUCACUAAGAAUCGAAAUCAAUAACUGCUCUCCUUUUUCUCCUAAAGACAUAAAAAGAGCACCCACUUCAACAGCUGAACAUUCAUUGAGAGAAAUUGAAGUCUAAAAGUUCAAAAACCCACACAACAUAUAUUUAUUAGAAAAUUCCUCAAACUCUUAACGAUGGACAUAUACUAGCUUAAUUUGAUAUGAUCUAUCUUAAUUUGAUCACUCGUCACUUGCUACCAAUGCUAGCUUCCUAUUACUUUCAUUGCAAGAACAGUAACUAGGUGAGCAGAACGAAUUACAGAUGGCAGAAUUAAUAUGUUCAUGAAACAAACUUAUCAAACUCGUAUAUGUAAUCUUGAACAAAGAAGACGCAUGAACCAGAAAGACUUACGAACAGAUCAUAAGAACAGUUGACUUGUGUUUAGCAUCAGCAAACAAGACGAAGAAGAAGCUGCAUAUUGUUGAUGAUAAAGACGAUUUUUCUUGUCUAUUGCCUUCAAGUAAAUCUUUACAGACAAUCUGAUCUCAUCGUACUCUAAAUGUAAUCCCAGUUUUUGAUCAAGAAACAGGUGAAUGAGAGAAGACUUUGGGGUAAUCAAUACCAAGUACAUUAAUAGCUAGUCUAUCACAUCUUAGUCUUGUAUUUCAAAUAGACAACCAUGUUAACAUCAUCUCGCAGUAUUAAAUCCAUGUUAAUUUUCUUGGUGAGGCCAAAUUAGCAAACUCAACUCUGUCUUGCAUCAGCUAAAAGUCAACGCGUUAAAAGGGGUUUAAUAUAACACUUUAUUUUUAUUUUUUUAAAAAAUAAAGUUUGGCUUGGGGGGGGGGGGGGCGCUUUGUUAAUCUUGAUUAUUUAAUAACUAUCUCUCGUUAAUCUGCCGUUGUGAUAGGAACGCUCUUUCACUUGCACCACAAGAAAACCAUACUUUCUCCACAAUCAUUAAUUAAUGAGCCAACAAAGACAAGAAAAACAUAACUACAAAUUGAAACCACCGCCCCCACCUCAAACCCAUUGCAAAGUGUCAAUAAUGUAAAAUCAAAACAUUCAAAAGGUAUUUUUGUACAAUAACACAAUUCAAAACGAAUGCAAACUAAUAUUCUAGGGCCUGUUUUGAAUUGUGGUUAGAGUUGCGGUUCAAAGUAUUUUUUAUUUAAAAAUAUAUUAAAAUGAUGUUUGUUUUUUAAUUUUCAACAGGCUAAAAAAACAUAACUACAAAUUGAAACCACCACCCCACCUCAUACCCAUUGCAAAGUGUCAAUAAUGUAAAAUCAAAACAUUCAAAGUGUAUUUUUGUACAAUAACACAAUUCAAAACGAACGCAAACUAAUAUUCCAGGGCCUGUUUUGAAUUGUGAUAGCAAUUGCGGUUCAAAGUAUUUUUUACUUAGAAAUGUAUUAAAAUGAUGUUUGUUUUUUUAAUUUUUUAAAAAAUAAUUUUUGAGAUCAGCACAUAAAAAAAAUCUUAAAAUAUAUAAAAAAAUUAACAAAAAAAAUUGAAUUUUAAAAAAACAUGGAUUCAAAACCACGUUCCCAAAUGUGGCCUAACCGUUAUCAAGAGCACCUCCUCUCCCUAUCCCUUCUCCUUCUCCCCUAUUCCAAUUAAUAUGCUAAUAUAAAAAAAAUUAAAUAUUCAAAAUAUUAUUUUAAAAUAUUUUUAAGUAAAAUAUACCUUUAAAAAUCACCUUAUAUAACAGCACCAAUCUUGCAUUUUUUUUUGCCUUUUGGAUUCAACCCAUAGGCAAUGACUUUAUCUUUUGCAAAUUUAAUAAUUGUCAUAUUUGAAAGUUCAAUCCUAGUCAUUACAAAAAUAAAGAUAAAAAUAAAAAAUAAAAUAGAGACGUAACCCAAAAGAUCUUAGCCAUGCAUGAUUGGAUCUUAGCCUAACCGAGUUUCAUGGAACUCAACUAGACCUGGCUAAGGGAAGACGGUGAAAGGGAUGAGAGCUCGGUUGGGCAUAAUAGGCCUAACCUAGUUGUGGGGCCCAGUCGAUAUAUAUGUUAUAUUAUCCUAUCAUUAGUUUUAAUUUACUAUAAAAUUUAGUAACCUUCUCUAAUUUCCACAACAAGGGAUACAAAGAGUUUUUUUACAGAAUGUGCUCGGUUGGGCACAUUCUGUUUUUUAUCUAAUUAUAAAGAAAAACUUGUUUAGUUAAUAAAAAUUUUUCCUAAAUAUAAUUCUAUUUCAAAUCUUGAUUUUAUAUAAUAAUUUAUUUUUUAUUCAUAGAUAUUUGUUUAUAAUUUAUUUUACAUGUAAAAACCUGUUUUAUAGUAGUUUUAACAAAACAUAUAUGGUUUAAAUCUAUAUUUUUAAAACUGCAUUUAAAAGUUUUUUUUUUCUCUAAACCGUCACCGUAAAAACUACACACUAAAAAACUCUCUCUUUCUUUGUUUUUUUUUUUUUUUAUUAAAUCUCAAGGAAUAUUUCAAAAUUGGAUCAAAUUUAAUCAAGGUUUGUUGUUCUAUAUAAUAUAAUUAAAAAGAAAAGGAGAAAAUUAUAAUUGACUUUCUUGUAUUAUCUUAUUGAAAAUUAUUGUUGGCUCUAUUGCAUAUAACGCAAUAAUAUGCUUUGUAGUCCAAAACAAAGCUGCUUUUUAGGUUGAUCCAUGUAAGUAAAUAACAAGAGUAACUUGGACGGAUGGUAUUUUGCAAUGAAGCAACAGACGGAUGGUUUUGUAAGGGAUUGAACGUGCGUGCGUGCGAGCGAGCGGGCGAGCGAGCGAGAGUGAGAGAGAGAGAGAGAGACCUCACUGUAAAGUCUUUUGGCAUAUAGCUGAAUUUUCAAGAGAGCGUAUGCCAUGAUAUUGUUGGGUGCAGUCUCGCAACAUGAGACAAUUAGUUGAAUUCAAAAAUGUUUCCAUCAACUGUAGUUGAUGAGCUUGGGACUGUUCUCAGAGAUGUGCAGCUGUGUGCAUCUAGUUUUGCAAGCCGUGGUGGAAACUUGGUGACAUUUGAGCAGCCAGAGACAUCAACAAUAACAAUAGACUUCAACAAACAAAUACUGUCUGGAAGAUUCCCAAGUUGUUUACAGUCCCUCAAAUUCAAAGCAACGAGUCUACUCAGAUGUCCAAUAGAUUGGGGAAGUUCUUUGAUUGCAGUCUCAUUGAAAUUCAAAUACAUCACAUGCUCUGUAGUCUCUGGGUACAUCUUGAGAUUUGAGCAGCCAUAGAGGUUAAGAGCCUUGAGAUAUUUCGAUUUAAUGAUUCUUGGAAGACUCAAAAGGCUUGUGCAGCUUCUCAGAUCCAAAUCAACAAGCUUCUCUAGAAAUUGAAUAGAUGAGGGAACCACUUUCAGAGUUGUACAAAAUUGAAGAUUCAAUCUCUCAAGAUUUUUAGCCUUUGAUAGGUCUGGAAUUGUAGUUAGAUGCUCACAAUUACUAACGUUGACCUCUGUUAAAUUCACAAGAUUCUGCACCAUCAUUGUAUUGAUAACAAAAAAACAUUAGUAUCUGUACAUUUUAAAAUUCAUUUGAAAGAGGAGAAAGAUUACAUUUUAUUUUAUCCUUCAAUAUUUUAUUUAUUAAAAAUUAAGGUCUUAUUCUUUCUUCAUUUUUCUUUCAAUGGGGUUAUUUCAUUCUCAUUUUAUUUUUUUUUGUGAUCAAAUAAAAUCAUUGAGACCUUUUACAAUUAUUAAAAUGAUUUUUUCCAUGAUAUUGUUAAUCCUUUAUUUUUUGAAGUUAGUCAUUGUCAAAAGAUUUUUAGUUCAUUUUUUAUUGUUGUUGUUUUUUUUUAUUAUAUUAUCAAAUUAAUCCAACUGGGUAAAUAACAAAAAGGAUGUUAAAGUUAUGUCACACUCUACUAAAAUAAGAGAUUAAACCUAAGAACUACUAAAGCAGCUUUCUAAUUAAUUAAUGAGGUUAUGGAAACCUUUACAAAAGGUUUAAGCUCACGUUUCACAGCGAAGAUAGAUUAGUUUUCUUGUUAGAUGAUGAUUAAUAUGUAGUAGACUAGCGAAAAAAAAAAAAAAAACCUUUUUCUCAGGGUCUUCGAAUAAGGACACUAUAGAGGUUUGGUAUAAAAGGAUGAAGAAGUAGAAGAAGAAGUGUUUAGAAUCCUUUACCCUAAGGUUCAAUAGUUUUUAUAUAUCUAUAAGCUCUCACAAGUUGCUUAGAGUUAUGGGUAUAAAGAACAUUCUUCCUGCCACAUAUGAUUUUAGAUUGUCAUUAAUAUGAGUUUGUGUUAAUAUAAUAUAUAUAAGCAAUUUUCCUGUAAUUAGCUUUUUAAAAGCAUUUUUAAAACAUAAUAGCUUAAGUGUAACCUUGAGGAGUGUAUAUUAAUUGAUCAGAUUUUAAAUUUUUUUUUUUUAAAUCACCAGUUCACGUCUUACAAACCUAAAAUCAUUUAUGUAGACUUAAAGUAUAAUUCAAUAAUAAAUGAAGUCUAAGAAAUACAUUAAAAAAUAAUGGUGAAUGAAUAUCCUAAAAGCACUCGUUGCUUUUCCCUUAUCAAUAUAACUUUUAAAGUCGUUUAAUAAUUUUGAUUACAUAUAUUACCCUGCAAAGACUUUUUAUGAUGGUUUACUGUUAAUAUGAAUAUAAAUAGUAAAGAAUCUUAAUAUGUAUUUUUAGUUAGUUUAUAAUAAUUUUCUUCUUGUUAUGUGGCAGUGGCACACGUGAUAUGAUGCAGUUUGCAGUUCGACAGUGGAUGACAACACUUAAUUUUUUAUUUUUUACAAACAAUAGGUGGUCUGUAAUUUAAAAAACAAAUAACAUAUCAUAUACCACUUUAAUUCAAAAAACAAUAAAUAGAUUAAGACGAGAUAUUGUUUGUGUGCUCAUAAUAAUAAUAAUAAUAAAUUAUUCAUGAGGAUUCAAUUAACCUCAGUGUUUUAUAAUUAAAAAUUUCAAAUGUAUUUUAAAUUUUUUUUAUCAUGUUUAGUAUUUUUUUAUUUUUCAAUCACAUAAAAUAUAAAUAUUAAGAGCCUUGAGAUAUUUCGAUUUAAUGAUUCUUGGAAGACUCAAAAGGCUUGUGCAGCUUCUCAGAUCCAAAUCAACAAGCUUCCCUACAAAUUGAAUAGAUGAGGGAACCACUUUCAGAGUUGUACAAAAUUGAAGAUUCAAUCUCUCAAGAUUUUUAGCCUUUGAUAGGUCUGGAAUUGUAGUUAGAUGCUCACAAUUACUAAGGUUGACCUCUGUUAAAUUCACAAGAUUCUGCACCAUCAUUGUAUUGAUAAGAAAAAAAAUUAGUAUCUGUACAUUUUAAAAUUCAUUUGAAAGAGGAGAAAGAUUACAUGUGUAGUGACUAAACCAUAUAAUCUUUUGGAAUAUUGUGGUUUCCUUUGAAGACAGACAAACUGAAGAGUUGACCUGCUUCACUGCAAUUUAAUUCCUCGACCUCGUAUAUUUUAUCAGCCACACUCUUAAGCACUUGUCAAUCUCUGGACGUUACAAGAAUUCUACUUCCUGGACCAACAUACCAUGCCUUUCAAUUAAACAUUCCACUUGUUCUACAUCAUUCACAUCAUCUAGAACAGUUAAGACUUUUUCGUGCCGGAUCCUUUCCUUGAUUAAAGUGGAUCCCAUGCGUGGAGUGUCAAUACGUAGAUUUUCCUGCUCUAAUACUCUGGAAAGGAAUUCCAAAUUGAGUCGUUCAAUGCGUGAAUCUAUCCCAACUAGGCCCUUAGAGUCACCUAAUGAUGUGUGUUUCAAUUUUUUUCAAAAUGAAUUGCACAAUUUCACUUACGAGUUUGGACUCAGGCCACAUACAAUGGACUAGAUGAUGGCAUGUCUAGGACAAAGUGCUGGAACGAUGGACUGUCUAGGCCAAGACAGAAACACAACAACAUUAGCGGCAAGAGUGCUGAUAAUUGACCAUGUGGUUCGUGAGGGACAGACCAGGCUAUAAGAACAUAUAGGGCGGACUGGACAAGAGAGGCAUGUUGGGUGGACAGCUCAAGGGAAGCAUGGGGUGGACUUUCCAAGAAGGGUCUGGGGCAGAGCACUCAUGUGUGGAACUUGAAUUGAAUAGGCUGGAAAAAGGUUAUGCUGUGGAGUAUGCAAUAACUUGUAAGCAGAAGGUAAAUUCUGCGUAUCACACAGACGGAUUUGUGUAUUCCUUUGUCAAAAAUGCUUUUAUGUUUUAAGAAAUUAAAAUUUCAAAAUUACUUAAGAAUAAAAGAUUUUAGAAAAACAAUUUUCAUUUUUUUCAAAGAAAUAAAAUCAUGCAUGCUAGCUCUUGUAUAGUGUUAGAGCGUUUUCAAUAUGAAAUGAAAUUUUGUCAAAUUGAUUGGUAAAACUUGUUAAAAUGGCGUAUUAAAAAAAAAAGAUUUCAUGAAAAUACAUAAUAAACAUUUUUGAAAAUGUAGAGACAUAUUAGUUAAGCUAUUUACCUUUUAAAACAAUAUCUAAAAAAAACAACAACAAGUAGUUACAAUACUUCUGUAAAACCCCCAAACAAAAAAAAAACAAGAAGUGGAACUGAAAUGACUCUACCAUCCCUGUCGAUAUCGGAAUCGGCAGCAACGCAGUUUCAGGCUACCGAUAUCGAAAUCGGCAGCGAUGCAGUUUCGACUGUCGAUUUAUGAAUCGGUAGCGACGCAGUUUCAGGCUGCCGAUAUCGGAAUCGGCAGCGGUACAAUUUUGGCUGCCCAUUUAUGAAUCAGCAGCGACGCAGUGUGGCUGCUGAUUUCUGAAUCGGCAGCGAAGCAGUGUCGCUGAAAUCGACAGCAACGCAGUUUCAGGCUGCCGAUAUCGGAAUCGACAGUGAUGCAGGUUCGUUUGCCGAUUUAUAAAUCAGCAGCGCCGUAGUGUGGCUGCCGAUAUCUGAAUCGGCAGCGACGUAGUAUCAGGCUGCCGAUAUCAGAAUCGGCAGCGAUGCAAUUUCGGCUGCCAAUUUAUGAAUCGGUAGCGACGCAGUGUGGCUGCCGAUAUCUGAAUCGGCAGCGACGCAGUUUCAGGCUGCCGAUAUAGGAAUCGGCAGUGAUGUUGUUUCGGCUGCCGAUUUAUGAAUCGCCUGCGACGUAGUUUCGGGCUACCGAUUUCUGAAUUGGUAGUGAUGCAGUGUGGCUACCGAUUUUGGAAUCGACAUCGACGCAGUUUCAGGCUACCAAUAUCAGAAUCGGUAGCGAUGCAGUUUCGGUUGCCGAUUUAUGAAUCGGCAGCGACGCUGUUUUGGGCUGCCGAUUUUUGAAUCGGCAGCAACAUCAAAAAAAAAUAAUAUAUAUAUAUAUAAUAAAAGUUUUAGUGUGGGACCGACCUAUCCUGGGGGGGAGAAGGGGAAUGAAAAUCAGCUCAAGGAUAACCUAAAAGGAGGAUUAGGACAACCUUGUCCAACAUCCAAACACCCCCUUUUUGCUUUUAAGAGGGGUAUAAAUGCAGCAAGGAGAGAGAGAGGGAGACACCCUUCCUAAAAACGAGUUGGUCCCCUUCCCUCUUCCCAAAGUGAGCUGCAUGCUCUUGUCCCCUCCCCUUUCCCCCAAAAUGAGAUGCUUGUCCCCUUCCCUCUUUCCCUUUCCAAGGAAAGAGCUUGACCAAACCCCAGCUGCUAGUGCCCUCCUUAGAUGUGAGAGAAAGAAGGGAGAGCUUGACAGGAGGCUGGACAGCUGCAAACAUGAAGGGAGUAGAGGCCCAAAAAUCGGUAGGGAACUAACAAGAGGAGGAGAAAAAACGAAAGAGAGGAAGAGGAAGAAACAAUCAGGAGCAGAAGGGGAGAAAUGUUGUCAAACCCCUCCCAAAAAUGCUAAAUCCGUGAGGUAUGAACCAUGUCUUUCUCCACCUGUUCUUAAGGUCUUGAAAUCGAAAGGAAGAAGAAUAAAAAUAUGGAUGCAUGGCCUAGGAACUUUACUCCAACUGUUAUGGAAAAGAACUAAGCUAAAAGGAGGGACAAAAACGGGGCUGGAUGGGGGACCUGAUUCCAGAAUAUUUAACAAAAGAUUGUAUGAUGAAAUUGAUGAGUUCAAUGUGUGUAUGCCGCUAGAAUUCAUUGAAAGAUUAUAUGUUGGAAUUGAUGGUUUCAAUGUGUGUGUUCUGCUGGAAUUUAUUGAAAAAUUAUAUGCUGAAAUUGAUGGGUUCAAUGUGUGUAUGCUGCUAGAAUUCAUUGAAAGAUUAUAUGUUGGAAUUGAUGGUUUCAAUGUGUGUGUUCUGCUGGAAUUUAUUGAAAAAUUAUAUGCUGGAACUGAUGAUGGUUUCAAUGUGUGUGUUCUGCUGGAACUUAGUGACAGUUUAUGUACUGGAGUUGUUGCAAAGUGUAGUGUGUGUUCAUGCCAAAAUGUGGGUUGGGCAGCGAAUUUGUGAUUCGUUGCCGAAACUGAGUUUUCUGCAGCGAAUUAGUUUUCACUGCCGAAAUGUGUCUUCUGCAAUGAAUUUGUGAUUCGCUGCCGAAAUUUGUGUUCUGCAGCGAAUUUGUGAUUCGCUGCGGAAGUUGAGUUGGCUGCAACAAAAUUGUGAUUCGCUGCUGAAAUUGAGUUGUCUGCAGCGAAUUAACAUUCACUGCCGAAAUUUGUGUUCUGCCGUAAAUUUGUGAUUCACUGCUGAAGUUGAGUUGGCUGCAGCGAAAUUGUGAUUCGCUGCCGAAAUUGAGUUGUCUGCAGCGAAUUAGCAUUCGCUGCCGAAAUUUGUGUUCUACAGCGAAUUUGUGACUCGCUGUCGAAGUGGAGUUGGCUGCAGCGAAAUUGUGAUUCGCUGCCGAAAUUGAGUUGUCUGCAGCGAAUUAGAAUUCGCUGCUGAAAUUUGUGUUUUGCCGUGAAUUUGUGAUUUGCUGUCGAAGUUGAGUUGGCUGCAACGAAAUUGUGAUUCGCUAUCGAAAUUGAGUUUUUCGCUGCCGAAUUGGAAGCCCGCAGCGAACCAGUUUUUGCUGUUGAAUUGAGCAGCCUACAACGAGCCAGUUUUCGCUGCCGAUUUCUACAAUAGGCCUUCUGGGCAGAAAUGACUUAAAUUCUAGUAACAAUUUCAUGGUAUGAUGGUGUAAAAUGUGGAACACUUGAAUGUGAACCUAUGAACUCUUGAAAUAAGUGUGGUGAUGAUUGUGAAUUGAAGAUACAAAUAAAUUGAUUGUGGUCUUUGGUGUCUUAGGUGUUGUGGCCAGGAUCGGACCAUUGCCAGGACAAGGACAGACCACAAGUGGAGCAGGUAGGUGGUUUUCACCUUUUUCCCAUUUUGAUGUUUAUGUUUUGAAAUGAUUAACUUGUGAUGAGAUUUUAUUAAAUCCUUGUUGUAAGAGGAAACGAUGAAGAAGAGUUGGAUUAAAUUCUUGAUGAUUGUCGAAACGACUAUGAAAUGUCAAACAAGUUCUUGAUGAAUAUUGAAACAAUGGUGAAAAUGUUAGAGUUCUAAACUGACCCAUUUGAGGUGAACAUCUUAUUGAGUUGUGAUGAAUACUAAAUCGAAUGUGAUGUUGGGGUUGUUAUGAAUUUGAGCUACUAAUGAAUGGUAGUAUGUGUCGUACAAAGAAUCUACUUUUGUAUUCUUACUGAAUGUAAUGGUGAUGAAUGAUUGUAUGAGUAUUAUGAAAGAUCUACUAUUUUAUUAUAUUAAAUGUAAUUGUGAUGAAUGUGUUACCAAGGAUCUAUCAUUUAUUAUACUGAAUGUAAUGAUGAUGAAUGAUUGUAUGAGUGUUAUGAAAGACCUAUCGUUGUAUUGUAUUGAUGGUUAAUUACCACAAAUGGUGGUGUGAGUAUUACGGGGGAUUUAUUAUUGUGUUGCAUUGAACAUUAAUUGUCAGGAAUGGUUGGAUGAGUGAUACAAAGGGUACUAUUGUGUUAUGUUAUAUUGAAUACUAAACUGUUGUGGGAUGUUUGGUUUUGCAUUACAAAGGAUCUAUCAUCGUGUUACGGAAUGAUAAAUUACUAAGAAAUGGUGGUACGAGUAUCCCUAAGGGUCUGCUUUGAUGUUGCAAGGAAUGUCAAAUUGUCAUGAAUUGUUUGAUGAAACAAUGAUUAGCUUCGGCUAAUAGCAUCCGAGUGGAUGACCGGAACAAAUGAUUGAUUAGCUCCGGCUAAUGGCAUCCGACUGGAUGACCGGAACAAACGAUUGAUUAGCUUCGGAUAAUGACAUCUGAGUGGAUGACCGGAACAAACGAUUGAUUAGAUGCGGCUAAUGGCAUCCGAGUGGAUGACCGGAACAAACGAUUGAUUAGAUGCGGCUAAUGGCAUCCGAGUGGAUGACCGGAACAAACGAUUGAUUAACUCCGGCUAAUGGCAUCCGAGUGGAUGACCGGAAAAAACAAUUGAUUAGCUUCGGCUAAUGCCACCCGAGUGGAUGACCGGAACAAAUGAUUUCGGCUAAUGACAUCCGAGUGGAUGACCGGAACAAACGAUUGAUUAGCUUCGGCUAAUGGCAUCCGAAGGGAUGACCGGGGUAAAUGAUUGAUUAGCUCUGGCUAUUGGCAUCCAAAGCAGAUGACUGGGAUGAACAAAGAUUAGCUCCGACUAAUGGCAUCCUAAAUGGAUAAUCGAGAUUAAUAAACGAUUAACUAUGGUAAUGACACCAUAUAUGAAUUACUAGAAUGAAUAAAUGAUUAGCUUUGGUAAAUGGCAUCCUAAAUGGAUAAUCGAGAUUAAUAAACGAUUACCUAUGGUAAUGACACCAUAUAUGAAUUACUAGAAUGAAUAAAUGAUUAGCUUUGGUAAAUGGCAUCCUAAAUGGAUAAUCGAGAUCAAUAAAUGAUUAGCUAUGGUAAUGACACCAUAGAUGAAUUACCAGAAUGAAUAAAUGAUUAGCUUUGGUAAAUAGCAUCCUAAAUGAAUAAUCGAGAUCAAUAAAUGAUUAGCUAUGGUAAUGACACCAUAGAUGAAUUACCAGAAUGAAUAAAUGAUUAACUUUGGUAAAUGGCAUCCUAAAUGGAUAAUCGAGAUCAAUAAAUGAUUAGCUAUGGUAAUGACACCAUAGAUGAAUUACCAGAAUGAAUAAAUGAUUAGCUUUGGUAAAUGGCAUCCUAAAUGGAUAAUUGAGAUCAAUAAACAAUUAGUUAUGGUAAUGACACAAUAGAUGAAUUACCAUAAUGAAUAAAUAAUUAGCUUUGGUAAAUGACAUCCUAAAUGGAUAAUCGAGAUUAAUAAACGAUUAACUAUGGUAAUGACACCAUAGAUGAAUUACCAGAAUGAAUAAAUGAUUAGCUUUGGUAAAUGGCAUUCUAAAUGAAUAAUUGAGAUCAAUAAAUGAUUAGCUAUGGUAAGGACACCAUAGAUGAAUUACCAUAAUGAAUAAAUGAUUAGCUUCGGUAAAUGGCAUCCUAAAUGGAUAAUCAAGAUGCAUAAAUUACUAGCUUCGGCUAAUAACAUCCUAGGUGGAUAAUCGAGAUGAACAAAUGAUUAAUUACGACUGAUGACAUCCUAAAUGGAUAAUCGGGAUGAAUAAAUGCUACCUUCGACUAAUAGCAUUCCAAAUGGAUAAUCAGGAUGAAGAAAUGACUAUCUUCGACUAAUGGCCUCCCAAGAGGAUUGUCGGAUUUGAGUGUAUGAGUUAGUUUUAAGAAGAAUUGAUGUGGUCAUGUAUACUACGUUUCGUAUAUACUAAGUAUAUGAAAGGACUAUAAUAGUUAUGCUUUAACCAAAGAAAAACAUUAAUUCGGCUAAUGACAUUCGAGAUCAAUGAUCGGGUUUGAGUACUAAAAUUAGCCUCGUUAAUUGAUGGAUUAUUAACGAUGGUAUUUACAUAAGUAAAGGGAAAUUAAAGAAUUAUGCUUUUUGGUCCAUGAAUAAAAUAUGACUUUAAUCCUGUUUUAUUAUGUUCUUAAAUGACCUACAAUGCUUAAAAUUUCCUUGUAUUGUAACAGGGACAUCAUAUCAAUAUGGUGCGUAAGGAAAUUCAUUUCGUGGCUCACACAUUUCGAUAUAUGUGGCUCACACAUUUCGAUAUAUGUUUUCUGGAAGAUUCACCAGGAGUUUGCAGUUCUUCAAAUAUAACGUAACAAGUCCAUUGAGUUCCCCGAUUAAUUGGGAAGCUCUUCAAUAGCAGUCUCAUUUAAAUUUAAAUAUGUCAGUUUCCUUGCAUUCUCUGGGCACUUCUUGAGAUUUGCACAACCAGAAAGGUUCAGAGUCUCCAGACAACUUGAAUUAAUUCUACUGGGAAGAUUGAUUAGUCUUUUGCAGCAUCUCAAAUCUAAAUCAACAAGCUUGUCCAGAUGCUGAAUAGAUGAAGGAAACAUAACCAAACUUUUACAGAAUUGAAGAUUCAAUCUCUCAAGGUUUCUGGCCUUUGAAAGGUCUGGCAGGGAAGUUAUGUGCUCACAAUUGCUGAGGGUGACAUCUUUUAAAUUGCCGAGAUUCUGAAGCAAAAUGAAAUCAACAGAAAGAAAUUACACGUGCAUACCACACCAAAUUUCAAAGAAAGAACUAUGCAUGCAUAGAGUUAUUUUAGAAUACCUGGUCUCCUCUCCACAGUUGCUUAACCUUGCUAGAUGAUAGGUUAAGUUCAACAAGGUUCUGUGGACGAAAAUUGCAAGGCAAAGAUGUCAAAGGGUAUCCAUCCCAAUGGAGAUACCUCAACUCAUGAGAAAGAGACUCGAGGCCACUAGGAAGGUGCACUGUGCAUUUAUCUCCAGCUACAGAAUUAUAAAUUUUUAGCAGUCUAAGAUUAUACAACCUUGCGAAGGCUGUAGAACUCAACUCUAUUUCUCUUAUUUCUGAAACAUUCAAGAACAUCCCUUCAACGUUUUCAGUUCUUAGUUUUGAAACAUCCAGGAAUAUCCCUUCAACUUUUCCAGUUCCCUGAAAAACAGUAAAGGAGAAGCAAAGUUUAAUUAAUAUUUUAAACGUACAAGUACAACCAUAUGGCAUUGCAUAGGAAACAGAAAACUUUGGGGUAUAUGAAUCUCACCAGAUUAUUGGUCAACACUUGAUAUGCAUCUUUUGGAUUCCACAAUCUGCUCUGUCUUCCUAGCUCGUCAAGAGAUUCUUUAUGAACAACUUCAUGGGCCAUUUCUUGCAAAAGAUCAUGCAUUUCAACCUUGUCAUCUGAAAUUUUAAUGAGACACCUGUCAAUGAGAACACUAAAUCCAAUAUCUGUUUUGAAACCGCAGCCAUCUAGUAUCCGCUUUACAAAAUCAACUUGAUGCCCUCUAAAGAAACAUGCAAUGUUCAGAAAUAUACUCUUCGUGUUAUUAUCACGUAGUGCAUCAAAGCCUAUUCUCAGCAAGUCAAAAAUGUUCAGCUCGGGAAAGCUUUCGAUCUCAUUUAAUUGAGAUUCCCAAAAAUGUCUUUCUCUACUGAACAAGAAGGAACCCAAAACUUGAAGAGCUAAGGGGUUGCCUUUGGCAUAAUUUAUUGGGGGGUGGUUUCCCUUAAAAUAACUGCUGCCCCAAGAGACAACGUGGGCCGUCAGCUCUUGUCUUUUAAACUCCAGACUGCUUCGGUGGUUAAUUUGAGACUUUAUUAAUAUUAGGAUGAAACUAGAUCGGGUUUUAAAAAAAUAAAAAUAGUUAAAAAUUUAGUUGACUUAGCUAACUAGUUGGUUGAUCUCAUGAUAUGGUUGAUCUAAUAAAACUCGGUUAAAAAUCAAGUUGCAAUCUAUUAAUUAUUAUUUUUUAUAUCAAAACAACAUCAAUUCGAUUGACAAAAAAAAAAUUAAUAUUAGCUCGGGUGACUUAGUCAUCCGGGCUGGGUUUAAAAACACAAAUCUCAUCUCUUCAGGGCUUGCUUUUUUUUAGCCAAUUCAAUAUAUAAAGAAAAUAUUGAAUCAGUGAAUACAAUAUUAAAAAAAAAAAAAACUGAAUGAUAAAUAUAAUAGAUUCUUAAAUCUGAGCUGCAUAAAUUAGGAUUCGGAAAUGGACGAAUAUUUAUAAAAUUUCAAUCUAAUUAGAAAGAUCCUCACGGAUAUUUUUAUUAAACAAAUUGACAAUCAUAAUUUAUGAAUACUUCUUUCAUAUGAAUUCAAAUACUUCAUUGUUAAAAAAAAAAUUGAACAUAUUUUAUAAUUCCUUCCACUUUAAGUGAUAAACUAUAAUAAAACACAGCACACCCAUACAUAUAUACUCAUUAUUUGUUUAUAUAUUUCUUAAGAAAAUAGUAAAAUAUAAAUAUGUACAAGAUAAGUUAAUAUUUAAAUGAGAUAUCAUUAAUUUAUCAUAUUUGCAUUCCUUAGGUUGCAAAUUACAUAGCAAAUCCUCUUAUAUUUUUUUUAAAUAUAAGUUUUUAUCAUCUUAAAUGGUUAAAUUGCUCUUAGUUUUUGGUAUAUUUGAUAAGAAAUUCCUCCCUUCGUUUUCUUUUUCCGAAUUUCUUUAAAUAUAGCUUUUCAUGAGAGUGAGAUUUAUUUGAUUUUGACAAAUUAUCUAACAAUAAUUAGAUCCAUAUGAGGAGCUCUUACGUUGGUUUUUGUAAAAUUUUAAAGUUUUUCUUUGUUUUAAAUUAAUAUUUUUUAGAUAUUUUUAAAUCGUUUUAAUAUGUCGAUAUUAAAAAUAAAUUUUAAAAAAUAAAAAAAUAUUUAUUAUUUUAAAAUAUUUUUAAACAAAAAAUAUUUUAAAAAAUAACCGCUACCACAAUAUUAAACGGGAUCUAAACGAGCACAAAUAAGUUUUUGUUUUACCUUAGCACAGUUGACUAGAAUUAACAAAAUAACAGAUUUCAUAAGACAUUUAAGAAAAUAGCAUUGCUUAGAUGCCACUUGCUUAUUAAAUGCACUACAAAAAAUUACAUGAGAAGAAAAAAAAGAGAGAAAAAAAACCUCAAAUGUAUAUUGAAGCUUGAAUGAUGUCACCAUCAUUACUAUAAAAUAUAUAUCAUUAAAAUGAAUCUAAGAAUAUCAAAACAAAUCAUCAAAAUUAUUUUAUUUAUAAUUUUUUUAUGAUGAUAUUUCAAGGAAAAUUUUAUUAACAAUUUAUAAAAUCAAUAAAAUAUUAUAUAAAUGUUGAAAAAAAUAUUUUGUCGAAAUUCUCUGUAGUGAUAUAAAUAUUUUUUUCACGUUUAUGAUUUUACAUGUGAAAUAUCAUUUAAUUUGCAUAGACACCUUCCAAGAAAAAGUCGAAGUCCGCCACCAUAGGUCACAUGCAUAAUUUUUGUAACAUGCUAAAUUUGAAAAACCAACAACCCUCUCUCCGAACCCUUAGGUCUAACCCUAGUUCUGAAUUUAUAAAUACCUUCUUUCGUCUGUAUUCAAAUACUUCAUUAGGAAAAGAAAUUAACAUACACUUUAAGUGAUAAACUAUAAUAAAACACAGCAUACCCACACAUAUAUACGCGUACAUAGAUAUAUACGUACAUCUAUAUGUAUAUGUCGUCAAUAUUAUUAAAGAAAGUUAAAAUGAGUGACUUUAACGUUGUUAUUAUCCUUCUAAAUGACACCUAAUUAAUAAUUUAUUAUUUUUAAAAAGGAUUAGUUGUGCUUAAUUUAAUUUAGAUAUUCAUACUCAUUAUUUGUUUAUAUAUUUUUUUAAAAAUAUUAAAAUAUAAAUAUGUGGAGAUAAGUAAAUAUUUCAAUAACAUAUCAUUAAUGUAUCUUUAAAGUACAAUUGAAAGAAAGAAAAUAUAUAGAUAGGUUUUCAAAAAGUAUAGUUCUUAGAGAGCAAAGAACAGUAACUUGCUUGAAAAACUACAAACCCAUCUCUCUCUCUCUCUCUUUUUUGGAGAUUUUUUAUUAUUUUGAUAACUUUUGUUUUUUUUUCAUUUAUAAAGAAAAAAACAUUGAGUUAGACAAAUAAUCUCUACAUUUACACUCAAUUUCAUUUAUAAAGAUUUAUUUUUAAUUUAUUUUAUUAUAAAAUCAUUUCAUAAUAAUUUUAAUCAAACACAUUUUUUUAGAAUUAUAAUUAAAAUUAUUAUUUUUUAUUUAUUUUUAACCGCAAUAACUAUACAAAUGUGGAGAACAGAAAAAACUAGGAGAUGGGGCCUUACGAAAUCUUCAUCCGAAAUAGAGUUCAAAAAAUUAUUAUAACUCAGUUUAGUAUUAGUAGCAGCUACUACUACUAAUAACAUGAUAGUUAAUUAUAACUUGUUAAAAUGAUAUACUAAAAAAAAAAAUAUCAAGGAAAUACAUAAUAAAUAUAUUUGAAAACGUAGAUACAUAUUAGUAUAAUGAAGGUAUUUCCAUUCUAUGCUAUCAUUGAAAAGUACAAUAUUAAAAUAAAAAAAUGCUUGCAAGAAAAUAAAAGCUUGUCGUCAUAUUAAAAUAUAAUUAUUUAAUCCUUAUGAUUUUAAAUCUAUAAUUAACAUAAUCUUAUUUUAUUAAUUUCAUAUCUUUUUUUUAUUUUUUUAAAUAAAAAUUUAAGUACAUAGGAUAUAUAUAUAUAUAUAUAUAUAUAAGUUAUAUUUCUUAGCAAAUGACUUAAUUAACCUUUGUCAAUUCUAGUAAAAAUCAUUAAUUUUUCUAAACUAUAAGGUCUAAAUUUUAACAACAACAAUAAUAUACUAAAAUAUGUACUUGCAAUGGCGGAGCUAGGAAUUUUUUUUAUCCUAGGCUAUAAUAUAAAUAUACAUAAAUUAUUUUUUAAGAUUAAUUAUUAACUUGUAUAUAUAAAUUUAUCAAAUUAAUAAUAAAGUUUCAAUCCAAAUACAUAAUACAAAAUAUAAAUAAAAUAAAAUCUAAAGUAUAUAAAAUUGAAAAUAAAAAUAAAAUACAAUAUCAAAGUUGCAUCAUUCGAUGUUUUGUAGAAUAAAAUUCAUCUAUAAUCGAAUCCGAAUCAAUAUCUUUAACAAGCUCUCGUUCAAUGUAAAUCAUUAUAAAAUACGUUAAGAACUACUCUUUUAUUUUAUUGCGAAGCACAGUUUUAACAUGUUUUAUAGCUAAAAAUAUCCGCUCUGUAGUGGCAGUGCAGGUAAAGUCAAAACAAGAUGAAUCAACUUGUCAAUCAAAUGAGAGUACUGUGACUUCUUUGUUUUAACUAAUCCUCGACAUAAUUCAAAAAUUAUAGACAUUAGGGGUGAGCAAAAAAACCGAAAAACCGAUUAAAUCGAGAAAAUAAAAAAUAAUAACUGAAAAAACUAAAUCAUAAAAAAACUAAUUAAACCGAUUAAAAUUUUGAAAAAAUUAACUGAUUCGGUUUUGGUUUUAUAAGCUUGAAACCGAAAAAACGGAGCCAAACCGAAAAAAUCAAGCCUACCGAUUUGAAUUGUUUUAAAAAACCAAACCGAAUCAAAAUUGUUCGAUUUGAACAGGUUUUGGUUCGAUUUAGGUUUUUUUCAAAAAAAAAAAUUAAUUUGGUUUGGUUAUUUUUUUUUAUAAAAACCGAACCGAACCGAAAAUGAUCACUCCUAAUAGACAUAUUCUGAAAGCUUUUAUGAUGAAUCAUAUCAAUCUGAUAAUAUUCUAGCUAAAAUUUUAAAUAAUACAUUUCUUGUUCAUUGAAAUCUUCAGGAUAAUUUUUUAGCUAGAAUUUAAUGAGUUGAGAAUUAUAGACAUUAACUUAAAUUUAGGUGAUUUGUUUGAGUUUAUUUUUUUAUUUCAGUUUCAUCCUUCAACAUUUAAUUUAAUUUUUUUUUUUAAAGUGUGGGAAAAAACUCAAAAAUUAAGUUGUGUUUUUUUUUGAAAAGUUUACUAUGCAAGAUAAUUGAAAUUUUUGUUAAAAAUAAUUUAGUGGUCGGUAAAAAAAAAUGAUAGAACUCCAUUUGCUUUUUGGUAUGUUAAAACCAAACUUGAUAGAUAUUUUAUUUUCUAGCUUUUGUUGUUCUUGAAAAUAUGCUUCUUUAGUAACUAUGGAUUUUUUUUAUUUUUUUUUCCCACCUGGGCUACAGCCCUCCUCAGCCCUCUAAGUACCUCCGCCCUUGUGUACUUGCACUCAAAGAUAAGUAAGUUUGUUAAAUUAUGCAAAAGGGAAAGAAUUAAUCUUGGAUUGGUACAUGAAAUGAACACCAUCACAUAUAAAAAUAAAUAAGAGAAUAACCCAAUUGUCAUCGUCAAUUUUUUUUGGACUCGGCAGCAAUUCGCCCCACUGUAUCCUUGUCAAAAUAAUUAUUAAAUUAUUUCUACCGUGAAACCCAAGUGUCACAUUAAAUAUACCAUGUUUAUCUUUGGCAUCAAGUAGACGAACCCCACACUUAAACAUCUAAUGCUAAGAGAAUGCCGUUCAUAUCUUCCGGGUGGAAUUCAAUGUAUUUACUAAACAUAUCAUUUUCUUUGACAACCAGACAGGGAUCCAAUCCCACAAAUAUAUGUGAUAGCAAUAGAGAUCAUGGCUAUCACCGUGCUCAUUGCGGAAGUGAUACGUGCAUUUAACUUGCAAACUAUGGCUGAAAUAAUGAAAUGCAAUGACAGCGCAAAGAGAGAAACCCAAGAACUCCCUAUUAGCCCAAUGUGAAGAUAGCUGGAAUGUUACUGUAGAUCCCCAAUUUUGAUGGCUAAACCACUCCGGAGUUACAUCUCCAGGGAGGCAGAAACUAAGUGGCAUAGCUGGAACACAGGGCUCCUCCUGUUAACACAAUUUCAAUAGCAUCUUUUUUAAAAUGAGACAUGACAAAUAGAGAAGAAAAGAAAAAAAGCAUAACAGAGGUUUGAGAAACAGACCUGAUGGUAUAACUCUUUGGGAUAAAGUUGAAAAUCUAAUGAGUUCGCCAACUUGGAAAACAUACCGGACAUGACAAUAUAAUCCUCCCAGCAUGAGGCUUGGAACCUUGCUCUCUUGCCUUGGAACCUUGCUCUCUUGCCUUGGAACAUUGCUUCCAAUGCAUCACAAUAAUAGUCGAUGCAAUGUAUUCCAUCUUCAUACAGUAGACGGAUCCCACACUCGUGUACUUAACAAAGAUCUAAUGGUAAGAGAUUGCCAUUCAUAUCUUCCAGUUGGAAUUUAAUUGAGACCUUACUAUAUUCACUAAAUAUAUCAUCUUCUUUGACAACCAGGCAGGGAUCAAAUCCUAUGAGUAUGUGAUCUGAGUCAAUGCGCUUCUCAUCAUACCAACCAUGGAGAUAGCAAUAGAGAUCAUGGCUAUUACCGUGCUCAUUGCUGAAGUGAUAUGUGCAUUUAACUUGCAAACUAUGGCUGAAAGAAUGAAAUGCAAUGACAGCGCAAAGAGAGAAACCCAAGAACUUGCUAUUAGCCCAAUGUGAAGACAGCUGGCAUGUUAUUGUAGAUCCCCAACUUUGAUGGCUAAGCCACUGCGGAGAGACACCUCCAGGGAGGCAGAAACUACAUGCCCCUUCUGGAACAUCGGGUAGCUGCUAACACAAUUCAAAUAGCAUCUUUUUAAAAUGAAAGGUGGCAAAUAUAGAAAAAAAAAAGAUGUGUAUCAGAGGUUUGAGAAACAGACCUGAUGGAGCCUUUUGGUAUAAAGUUGAAAUUUCAUUAAUGAGUACGGCAAGAUUUGAUUGAUCCUACACAAGCUCAAGCAAUUAGUGAAAAUGAAUUCAAAAAUGUUCCCCCCAACUACAGUUGAUGAGCUUGAUUCUAGAUAAUUCAAACUCUCGCAAUUGUCUGCAUCCAACUUUGAUAGCCGUGGUGGAAGCUCCGGUAAUGAUUCAAGUCUCUUGCAAUUCCUUAAUCCUAGAUAUUGCAACUCCAAGAGUUCAUUGAUGCUUAUAGGUAUAGUCUUAAAAUUGUUUCCACUUAGAUCUAACACUUCCAGUGACGAUAGAAAACCAAGACUGUCUGGCACUACCGAUAUAUGGCAACCAUCUAGAUUUAGCUUACGCAAACAAUUUAAACUCGAAGCGUCCAAAACAUUCGAUGUCUUCUAGAUAUUUGCAGUUUCCCACUUCCAAGCAGGCAAGUCCCUUCAGAUUUCCAAUCGGUGAAGGCAACUUUGUUAUGCUUGUCUGUUCCAAAUAGAGAUAUCUCAAACAUACCAUCGGCUCCAAAACUUCUGGAAAAUUUCUAAAUUGGAGGCAACCUGAGAGAUUAAGCCUCCACAGUUUUCUCAACUUGCAGAUGCUGCUUGGAAGAAUCUCAAAUUGUUUGCAGUUUCGCAGGUGCAAUUCAGCAAGUUCAAACAAACAUUCUAUUGAUGAGGGAAUCUCUCGUAUUGCUGUCCCAUCUAAAUACAGCUCCUUUAUAUUAUUUGAAACCUUUGGAAACUCCGUGAUACUUGAGCAACCGGAAAGAUCUAAAUAAAUGAGUUCCCUUAGAUCACCAAUUGAAGAUGGCAGUUCUUCUAUUGCAGUUCCAUUCAAGUACAAGUAUCUUAUAUUCCUCGAAAAAUCAGGAAGCCUGCUGAUAGAUGAGCAGCCAGAAGUCAGCAAUUAGAAGAGAUUUCAACAAAUAUAUGUUUUCUGGAAGAUUAACCAGGUGUUUGCAGUUCUUCAAAUUCAACGCAACAAGUCCACUUUGUUCCCCAAUUGAUUGGGGAAGCUCUUCAACAGCAGUCUCAUUUAAAUUUAAAUAUGUCAGUUUCCUUGCAGUCUCUGGGCACUUCUUGAGAUUUGAACAACCAGAAAGGUUAAGACUCUUCAGACAUCUUGAAUUAAUUCUACUGGGCAGAUUGAUUAGGCUUGUGCAGCCUCUCAAAUCUAAAUCAUUAAGCUUGUCCAGAUGCUGUAUAGAUGAAGGAACCUUAACCAAACUUGUACAGAAUUGAAGAUUCAUCUCUCAAGGUUUCUGGCCUUUGAAAGGUCUGGCAGGGAAGUUAUGUGCUCACAAUUGCUGAGGUUGACAUCUUUUAAAUUGACGAGAUUCUGAAGCAAAAUGAAAUCAACAGAAAGAAAUUACACGUGCAUACCACACCAAAUUUCAAAGAAAGAACUAUGCAUGCAUAGAGUUAUUUUUAGAAUACCUGGUCUCCCCUCCAUAGUUGCUUAACCUUGCUAGAUGAUAGGUUAAGUUCAACAAGGUUCUGUGGACGAAAAUUGCAAGGCAAAGAUGUCAAAGGGUAUCCAUCCCAAUGGAGAUACCUCAACUCAUGAGAAAGAGACUCGAGGCCACUAGGAAGGUGCACUGUGCAUUUAUCUCCAGCUACAGAAUUAUAAAUUUUUAACAGUUUAAGAUUAUACAUCCUUGCGAAGGCUGUAGAACUCAACUCUAUUUCUCUUAUUUCUGAAAAAUCCAACAUCCCUUCUACUUUUUCAGUUCUUAUUUUUGAAACAUCCAGGAAUAUCCCUUCAACUUUUCCAGUUCCCUGAAAACCAGUAAAGGAGAAGCAAAGUUUAAGUAAGAUUUUAAACCUACUAGUACAACCAUAGUGCAUUGCAUAGGAAAGGGUAAACUUUCGGGCAUGUGAAUCUCACCAGAUUAUUGGUCAACACUUGAUAUGCAUCUUUUGGAUUCCAUAAUCUGCUUUGUUUUCGUAGCUCAUAAGCAGAUUCUUUCCGAACAACUUCAUGGGCCAUUUCUUGCAAAAGAUCAUGCAUUUCAACCUUGUCAUCUGAAAUUUUAAUGAGACACCUGUCAAUGAGAACACUGAAUCCAAUAUCUGUUUUGAAACCGCAGCCAUCUAGUAUCCGCUUUACAAAAUCAACUCGAUGCCCUCCAAAGAAACAUGCAAUGUCCAGAAAUAUACUCUUCUCUUCACUAUCAAGUGCUUCAUAACUUAUUCUCAACACACUAUGAACUUUUUGCCGAGUUAGUUUUUCAUCCUUGUUCAAUGCACUUUCCCAUUCUUUUGUCGUUCUGCCAAAUAGAAAGGAACCUAAGACUUUAAGAGCUAACGGAUUCCCUUUAGCAUAAUUUAUUGCCCUCACAGACAGCUCCAUAUAAUUGUAUGGGAGCUGGUUAUCCUUAAAUGCAUGCAAACUAAAGAGAUGAAGGGCUUCCCGGUAAUUCAGUCCCUCAACCUCAAAUAUUUUGUCUGCAUAUUUCUUAAGGACCUGUUUAUCUCUAGAUGUUAGGAUAAUUCUACUUCCUGGACCAAAAUCACAUCCUCCAAGUAACAUUUCAAUUUGAUCUACAUCAUUCACAUCAUCGAAAACAAUCAGAACCUUUUUACGGCUGAUCCUGUCUUUAAUGAAAGGGUGUCCAAUACGUGGAGUGCGAAUAUGUAGAUUUUCUUCCUCUGUUAUUUUAGAGAAAAGUUCAUCUCGCAUACGAAAUAAUCCUCCAUUCUUUUCUGAUUCCCUCACAUUUGCAAGAAAAUAGUGACCUUCAUAUUCCCUUGCGAUCUUGUUGAAAAUCUCUCCAGCAAUGGUUGUCUUACCACUACCACCCAUGCCCCAAAUUCCUACAAAACAAACCUCCGGUAACUGUGUGCAUAAUAAGGCUUCGAUUUGCUUCAUACGUGAAUCCAUUCCAACCAGGCCCUUCAAAUCACUUGAGGAUGCAUAAUUCAAUUUCUUCAAAAUAUGAAGUACAAUUUGUUCCACGAGUCUCGACUCAGGCCUGCCAACAUGGAGGCGAACAGAUAUGUCAAAUAGUACAACUUGUGUGACGGAUUCCAAUUGCCAUACAUUAUAACACACAUACAUGUGAAAUCUAAAUUUACAGAUGCAUGGAAAAACUAUACUUUAAACUGCUCAUUUGGUAACAUUUAGAAGUCACAUAACAUAUUAUAAAGCUCAAAACAUAUGCUUCUGAAUCCAAAAAUAUGAUUAUCAACUUCAAGAAAUUUUAAUUGCUAUAAAUAAAUUUUAAUUGCUAUAAUUCCAGAAAAAAAAAGGUUGAAGAUGAGAAUCUAUAGUUACCUAGUAACCUGUGAAUCCCAUCCGGAUAUAUUGGCAGCACUUGUUAAGUCAGCUCUCCACCUUGGAACCUUGUCCAUCUUCUGCUUAAAAUUUCUUUCAAGCUCAGCAAACGCAUUCCCAAAACUCCCUGUCUGUUCGUCAACAUCGGACGGGUCCACAUGAUAGAAAACUGGUAAAACAAUCUGCCCGUAUGCCUUCUUGCAUUCAAGUAUCUUCACUAGUUCAUCCACACACCAUGGAGAAGAUGCAUAGUUUCUUGAGAAUAUUAUCACUGAAAUUCUCGAUUCUUCAAUUGUUCUCAAAAGUGCACCGUAAUUUCUUCUCCCCUUUCAAGUUUGUCGUCAUGAAGGUCUUGAUUUGUUUACGACACAGAGCAUCAUAGAGAUGGCUGAUAAAAUUAUCUCGCGUAUCCUUACCUCUGAAACUAAGAAACACAUCAUACUUCCAUUUUAGCAACAGCAGAUGAAGAUGCCAUAUCAGACAGUUACAAGAUCGUGUCUUCCUCAAUCACUAAGAAUCGAAUCAAUAAGUGCUCUCCUUUUCUCCUAAAGACAUAAAAGAGCACCCACUUCAACAGCUGAACAUUCAUUAAGAGAAAUUGAAGUCUAAGAGUACAAAACCCACACAACAUAUAUUUAUCAGAAAAUUCCUCAAACUCUUAACGAUGGAUAUAUACUAGCUUAAUUUGAUAUGAUCUAUCUUAAUUUGAUCACUCGUCACUUGCUACCAAUGCUAGCUUUCUAUUACUUUCAUUGCAAGAACAGUCACUAGCUGAGCAAAGAAUUACAGAUGGAGAAUUAAUAUGUUCAUGAAACAAACUUAUCAAACUCGUAUAUAUAAUCUUAAAUAUAGAAGACGCAUGAACCAGAAAGACUUACCAACAGAUCAUAAGAACAGUUGACUUGUGUUUUCAUCAGCAAACAAGACGAAGAAGAAGCUGAUAUUGUUGAUGAUAAGACGAUUUUUCUUGUCUAUUGCCUUCAAGUAAAUUCUUACAGACAAUCUGAUCUCAUCGUACUCUAAAUGUAAUCCCAGUUUUUGAUCAAGAAACAGGUGAAUGAGAGAAGACUUUGGGGUAAUCAAUACCAAGUACAUUAAUAGCUAGUCUAUCACAUCUUAGUCUUGUAUUUCAAAUAGACAACCAUGUUAACAUCAUCUCGCAGUAUUAAAUCCAUGUUAAUUUUCUUGGUGAGGCCAAAUUAGCAAACUCAACUCUGUCUUGCAUCAGCUAAAAGUCAACGCGUUAAAAGGGGUUUAAUAUAACACUUUAUUUUUAUUUUUUUUUUAAAUAAAGUUUGGCUUGGGGGGGCGCUUUGUUAAUCUUGAUUAUUAAAUAACUAUCUCUCAUUAAUCUGCCGUUGUGAUAGGAACGCUCUUUGACUUGCACCACAAGAAAACCAUACUUUCUCCACAAUCAUUAAUUAAUGAGCCAACAAAGACAACAGGCUAGAAAAACAUAACUACAAAUUGAAACCACCACCCCCACCUCACACCCAUUGCAAAGUGUCAAUAAUGUAAAAUCAAAACAAUCAAAAGGUAUUUUUGUACAAUAACACAAUUCAAAACAAACGCAAACUAAUAUUCUAGGGCCUGUUUUGAAUUAUGGUGGGAGUUGCAGUUAAAAGUAUUUUUUACUUAGAAAUAUAUUAAAAUGAUGUUUGUUUUUUUAAUUUUCAACAGGCUAAAAAAACAUAACUACAAAUUGAAACCACCACCCCCACCUCAUACCCAUUGUAAAGUGUCAAUAAUGUAAAAUCAAAACAUUCAAAGGGUAUUUUCUUGUACAAUAACACAAUUCAAAACGAACGCAAACUAAUAUUCUAGGGCUUGUUUUGAAUUGUGGUAGCAAUUGCGGUUCAAAUUAUUUUUUACUUAGAAAUGUAUUAAAAUGAUGCUUUUUUUAAUUUUCUAAAAAAUUAUUUUUGAGAUCAGCACAUAAAAAAAAAUCUAAAAAUAUAUAAAAAAAUUGAAUUUUAAGAAAACAUGGUUUCAAAACCACGUUCCCAAAUGUGGCCUAACCGUUAUCAAGAGCACCUCCUCUCCCUAUCCCUUCCAAGGUUGUCAAUUCCGUUUCGAUAGGUGUUUCGUCUUUUCAAUUGGAAUGGAAUGUUUCAGUUUCGGAGUGUUUCGACGUGCUGUUUCAGGGUUGUACUGUUCAUAUAUAUAUAUAUAUAUAUAUAUAUAUAUAUAUAUUCAACAAACAUAAUUCAAAUUCAAGAUAAAUUAAUUAUAAAUUAUGCAAUACAAACACAAUGCCAAACAAAUAUAAUUUAAAAUUUAAAAUUUUUCUAAAUAGUCAAGAUUAAAUAGAUCUUUAACUUAAAGUAAUUCAACUUAAACAAAAUAUCAAAAUAUUAUGAAAGUAAAAUGUUUUAACAAAAAUAUUUUAAAUAUAAAGUUAGGUCAAUGUUAUCAAGUGGCUAAUAGAAUCUAAAACAUCCCUUGUUUUGCUCAAAUUCCUACAAAGUAUAAACAUGAACAAAAAAAAACAACAUGAAUAUAAACCAUAUUUAUUAGUGAUAAAUCUAAUUUUAAAAAAUUAAUAUCAUUGUUAAUGAAAAUAGUAAUAAUAAUUUUCAAUAUUAUUAUUAAUAUCAUUGCUAUUGAAAAUAGUAAUGUAAAAGAGUUUUUUAUAAUCGGGUGGUUUAAUUAAUGAAAUUGAGCAAGGUUCAAUUUGAUUCAAUGGCUUUUCAAGAGCGAAACGGAACAUGUGGAAUGAAAUCGGAACGUUUCGGGCGGAAUUUAGCUGAAAAAUCCGGAACAGACCGAGAUUCAAAAUGAGAUGAAAUUUGUUCCGUUUUUUGAAUUGGUAUGGAAUGUUUCGGCCAUUCCAGGCGGAACGGAACGGAAUUGACAACCUUGAUCCAUUCUCCUUCUCCCCCAUUCCAAUUAAUAUGCUAAUAUAAAAAAAAUUAAAUAUUCAAAAUAUUAUUUUAAAAUAUUUUUAAGUAAAAUAUAUCUUUAAAAAUCACUUUAUAUAACAGCACCAAAUUUUCAUUUUUUUUUGCCUUUUGGAUUCAACCCAUAGGCAAUGACUUUAUCUUCUGCAAAUUUAAUAAUUGUCAUAUUUGAAAGUUCAAUCCCAGUCAUUACAAAAAUAAAGAUAAAAAUAAAAAAUAAAAUAGAGACCUAACCCAAAAGAUCUUAGCCAUGCAUGAUUGGAUCUUAGCCUAACCGAGUUUCAUGGAGCUCAACUAGACCUGGCUAAGGGAAGACGGUGAAAGGGAUGAGAGCUCGGUUGGGCAUAAUAGGCCUAACCUAGUUGUGGGGCCCAACCGAUAUAUAUUUUAUAUUAUCCUAUCAUUAGUUUUAAUUUACUAUAAAAUUUAGUAACCUUCUCUAAUUUCCACAACAAGGGAUACAAGGAGUUUUUUUACAGAAUGUGCUCGGUUGGGCACAUUCUGUUUUUUAUCUAAUUAUAAAGAAAAACUUGUUUAGUUAAUAAAAAUUGUUCCUAAAUAUAAUUCUAUUUCAAAUCUUGAUUUUAUAUAAUAAUUUAUUUUUUAUUCAUAGAUAUUUGUUUAUAAUUUAUUUUACAUGUAAAAACCUGUUUUAUAGUAGUUUUAACCAAACAUAUUUGGUUUAAAUCUAUAUUUUUAAAACUGCAUCUAAAAGUUUUUUUUUUCUCUAAACCGUAACGGUAAAAACUACACACUAAAAAACUAUUUUUCUUUGUUUUUUUUUUUAUUAAAUCUCAAGGAAUAUUUCAAAAUUGGAUCAAAUUUAAUCAAGGUUUGUUGUUCUAUAUAAUAUAAUUAAAAAGAAAAGGAGAAAAUUAUAAUUGACUUUCUUGUAUUAUCUUAUUGAAAAUUAUUGUUGGCUUUAUUGCAUAUAACGCAAUAAUAUGCUUUGUAGUCCAAAACAAAGCUGCUUUUUAGGUUGAUCCAUGUAAGUAAAUAACAAGAGUAACUUGGACGGAUGGUUUUGUAAGGGAUUAAGCGUGCGUGCGUGCGUGCGUGCGAGCGAGCGUGAGAGAGAGAGAGAGAGAGAGAGAGACCUCACUGUAAAGUCUUUUGGCAUAUAGCUGAAUUUUCAAGAGAGCGUAUGCCAUGAUAUUGUUGAGUGCAGCCUCACCCAACAUGAGACAAUUAGUAAAGAUGAAUUCAAAAAUGUUUCCAUCAACUGUAGUUGAUGAGCUUGGGACUGUUCUCAGAGAUGUGCAGCUGUGUGCAUCUAGUUUUGCAAGCCGUGGUGGAAACUUGGUGACAUUUGAGCAGCCAGAGACAUCAACAAUAGCAAUAGACUUCAACAAACAAAUACUGUCUGGAAGAUUCCCAAGUUGUUUACAGUCCCUCAAAUUCAAAGCAACGAGUCGACUCAGAUGUCCAAUAGAUUGGGGAAGUUCUUUGAUUGCAGUCUCAUUGAAAUUCAAAUACAUCACAUGCUCUGUAGUCUCUGGGUACAUCUUGAGAUUUGAGCAGCCAGGGAGGUUAAGAGCCUUGAGAUAUUUCGAUUUAAUGAUUCUUGGAAGACUCAAAAGGCUUGUGCAGCUUCUCAGAUCCAAAUCAACAAGCUUCUCUAGAAAUUGAAUAGAUGAGGGAACCACUUUCAGAGUUGUAUAAAAUUGAAGAUUCAAUCUCUCAAGACUUUUAGCCUUUGAUAGGUCUGGAAUUGCAGAAGAUGCUCACAAUUACUAAGGUUGACCUCUGUUAAAUUCACAAGAUUCUGCACCAUCAUAGCAUUGAUAACAAAAAAACCAUUAGUAUCUGUACAUUUUAUGUGAUGUUUUGUAUUAAAAAGAUUGGAAAAUACAAUAAAGUCCUUGGUGGCUUAAAGAGAGGGUAUAAAUGAUUGAGGGUUAGUGUGUUAAUUGAACAAUAGUUGAUAAAUAUAAAUAAGAAGAAAAAAAAAAAAACAAGAAUGAUCUGAUUUUGAGAGAAAGAGAGCUGCGGGAGAGAAAGGAAAAGAGGAAGAAGAAGAAAAGAAAAGAGAGAAGGAAAGGAAGGAGAAGAGAAGUAGAGGAAAUAAGUAAAAAAUGUAAGAUUUAUUGUUUGAAGUGUAUAAUAUGUUAAAUUUUAGUUUUGAUUAAUUUUGAGAGUUUUGAAGUUUGUAUUUUGAGUUAAUUGAUGAAUUAAUUUGAAGGUUAGGAGUUGAUUAUUGUGGGUAUUUGAUUAAUUAGUUGAUUUUGAGAGAUUGAAUUGAAGGAUAAUGAUUUUGAGUUAUGAUUUUGUUUAAAUGGUGAAAUUGUGUUAGAAAUCAGGGAUAACAGUAGGUGAUCUGUUGAAAUUCUGGGUUUGAGGUUGAAGAUGACGAAAAUUCAGUUUGGUCCCUCAAUUUGUGAAAUUGCAGUUUAGUCCCCGAACUUUGGAAAUUUUACAGAUUGGUCCCUGGGGCAUAAAUUGAGGUUCUGAACAGAACUGAGGAUGAUUUAAGGACAAAAUUCCAGUAUAAUUAAUAUUUUCAGUUUGGUCCUCCAAUUUGACAAAAAGAUUUGACCCUAAAUUUUGUAAAUCAAUGGACCUUGGGCAUAAUUCAAGAUUCCUGGACAAAGAUAAGACGAAUUAUGGAUAAAUUUCAGUAUGGUUAUAUAUUUACAAUUCGGUCCUCAAAUUUUGGUAAAAUUACGUUUUGGUCCCUGUUUUGGAAAAUUGUCGUUUUAGUCCCUAAACUUGGGAGAUUAAGCCCGGUUUAUUUUAUGCAUUGGGAUCUUUUGUUUGAUUUGUUUUUGAGUAUAUUUCAUAUAUUUAUUGUAGGUUCUCCUAACGAUCCUUAAUGGAUUUUCGGGUCUUUCGUCUGACAUUCCUUUUAGUUCAUAUUUUCCGGGUGAGUGGAAUAAUCUUUAAUAUGCAUAUAAUAUAAAUAAAUAUGUAUGUUGAUUAUACAAUGAGUACAACUAGUAAAUUUCUUGAAUAUUUAUAUAUGUUGCUUUAUUUUCCGAGUACUCAUUUAUUCUUGAAUUUGCACUCGCAAUCUGAUAAAGUAAAUUCUAUUUGAUAUGAUAUAUGUAUCUGAUCAAGUAAAGUCUAUUUGAUAUGAUAUACGUUUCUUUGAUGAUUAUGUGAAUAUCUAUUAUGCCUUGAUAUGGGACUUGUCAGUAACUCCAUGCUAACGGAGAAUAGUUAGCCUGUGUGCACAUAGUAUUCUGUUACCUAGCUAGUGAGAGAGGCAUCAGCCUGUGGCGAUUGAUCAUCCCACAGUGGUCACCGACGGGUGUCAUCUGGUCACCUUCGGGUGUCAUCUGGUCACCUUCGGGUGUCAUCUGAUCUCUGACAUGUAAUCCACUACGUUAUGAUAAUAUGUUACGUUAUGAUAAUAUGUUUAGUAAGUAUAUGUAUAUGUAUAUGUAUAUCAAGAUAAAUCAUCUUGCAAAUACUAUCUGAAAUAUAUGAAAUGUAUAUUAAAUGUUAUUCCCUCACUGAGUUGGUUGAACUCACCUCUCAUUUUUUAAUAUUAUUUCAGGUUCUUAGUUUCUGGAACUUUGUUGAGUGUUUCCGCUUCUUCAGUUCUGGUCGGUAUGCCUUGCUUGUUCGCGAGGCUUUCCUUUCAGUUUUGAUUUGAUAUCUUAGAUGCUCCACUGUUACCUUGGUUUAAUUAAAUUUGGAUUUGGACAAUGUAAUGAGUAUUAUGAAUUAUUAUUUUUGUUUUAAUAACUAUCUUUCGGUUUCAUCAGUAUUUGAAUAAUAUAAUAUUUCUGAAUAUUAUGAGCCGCUGCGUAUUUUUGAACAAAUUGUUCUUUUGAUAUGUCCGUUCUGAGGCUUAGCGUAGGUGAGGUGUCCUUUCGACACCGCUCCUACGUUGCCGGUCACGGAUCCGGGAUUCGGGUCGUGACGUUUUAAAAUUCAUUUGAAAAAGGACAAAGAUUACAUGUGUAGUGACUAAAACAUACCCGGUCCCCCUUCCAAAGUUCUCGAACCUUGCUGUGUGAUAGGUUAAGUUCAACAAGGUUCUCUGGAUGAAAAUUGGAUGGCAAAGAUUUCAGAGGUUAUCCAUCCCAAUGGAGAUACCUCAACUCAUCAGAAAGUGAUUUGAGACCAUUAGAAAGGUACACUUUACAGUUCUUUCCAACUUCAGACUUAUAAAUUUUGAGCAAUCUAAUAUUAUACAUCCGAGCAAAAGCUUUAGAGCUUAACUUGAGUUCUUUUAUUUUAGAGGUGUCAAAGAAUAUCCCUUCAACCUUUUCAGUUCCCUAAAGAUCACAGCAAGGAAAAAACUAAAGCAUGAUAAGUAACACAAAUCCAUGGUCAUAUGUGAGUACUUUCAAACUUCAUAGACCAAAUAUCGAAAAAGAAACAAGAAAUGAAAGAAAUUAAGCAUUUGCAUACAUGACACUCACCAUAUUUUUUGUCAAAACUUGAUUGACAUCCCCAGGACUCCAUAACCUACUAUGUUUUCCCAGUUCUUUUAUGGAUUCUUGUCGGACAAUUUCAAAAGCCAUUUCUUGCACCAGAUCAUGCAUUUCAAGCUUUGCAUUUGAAAUUGUAAUAAGGCACCUUUCAACAAGAAAAAAAACUCCAAUAUUUGUUGAGAAACUGGUGCAAGCGUUAUUUCUAAGGUGCCUACUGGAAAGGAAUCCAGUAUUUAGUGAUGUUUACGUAGAGGGCAAGAGAGUCUGCAAUGGGAAUUUAGAGGUUUAAUGGCAACUCCAUUAAUCAUACUUUCAUUAUACUUUUCAUAUCCCUUCUGUUACAACCGUGCUGCAUAUAUAUACACAGCCUACCCAUUACUGGCCUAACCGUAUCCUUUUGUUCCGGACUGAUGAGCACACACAACCUGGUGCUUCAGUUUGUUACAGGAACAGUGGCGCUAAAUGAAACGGGGCGUUUUAGUCUGGCUAUAAUGACUAUAACGGCUUUUUAACAAUUCAAAUUAUAACGGCUAUUUUAACAAUCAAAACUACCUGCCUCAGCCUGUGCAUGUAAUAGGUAUCCCCCCUUCAAAAAGCGACCUUGUCCUCAAGGGAGAAUUCAGGGAAACGACAGCGAAUCUCAUCAGCAAACUCCCACGUAGCAUCAGAUGGUGUGAGACCCUUCCAGUGGAUUAGGACCUGAGUAGUGGCCUGGUUAUCUUUUUUCACCAUCCUGCGAUCCAAAACUAUAUGGGAAAUAAUCAUAGGAACUGAAGGACUACUAGGCACUAUGGACUGCACUAUCUUGUUUCCAAUGUGUUUCUUUAACUGGGACACGUGAAAAAGUGGGUGAAUGGAAGCCGUGCGGGGUAGUAACAACUUGUAAGCUACAGAACCAAUCCGUUUUAGGACUGAAUAAGGUCCAUAGAACUUGGAAGCAAGUUUCUGAGAACUUCUGUGUGCCAUGGUUUUCUGUCGAUAGGGCUGUAACUUGAGGUAAACUAAAUCCCCAGGAGCAAAAUGUCUGUCACUACGCUUGCGAUUGGCAAGUUGUACCAUACGAUGUUGAGCUUUGAGUAAAUUAUCUUUGACUUGGCCAAGCAUCUCUUCUCUCUAGGUAAGCAGUUGAUCAACAGCCUCUACUGUGGAAUCUUUAGGAAAGUAGGGGAUGUGUAGAGGAGGAGGAAAACCAUAUAAAAUCUCGUAAGGAGUAGACUUAGUGGCGGUGUGAUAAUUGGUGUUAUACCACCAUUCAGCAAGAGGCACCCAUUUGGACCAUUGAUGAGGACUGCCACCAGACAUACAACGCAAAUACUGCUCUAAGCACCUAUUCACCACUUCUGUUUGGCCAUCAGAUUGUGGGUGGUAAGCUGUAGAGUGAUGUAGAUCGACUCCCUGAUGGUGGAACAGUUGCUGCCAAAAAUGGCUCAAGAAGACUGGAUCCCUGUCACUGACAAUUGUAGAUGGAAAGCCAUGCAACUUAUACACAUUGUCCAUGAAAACUCUAGCUACCGAAGAAGCUGAAUAGGGAUGACUAAUGGCCAUAAAAUGUGCAUAUUUGCUGAACCUGUCAACUACCACAAAAAUGACUUCCUUACCUUCUGAUUUAGGAAGGCCUUCAAUGAAAUCCAUGCUGAUAUCAGUAAAGGGAGCAAAAGGAAUAGGUAAAGGUUGCAGCAAGCCUGGCGUUAACACAUUUUCAUGUUUAUUUUGCUGACAGAUACCACAUUCCCUCACAAAUUGCCUAAUGUGUUUUUGUUGCUUCUUCCAGUAGAGCAAACUCCCCACCCUUUGAGCAGUAACCACCACCCCUGAGUGGCCCCCUGAAGCUGUAUUAUGGUAUAAGGAGAUCAACUUGUUCUGUAAUGCAGGGUUGUGGCCUACCACGAUUUUGCCCUUCUUGUUUAAGUGAUUGUUGACCCACGUAUAGUGAGGAUGGGAACUGGGGUCAUGCAACAAAUCUUGUAUAAUGUGUUUGAGACUGUCAUCUGAUGCCCAGGUCAGCUUGAUUUCAUCCAUGAUAGGAGUAGAGAUAGAAGACAUGAUCAUUGUGCUUAUGUGUCCACUAGGAAUCCUUGAUAAGGCGUCUGUUGCUACAUUCUCUUUCCCUUUGCGAUAUUCGAUCUCAUAAUCAAACCCAAGUAAUUUAGUAAGCCAAAGGUGUUGAGAAGGACAUGUUACCUUUUGAUCCAGCAAAUGCUUAAGGCUAACAUGAUCAGUCCUUAUGCGAAAAUGUCUUCCCCACAGGUAGUGUUUCCAUUUAGCCACGGCUUGUAGGAUUGCAAACAUCUCCCUCUCAUAAGCAGAUAAGACCUGCUGCCUAGGACCAAGAGCCUUGUUGAGGAAAGCUAUAGGAUGCCCUUCCUGCAUCAACACAGCUCCCACACCCGUGCCUGAGGCAUCUGUUUCAAUUACAAAUAACUUGGUCAUGUCGGGUAAUGCCAAAACUGGAGGAUGUGUCAUUGCUUGCUUUAAUGUUUCAAAAGCAACCGUAGCCUCUUCAUUCCAUUUGUAAGAAUCCUUCUUGAGGAGCUGGGUUAAAGGUUUGCAGAUGGUCCCAUAGCCUUUGACAAAACGUCUGUAGUACCCUGUGAGUCCAAGGAAUCCUCUCAGCUGUUUGAUGUUUUUAGGAAAUGGCUAAUUGACAAUGGCCUUGAUCUUGACUGGAUCCGUGGCCACCCCAGACUUGGUGAUUACGUGGCCCAAAUAUUCAACUUGAGAACUGCCAAAAACACACUUGCUUUUCUUAGCAAGAAGUUUCUGGCUCCUGAGUAUUUCAAACACAAUUUGUAGCUGCUCGACAUGCUGUUCCAAGGUAGGACUAUAUACCAAGAUGUCAUCAAAGAAAACUAGAAUGAAUUUUCUUAAAUACCGCCUGAAGAUGUCGUUCAUCAAGCUCUAGAAGGUAGCGGGUGCGUUUGUUAAGCCAAAUGGCAUAACCAAGAACUCAUAAUGGCCAUUAUGAGUUCUGAAAGCUGUCUUGCGAAUGUCUCCAGCCCGCAUCCUUAUUUGAUGAUAACCAGCCCGUAGAUCAACCUUAGAAAACACAGUAGCUCUGCCCAGUUCUUCCAACAAUUCUUCUACAAUUGGAAUAGGAAACUUGUCUUUGAUGGUCAUUUUAUUAAGAGCUCUGUAAUCCACACACAAGCGCCAAGUGUCGUCCUUCUUCCUUACCAAAACUACAGGUGAAACAAAAGGGCUGGUGCUGUGUUGUAUGAUGCCCGAAUCCAGCAUUUCAGUGACUAUUGUUUCCACUAUGUCUUUUUGUAAGCCAGCAUGACGAUAAGGCCUGAGAUUGACUGGUUGGGAUCCUUCUUUGAGAGGAAUGGCAUGGUCAUGUGCUCUUAGAGGAGGCAGUCCUGUUGGCUCCUUAAAAAUGUCCUAGUAAGAAUGCAACAAUUCAUCUAUGGUUGAAUUAUUUCCAAUGUUAGGUUGAAGAGUUGUUGUCAUUGAACUGAUAGCAUGAUCACUAUCUCCCACCACCCUUAGGCUGCGUAAAUUCACUUCCACCAGCUGGUUUGGACUGUUCAGUAGGCUAUUGAAUUGUUCAAAGCCAAUUGUCUGCAGCUUAACUGGAAUAUCCCCUUGCAGUAAAAUGUCCUGCCCUUGCCAUAUAAAAGACAUCCACAAUUCUUUAAAAUUAGAUAAAAUGUUACCUAAUGUAGCUAGCCAUUGUACUCCCAGCACCACGUCACAAUUAUUGAGUUCCACUACAAACACAUCUGUGGAGAAUUGGACUCCCUGCAUUCUCUAGAGGAAGUUCUUACACACAGAAUUGCAAGUCAUCUGGCCUCCAUUUGCUGCUUCGACUGCUAAUGGCCGGAUUGGAGUGAGGGUGCAGCUCAAUUGCCUGGCCACCUGGGUGUUUAUAAAAUUGUGUGUGCUCCCAGAGUCGAUCAUGAUGAAGAGGGGGGUUUUAUCAACCUUACCAGUCACUCUCAGGGUCUGAAAACCUGAAGUACCCUCCAAGGCAUUGAUUGAUAUUUGGGGUGUGAAGGUGUCAGGAUCAACUUCACUGUCUGCUUGGACCUCAUCUUCUAACACCUCCUCAUUGCCCACAAUACAUAGGGAAUAAACCUUUUUGUUUUUGCAUCUAUGGCCCGGUAUGAAUUUUCUUCACACCAAAAACACAAUCCCUUCGCCCUCCUCUCAUCCAGUUCUUUAUUCCUUAAGGUCUUAGUAGGUCGGUAUGGUUUGUUUGGGGAUUUCUGGUGGUAAGGAUAUGGUUUGAUAGUGGUGUUAGUCGGGUAGAAGGUGGGUUUAGUGCUAUUUUGGGUAGUGUAAGGCUUGGGUGAAUUAGCACUCGUAGGGCUGUAUGUGUUUUUAGAGUAAGACUGGUGUGGCUGUCUAUGGCUAAUGGUGUUUUCUUGUAGCCUAACUAGAUUGUAGGCCUAGUAGAGGGUUUUAGGCUCAAACAUUUUGACCAUGUUCUUAAUCUCCACUUCUAAUCCUCCAAGGAAGAAAACCAAUGCCUGCCUUUCUGUCAUUUCUGCUCUAUUCCACAGAAUAUCAAAUUCCUGUAUAUAAGAUUCUAGAUCAGUCUUCUGUUUAAGGUCUUUUAGUUCCUCUAAAGGAUCAGUUUGGCCUCCAAAACGACAGCAUAAUGCAUCAAUGUAUUCACUCCACAGGACUUCAGGUCGAUGCCUAACAAAAUUCUAGUGCCAGUAUAAGGCUCGGUCAUCCAUGUAGUAUGAUGCUUGUUUGAGUUUUUCAGAAUCAGUCAUUUCUGUAAUUUCAAAGUAUUGGUGACACCUGAAUAGCCAUUGAUAGACAUUGUCUCCAUUGAAACUAGGGAAAUCACGUCUAGGUUUGAAUACCUGGUGAAGAUGUUGAUCUGCUUCUCUGGUCUAAUUAUUUCUGCUGACUCCAUUGGAACACCCCGGCUGUUCAAGGUUAGCAUGUAGUUCACCUCUUCCUGAGCUCAGCCUCUGUAGGAAGGAGUUUUGCUGAAAGGUUAGACCACUGAUUAAGUCUUUGAUCUCUCCAAACUUAACCUCGUGACUCUCCAUUUUCUGGCCAUAGACUUCUAAUAACUUGGUUACUUGCUCAUAUUUGGCCGCGUGCUCCUUGUUGGCAGACUCAAUCGUCUCCUCCAAGCGUCUUAGAUCCUGUGUUCUUGUGUCUGGAGGCAUGGCUGUUGUCCAAGGUUCGCGAGCUCUGAUACUAGUUGGUGCAAGCGUUAUUUCUAAGGUGCCUACUGGAAAGGAAUCCAGUAUUUAGUGAUGUUUACGUAGAGGGCAAGAGAGUCUGCAAUGGGAAUUUAGAGGUUUAAUGGCAACUCCAUUAAUCAUACUUUCAUUAUACUUUUCAUAUCCCUUCUGUUACAACCGUGCUGCAUAUAUAUACACAGCCUACCCAUUACUGGCCUAACCGUAUCCUUUUAUUCCGGAUUGAUGAGCACACACAACCUGGUGCUUCAGUUUGUUACAGGAACAGUGGCGCUAAAUGAAACGGGGCGUUUUAGUCUGGCUAUAACGACUAUAACGGCUUUUUAACAAUUCAAAUUAUAACAGCUAUUUUAACAAUCAAAACUACCCGCCUCAGCCUGUGCAUGUAACAGAAACCACAUCCAUCCAGUAUUCUCUUCACGUAAUCAAUUUGCUUCCCUUUAAAGAAACACGCAAUAUCAAGAAAUAUGUUCUUCUCUUCAUCACCAAGUGCAUCAAAACUUACUUUCAACAUAUUAUAAAUUUUCAGCUGAGGAUUUCUUUCAAGUUUAUUCAAUGCAUUUUCCUAGUCCUCUUUCCUCAGGUCAAAUAGAAAGGAAUCCAAAACUUUAAGAGCCAAUGGGUUUCCUUUAGCAUAAUUUACUGCCCUGAUUGAUAGGCCCAUAUAAUCUUUUGGAAUGUGGUUUCCUUUGAAGACAGACAAACUGAAGAGUUGACGAGCUUCACUGCAAUUUAAUUCCUCGACCUCAUAUAUUUCAUCAGCCACAUUCUUAAGCACUUGUCUAUCUCUGGAUCCCAUGCGUAGAGUGUCAAUACUCUGGAAAGGAAUUCCUCUCGCAAGCGAAUCAAGCCACCACAUUCUUCCGAUUUCUCUCUUACACUGGUAAUAAGACAGCAGCUUUCAUAUUGACUUGAAAUACUGUUGAAAACAGCUUCCGCAAUGGUUGUCUUACCCAUACCACCCAUGCCCCAUAUUCCGAUUAUGCGAGCUUCAGAUGAUCUAAUGCAUAAAAGUGUUUUGAGUCGUUCAAUGCGUGAAUCUAUCCCAACUAGGCCCUUAGAGUCACCUAAUGAUGUGUGUUUCAAUUUUUUCAAAAUGAAUUGCACAAUUUCACUUACGAGUUUGGACUCAGGCCACAUACAAUGGACUAGAUGAUGGCAUGUCUAGGACAAGAUGCUGGGACCUGGUACGAUGGACUGUCUAGGCCAAGACAGAAACACAACAACAUUAGCGGCAUGUGGGGUGGACAGCUCAAGCGAAGCAUGGGGUGGACUUUCCAAGAAGGGUCUGGGGCAGACAAUUGACCAUGUGGUUCGUGAGGGGCAGACCAGGCUAUAAGAACAUAUAGGGUGGACUGGACAAGAGAGGCAUGUGGGGUGGACAGCUCAAGGGAAGCAUGGGGUGGACUUUCCAAGAAGGGUCUGGGGCAGAGCACUCAUGUGUGGAACAUAAGUUUAUGCUGUGGAGUAUGCAACAACUUGUAAGCAGAAGGUAAAUUCUUCGUAUCACACAGACGGAUUUGUGUAUUCCUUUGUCAAAAAUGCUUUUAUGUUUUAAAAAAUUAAAAUUUCAAAAUUACUUAAGAAUAAAAGAUUUUAGAAAACAAAAUUCUUUUUUUUCAAAGAAAUAAAAUCAUGCAUGCUAGCUCUUGUAUAGUGUAAGAGCGUUUUCAAUAUGAAAUGAAAUUUUGUCAAAUUGAUUGGUAAAACUUGUUAAAAUGACGUAUUAAAAAAAAGAUUUCUUGAAAAUACAUAAUAAACAUUUUUGAAAAUGUUGAGACUUAUUAGUUAAGCUAUUUACCUUUUAAAACAAUAUCUAAAAAAAAAAACAGGUAGUUACAAUACUUCAAUACACUUCAAUUGUUCUACGAAAUGACAAUAUUAAAAUAAAAUAAAAAAUGCUUGCAAGAAAAUAAAAGCUUGAUGUCAUAUUAAAAUAUAAUUAUUUAAUCUCUAUAAUUUUAAAUCUAUAAAUAACAUAAUCUUAUUUUAUUAAUUUCAUAUCUUUUAUUAAUUUAUUUUUAAAUUUUUUAAAAUAAAAAUAAAAAUUUUAAGUACAUAAGAUGCAAAAAAAAAUAUGAGAAAAGAAGGUAUAUUUCGUUAGCAAACGACUUGAUUAACCUUUGUCAAUUCUAGUAAAAAAUCAUUAGUCAUAUUAAAAUUUAGAUUGGUAGGUUUGCUCUCCAUUUCAUCCAUUAAGGUUUGGAUUUUGUCAAAUUUUGCAAAAGGGAAAGAAGAAUACAUUAAUCUUAGAUUGGUACAUGAAAUGAAUACCAUCGCUGAUAAAAAUAAAUAAAAGAAUAAUCCAAUUCUCAUCUUAAAAUUUUCUUGGAAUCGACAGCAAUUCACCCCUGUAUCCUUAUCAAAAUAAUUAUUAUAUUAUUUCUACCGUAAAACCCAAGUGUCAUUCAUAUUAAUUAUGCCUUCUCUUUUUUCUCGAGGGAAAAACGUAGCCAAUUUCAUCCCAUCUCAUGCUUGGAACAUGCUCUCUUGGCUUGGAACAUUGCUUCCAAUUCAUCUCGAUCAAGAGGAAAAAACGGAUAGUCUGGCGCCCUGGUCAAAGCAAAGCGACGUAUCUCAUCUUUAUCUUUGGCAUCCAGUAGACGGACUCCACACUCGUUUACUUGACAAAAAUCUAAUGGUAAAAGAUUAUCUUUCCUAUCUACUAGUUGGAAUUCAACUGAGAUCUCAUUGUAUUCCCUAAACAUAUCCUUUUCUUUGACAACCAAACAGGGAUCAAAUACACAAAUAUGUGUUCUGAGUCCAUGCGCUUCUCAUCAUACCAACCAUAAAAAUAGCAAAAGACAUCAUGGCUAUCACCGUGCUCAUUGUGAAAGUGAUACGUGCAUUUAACUCGCAAAUCAUGGCUGACAGAACGAAAUGCAAUUACAGCGCAAAGACAGAAACCUAGGAAGGACUUGCUAUUAGCCCACUGUGAAGAUAGUUGGAAUGUUACUGUAGAUCCCCACUUUUGAUGGCUAAACCACUUCGGAUUCACAUCUCCUGGGAGGUAGAAACUGAUCGGUACUGCCACUACUAAAGUAUUGGGCUCCUUCUGUUAACAAAACAACAUCUUUUAAAAAUAAGACAUGGCAAAUAUGGCAAGGAAAGAAAAAAGUAUAUCUAUUGGUAUAACACAAUUAAAAAAGUUUGAGAAAUAGACCGCAUGGUAUACCUCUUCGGAAUAAAGCAUGAAACCCGAAGAAACACGCAAUAUCAAGAAAUAUGUUCUUCUCUUCAUCACCAAGUGCAUCAAAACUUACUUUCGACAUAUUAUAAAUUUUCGGCUGAGGAUUUCUUUCAAGUUUAUCCUUUGGUCAAAUAGGAAGGAACCCAAAACUUUAAGAGCCAAUAGGUUGCCUUCAGCAUAAUUUACUGUCCUGAUUGAUAGGCCCAUAUAAUCUUUCAGAAUGUGGUUUUCUUUGAAGACAGUCAAACUCAAGAGUUGAUGACCUCAUAUAUUUCUUCAACUACAUUCUUAAGCACUUUUCUAUCUCUGGACGUCACAAGAAUUCAACUUCCUGGACCAAACAUAUCAUGCCUAAGACAUGUUCAUAUCCCAAGACAUUCUGUACUAGUCAUUCUGUGGAUUCAAAUUAACAUGCAUAACAUGGGAAGCAUGAUCCCAAGACAUAUUUGUUGGCGUGAGUUACGCAAUUAGCUAGCUUAGACUGAUGAAUCCUUUCCCUUGAGGGACAAACAUGAUUGUAGUCGAAGAUAUUGUAUAGGCAUUAAAUAACUUUCUAAAAUAGUUCCUUGUAUCUCUAUAUUCUUGUAUCUCUAUAUCUUGUACUCAGAUUAAUGAAAUAACAUAACAAAGAAAGCUAAUUUUGUCAUGGUAUCAGAGCAGGAUCUUAGGUUUCCUGUUUUUUGAUCAGGCAGGGAUCAAGUUUUUCUUUUUUCUUCUUCUUUUUGUUUGGCUUCUAUGGCUGACUCCACUAAAACUAUUCUUGAUAAUCUGACAUAAAAAAUGACAGAGGUCUUGACAAGGGUCCAGAUUAAAAUUUGAAUUUUAUCAAAUUUUGCAAAAGGGAAAGAAGAAUACAUUAAUCUUAGAUUGGUACAUGAAAUGAACACAAUCACUGAUAAAAAUAAAUGAAAGAAUAACCUAAGUGCCAUAUUAAAAUUUUCUUGGAUUCGGCAGCAAUUCGUUACACUAUAUCCUUGUAAAAAUAAUUAUUAUAUUAUUUCUACCGUAAAACCAAGUGCCGCACGUGUGCGGCGUCGCGGCGAAAAACUACAUAGUGUUUGUUUCCAUUUUCUUAAUCUACAAUGUAAAUCUAUCUAUAUCUAUGGGGAUACAAGAAAAUGCUGUCUUUUAUUGGUAGAAAAUGGAAUGGGAGUCGCCACCUAGUAUUUUGGUCACUAGGAACCCUAACUGGUCUCAGAGAUUGGGUACGGGGACUGGUUGCGUAAAGGGAAGGUAUUAGCACCCCAAAUACGCCCUACCUAAGGUAAGCUGCAUUGUUUUAUUGUCUGAUAAAAACUAAGGUGUUAGUGUACUUCUAGUCGUUGGUCUGUUUGUGGUUCAAGAAAAAUCCUCCUCGGUAAGAAGGUCUUUUAUCUUAUCGGGUAAAAUCCUAACCGUUCUAACGUCUAUACCAAAACUUUAUUAAUAAUAUUUAGGAAUACGUUUUACGUAUAAAUUCGUAAUCCCAAAUACUAAAAGAAAACAAAAAGAUUUUUUAAGAAUUUUUGAAAUAUUGGCCUAGUUCUCAUGGCUUGAAUAAACUGGUUAUUAAAGCCAAAAUGCAUGCUAAUACAUAUAUUGUUUUGAAAAUUUUCUUUGUUGUGUGAAAAUAUGAUGUUAUAAUAUUUAUAUAUAUAUAUAUUGGAGAGACUAGGCCGUAUUUUAAAACAAAAACAAUUUUUUGAAAAUAUUAUUAUUAUUAUUGUUUUGACGAAAAUCAGGUAUUUUAAUACUGAGCUUGUAUCCUUACGAUAUAAAAAUACAACCCAAUAUUAAUCCACCUUGAUAAAAAUAUGCAGAAAAAUCAACAACAUUUUUAGGGACUUUUUAGAAUUUUUUUGAAAGCAAAAACAUUUUUUAUUCUGAAAAUCUUUGAUAUUUUGACGAAAACCGGGUAUUUUUAACACUGGUUUUGUAUCUUUACGGUAUAAAAAUACAAACCAACAUUAAACCACUUUGACAAAAAUAUGCAGAAAAUCAACAAUAUUUUUAAGAUUUUUCAAAAUAUUUUUUUUAUUUUUAUACAUAUAUGCAAAAUAUUUUUUUAUUCUAUAAAUUAUAAUACACACAACACACACACACACACAUAUAUAUAUAAUUCACGUCCUGCGUGAACAGUAGGACGUGAAUUAUAUUUCACGCCUACUGUUCAUGCAGUGAACAGUAGAAAGAAGAAGAAGGAGAGAAGAAGAAGAAGAAAGGAGGAGGAAAGGAAAAGGAAGGAGGAGAAAGGAAGAGGGGCUCACUUGGCCGAAGAGGUUGUGGCUGCUGUGAUGAGGUGGUUCAGCCGGUGGUUGCAGCGGUGGAGUUGGAGGAAGACGGCGUCGGUUUCCUGUUGCAGAGGAAAGAAAGAAGAAGAAAAAUCUGCAGAAAUUGGGCGAAAAUGCUGGUUUUUGGCUGACUUUGGACCUGAAUUUUUCAACCCUCAGAUCAUCAAAUCCGACUCUAUUUAUAGGCUGUGGAAGAGGGCAAUCUUGUCUACGUUGGGGAAAAAUUUCAGCCCUUGAUUCAGUUGGAAAGCAUCUCAACCGUUGGCUCAAAGUGUGCACCUCGAGCUGCCAAAUUUGGCAGCUCCAGGCUGUGAACUGCCCGAGGUGGCCACUUUGAGCCACUCACCGGAGCCGUUUAUGACUUUUUCGACCCGACCUGAUCAUUCUCCGGGAUAAAGGGGUUUCAUGUGGACAUGUUGGUGUAUGUUGUGUCGGAUUUGGAGGUGACACGAGCCGGAAAACGCGCCUGGAAAGCAGCCACUCAGGCAGCUUUUUGAGGAAGAAAGUGAACAGUAAUUUAAGGCACCUUUUCCAAAUUGGUCCCUAGUUUCGGUUUUUCACAAUUAAACCCCUAAUUGGCCAUUAAACUUCAAUAUUUAUUCAAUUAAGCCCCUGAUUUGGCCUAAUAAAUUCCUAAAAAAUAUAUUUUGGCCCCAGAACUUAAAUUUCUUCUAAUUAAAGCCCAAAUUGACUUAAAAAUUAAUUUUUCUUGCAAUCAAAACUCAUAUAAAUUCAAAUAAAAAUCCAAUCAAGUCCAUAAACAUCCAAAUUUGGGCUUUUUUCCUCAAAAUUCAAAUUUCCUUCUCAACAGGGCUCUCAUCCUUCAAGAAUAAACUGUUAAAAAUCCAUCUUUGUAUUUUUAAACUCCUUGACUGAUUUUUCUGACCAUUUGCUGAGCGCUUCUGCCUCCUGUUAUUUUUCUAACCUCCUUUGGCUAUUUAUUUUAUUUCAUUUAUUUGGGGACCCAAAAAUGGGUUUCAACACCAAGUACCAUUCAUAUUAAUUAGGCCUUCUCUUUUUUCUCGAGGAAAAAAGAAUAGCGAAAAUAAUCCUCCCAUCUCAUAUCUAGGAACCCAAAACAAAGCAAAUUCCUGACAACAUAAAAAGCAUUGCCUAAGCUAAGUCGAGGGAAAGCCUUGUUUAGACUUUAGAGAAUAAACAUAGGCCUAAACUGAAAGGCCUGCUUAUGUUUGGCUAAAUAAAAAAAAAGAUGGGCAAGAGUGUACCACAUCUAAGCGAGUAUGGGAGGCGUCCGAGCCUUUUGGAUAGCGUUUCUUGGUGUCCAAAAAUACCUUUAUGUCGUGUUGUUGGGAGCAUCGCCAUGUCCUUUUUCUACUGGUUUGACGUGUGCCUCUAGUAUGCAUUUUUUCCCAUUAUUUUCUCUUUCCCUGAAAAUUACAGCUUGACUCUCUUUGUUGAUGGUACUUCAAUUUCAGUUUAGUAAGCUUGGGUUGGCUCAACCGAACUGUUCUCUAAUCUAGUUGGCCCCAAGUGCACAACUCUCUGGUCCACGUAAGCCAACCCAAUUAGACUCACUCAGAGUCACCGCCUUGACUUGGUAUCAUGCAAAUUCCUUGCAUUAGCCCACAUCACAAUGUAUUAUUACGAACUCCAAAAGGUCACCAUGGUGCCACGCACCUGCUAGUGCUACCAUAGUUAUCAGACCCGACCUGGGGGUGGAGCCGGCCAAAAAAUCAGGUUCCGGGUUACACGGGUUGACUUGAGUCAACCAGAAUUAACCCGAAAAAAUUAAAAAAAAAAUUAAAGUUUUAAUAUUUCAUAUGAAAAAAUUAAAAAAUAAUUCAUGUGAAUAUAAGCUAUGCAUGUUAUAAAUAAUAAAGUUUAAAAUAUUAUUUCAAAAAGGUUUUUUAUCACACAUUGAAAAGAUAUCAUGUUAGUAUGUUAUCCUUUUAAGUUGAAGUAUUUAAACCAAAAAGGUUUUUUAUCCCACAUUGAAAAAAUAUUUUUUUUCUUAUGAAUAUAAAAUAUAUAUACUAAAGGGCUUCAAAUCAUACAUUAAAAAAAAUAAAAUAUUCUUUUAAUAUUUAUAUAAUAAAUUUGAAAAGAAUUUAAUAAUACGCUUCUUAGUUAAAAGAAGUCAACCAUUUCAAUUGCAGUAUUAUGAGAUCGAUAUACUUAAUCAUCUAUAAUUAAAAAAAUAUAUCAUCAAUUACUGAUUUAUAUUAAGAAUUAGUUAAAACAGAAAAAUUAACAAUUUAUCUACUCAUUGACAGAUUGAUUCAGUUUAUUUUGAUUCCUUUUGUUUUGACAGCAACUACUGAACAAGCUUUUUCAACUAUGAAAAUUGUUAAAACAAGACUUUAUAAUCGGAUGGAAAAUGACUUUCUUGUAAAUUAUUUGAUUGUCUAUAUAAAAAGAAAAAUUGCUGAAAGAUUCAUAAUUGAUAUGAUAAUUGAUGAUUUCUAUUUCAUGAAAUAACGAUGAAUAUAAUUAAAAUAAAUAUAUAAGAAUUAUUUUUUUAUUAUUUUUUACGUUAUUUUAAAGUUUUAUUAAGCAUAAAUAAUGCAUCGUUUUAACUAAUAUUUCUUAUAUAUUUUGUAUGUUUAUAUUUAAUAGGUAUAAAAACCAACAAAAUUAAAAUAAUGAAUAUAUUAUGAAAAUAAAAUUAACUUUAUAGCUUUGACUCAAUUUUAAACCUCUUACCUUAUAUAAAUAUAUAAAAUCAUCAUAUAUUUAUAAUAAGUUCUUUGAAUAAAAUAAUUUUUUUUUUUUUUAACAAUUCAUGCACAACUAUUUUUUCUUUUUUAAAAAAUAUAUCUUAUCAUAUUAAUCAUUUUUUAUUAAAUAAUCCUAGCUCCGUCCUGAUCCACCUGACCUGGGUUUCUCACAUUGUCAUCAGAAGUUCAAGAGAAUGGCAAAACGGCUGAUAUAAGCCAUAGCAGUAGCAGUUUGAAGUCUAGCACAGAGCGUCUACUAAGAUCAUUCUCGAUGCCAGCAGAUGCAGAUGCAGAUGCAGCAGCAAAUGCAAGGGUGAAUGUCAUCUGCACUCGAAGGAAACCCAUUUUCUUGGAGUGAGUGAUGCAAGCAACCAGAUGCGAGUAACUAAAUCAGAACAGCUCCGAUGGUAAGGAGACGCAAAAUGAUCAGUUUUCGCAAGCUCCGUCUCACCAGAAGGGUAUAAAUAUCAACGACGGCCACGGAAAGACUCCAUAAGAUUUGAACACCGACAGCAUUAAGGGUUGCCAAGUGGUAAGCGGCCUGUGUCCCCCAAAGGCGAACCAGCGUUGCCUCUUUUAUGUCUCAAGAUUUGGAUGUAUGUUUUGGUUUUGUUUACAUGGAAGCCAUUUUUUGUUUUGCUUCUUUCACCGAAGAAGACUGCGUCUGCAUUUUGCUCCGUUUCAACCAGGGGACGCAAGAGGAAAUUGGGAUUCUCUAACAAUCUGCCAGAAUUAUUACAGCAAAUUACAUUACAUUAAAAAAAAAAAGGGGGGGGGGGGCUAAAUUGAGGGGAAUGUUUAAGAGUUUGAUAUUAGCUGUUUUUUAAAGAAUUGUUUUUACUUAAAAAUAUAUUAAAAUAAUAUAUUUUUUAAAUUUUUUAAAAAUUAAUUUUAAUAUUAAUAUAUUAAAACUAUUUAAAAACUGGUAGAUUCAUUUUUAUUUUUUUACUUAAAAAUAUAUUAAAAUCCUUUAAUUUUCAAAAGCCAUUUCUUGCAACAGAUCAUGCAUUUCAAGCUUUCCAUUUGAAAUAGUAAUGACGCACCUUUCAGCAAGAAAAAAAACUGCAAUAUUUGUUGAGAAACCACAACCAUCCAGUACUCUCUUCACGUAAUCAAUUUGCUUCCCUUUAAAGAAACACGCAAUAUCAAGAAAUAUGUUCUUCUCUUCAUCACCAAGUGCAUCAAAACUUACUUUCAACAUAUUAUAAAUUUUCAGCUCAGGAUUUCUUUCAAGUUUAUUCAAUGCAUUUUCCCAGUCCUCUUUCCUUAGGUCAAAAAGAAAGGAACCCAAAACUUUAAGAGCCAAUGGGUUUCCUUUGGCAUAAUUUACUGCCCUGAUUGAUAGGCCCAUAUAAUCUUUCAGAAUGUGGUUUUCUUUGAAGACAGUCAAACUCAAGAGUUGAUGAGCUUCACUGCAAUUUAAUUCCUCAACCUCAUAUAUUUCUUAAACCACAUUCUUAAGCACUUGUCUAUCUCUGGACGUCACAAGAAUUCUACUUCCUGGACCAAACAUAUCAUGCCUAAGACAUGUUCAUAUCCCAAGACAUUCUGUAAUAGUCAUUCUGUGGAUUCAAAUUAACAUGCAUAACAUGGGAAGCAAGACAUAUUCAUAUCCUAAGAUUCAAGUCAUGAUAUCAAUUAAAUGAGAAGCUAUCAAUUUAAAAGUCAAUUUAAAAAUAUAUAUUGACUCAUAUGAAGAAUUUAAAUUCAACAAUUGAUUAUUUUUAUUGUAAUAAAAACAAUAAUCAACAUAUAUAUUAUCAAGAAGCAUGAUCUAAUUUGUAUUAAUAAUUCAAAUAUUUAUAAUAUUUAUCAUGCAUAUGAAAAAUUAUUCACUCAUCUGACUCUAAAGCGAACAUAACUUGAAAGCAGAUACUGAAGGAAAUCCUAUUUAAUACAACCUAUUUUGUAGGUAGAAUAUCAGGAUUAUCUUAAUACAAAUAAAACAUAUUAAAAAACGAGUUGAAAAGAAUAUACAACCUAUUUAAUACACUUAACUAAGAGUUUAUUCCAUAACCUUAUAUGUUUUUGAACUAAAUUAGUUAUUUUUUCUAAAAACACAAAAUUAAAUGGUUUUCUUGAAAUUUAAUUCAUAAGAUAAAAAAAAAAUUAUAAGAAUUGAUAAUAAUUCAAUUAUUCAUAAAACCAAUCUGAAAAAAUUAAAAUUACAUCAAGGGACCAAUCUAGAAUUUUAUCAUAUUUUUAGGGGUCAAGUUGUAAUUUUAUCAAAUUGGAGGAUCAAAAUGAAAAGUCAUAAAUUCAUAACUAUACUGGAAUUUUGCCAAUAAUUCAUAUUUAAUUCUGUCAAGAAUCUAGGAUUAUGCUCCAAGGACCAAUCUGGAAUUUUAUCAUAUUUUUAGGGGUCAAAUUGUAAUUUUGUCCAAUUAGAGGACCAAAAAGAAAAUGUCAUGAAUUCAUAACUAUACUGGAUUUUGACGAUAAUUCAUCUUUAAUUCUGUCCAGAAUCUAAGAUUAUGAUCUAGGGAUCAAUCUGUAAUUUUUUAAAGUUCAGGGACUAAACUGUGAUUUUCACAAAUUAAAGGAUCAAAUUGAAAUUUCAUCAUCUUCAACCUCAAACCUAGAUUUUACCACAGAUUACCUACUGAUAUAUCAAGAUUUCUAACUCAAAUUCAUCAAUUAAAUAAAUCAUAACUCAAAAUCAUCAUUUUGAUCUAAAAUCUUUCAAAAUCAACUAAAUAACUUAUUAUCCAUAACAAUCAACCCAUAAUAUUCAAGUUAAUUCAUCAAUCAAAUCCAAAAUAAAAUCUUCAAAACCCUAUUAUCCAACAAAAAAAAAAAGUAAAGCUAAAGAAAACACAUUUAUACACAUCAAAGCAUAAAUCUUACCUUUUAAAUUUAUUUUCUCUAACUAUCUUCUCCUUCAUUUAUCUUUCCCAAUUUUCUCUUCUUCUUCUUUCCUUUUCCUUCUCUCCUGUCAGUUUUUCACUCUCAAUUUUAGAUCCCUCUUUCUUUCUUCAUUCUAUUUAUACUUAUAAAGUAUUAUUCAACUACCAUAAUACUCUUUAUUCAUUUAUACCUACUUCUAAGCCUCCAAGGGCUUUGUUGUCUUUUUCUAUUCUAUUUUGUUUUCAAAACAUUACAUAAUCAUUGUUUUAUAUAAUAUUUUUUGUUUAGAAAUAUAUCAAAAUAAUAUUGUUUUAAUAUUAUUUUUUAUUUGAACACAUCAAAACAAUCUGACAACAUAAAAAAAUAAAAAUAAAAAUAAAAUAAAAUAAAAUAAUUUUUAUUUUCAAAAACCCUUUUGUUGCAAAGACUAACAGGCUUUUAGCUUCAUCAAAGGAUACUUUAUCACAUAAGCUCCUUUAUUUAGCACAAUCGUUUCUUGAGUUUCAUCAAAUGAAAUGAUCUUAACAAUUCUAUGUUUUUAGGCUUCAUAUAUAAUUUCUUCAUGAUAGUGGUUACUACUUAUCACUGGUUAUGUAUGAAGCAUAUCUCUUGUCUCAUGCUCCUCUGACUAACAUUAAAGCUAUUAUUACAUUGUUGGAUACUAAUGUCAAGAUUACUACUAGUGAUGCUACUCCACUUUAUGAUCCCACACUGUAUUGUCAAUUGGUUGAAAGUCUUGCAUUUUAUGGCACUCAUUUGUGCACAUUGUUAUUUAGUUUAUGCAUGCUCCUUGCAACACUCAUUUUGCAGCUAAUUUUUAUAGUUUUAGAGUCUGUUCAGUAUUGUAAUAAUGAUUGAUUUUCAAAGUAUUUUUUUGUUUAGAAAUAUAUUGAAAUAUUUUUUUUAUUGACAUUAAAAUGAUCUGAAAAUUGUAAAAAAUAAUUAAUUUAAAAUAAAAAUAAAAUAAAAUAAAAUAAAUUUUUUUAAAAAAUACUUUUGUUGCAAAAACAAACCGGCUUUUAGGUACAUAACCUCCUUCUUUUAGCACAAUCAUCUCUUGAGUUGCUCACUUAUUCUAGUGCAAAUUGCGUUGAUGAUCCCACGAAUCAUCACUAAGCUAAUGGAUAUUAUUUCUUCCUCAGGGAUUCAAACAUUUCAUAGAAAAAAGAAAAAUAUAUUUACUUCUCGCCCUGGUGUGUGUGUGUGUAUGUAUAUGUAUUUAUAUAUAUAGAAAUAGAACAUCAUGCUUUUACAGAUAUAUGCUCCGAGUAAUUGUGGUUGUGAUAGCUUCGUUGGGAUAUGAGAGUUCAUUUCUCAAAUGCUACAUUGUAUCAUUCUGAUAAUAUUCAAAGUGUUUUUUAAUUUAAAUUUCUCAUAACAAAGUGUUUUAUAAAAGAACUAAAUGUUGGGACCUAUGAUCAAUGCUCAAAAUUAAGAAUACACAAUUUAAGUGUUUUAUGAAAUAUAUGUAUUUUAUUUGUUAUGGUGAGUAAUUUAAUUAGGGUCUUUAUUUUUAAUUGAUAUAAAAUUUUAAUUAAAUGAGCUAUUUCGUAAAUUAAAUUUAUGUUAGCUGUGUGAUUUAUUUGUGGUUAAAAUGGUAAUCUAUGUUGUUGUGAAAUUAAUUAAUUAGAUAGAUAAUUUGUUGGUAGAAAACAUGUUGAUUUUAAGAUUAUUAUUUGUAAUUUUUUUAUGGUUUUAUUUAAAAUUAGUUAUGUUUUUUAAAUGUAAUUUGAUAACUGAACUGCAAUGAAACUCAAUAAAUAGUUACCAUAAGUUGCUUGAUAGGUGGUUGCAAAACGACGACAAAUAUGGUAUUUGUAAGUGUUCUGUUUUGAACACUAUGUUUUGAUUUCAAAGUAUUUUGGCUUAUCAUUUCAGAGUUAUAUUGUUUAUAUAUAAUUUAAAAUAUUAAUAUGAUAAAAAUAAAUUCAAUUCAAAUAUAAAGAUAAACUAACUUGAAAUAAUGCAAUUUAAAUUUCAAACACAAUUAAUGACCUUUCAAAUCCAUGAUCUGGAUCAUGAGAUCAUAAUAACCCCAAAUAAAACAAAUUAUAAAACUCAAUUAUCAAUAAAUCUAUUGUUGAUUAAUGAAAUUGGGAGAAAAACAAUCUUAAAAAAAAGACACAAAAAAUAACAUUUCAAAACAAAAUUAUGAAAAUGUCAUUGAUAUUCUCUCAAAGCCUUUCUAAACUCCUAUUACCUUGAAAGUUUAACCUGAGAUAUCAUAAUAUUAUGAAAAUAUCAUUGAUAGUCUCUCAAAGCUUUCUAAACUCCUAUUACCCUGAAAGUUUAACCUGAGAUAUCAUAAUAUGUGUCGCACCCUAAAAAAUCCUGGCGCGCGUCAGCUGGUGACUUUUCUCGUUGUUGCAUUUGCCUUGAAUUUGUUCGUUGGAGUCGCCACCUAGUAAUUCAUUGAGGGCUACUAGGAAACCUGAUGUACUAGUCUUGUCAGAGAUCGCGAGUAAGGGACUGGUCGUGGUUAGGGAAGGUAUUAGCACCCUAACACACCUUACCUGAGGUAAGCUGCUUUGUGGACUUGAUGUGUUAAAGAAGUUUUAAAAAUUCAGUUCUUUCAUCGAAUUUUAGAAAAUACAACUUACAUGUAAGUUCAUGAUUCUUUAUCCGUGAUUAAAUCAGAAUAUUAAAUUCUUCUUUAUUCUUGCAAUAUAAAAAAAACAUUCAUAAACAAAAUACACACCACAUUCACUUUCAAGCUUCGUGGACUUGAUAUAUUACAAAUAAAAUUUUAGCCAAUUCUAAGGCUUUGAUAAAUCAGUUAUUACUUUUCCAGACUAUAUAUGUAGAUACAUGUUCUACAUUUCCAUGGAAAAUUCAACAUGAUUUUUAUCUGUCCUUUAGAUAUUUGUGCAUAUAAAUUAAAUUCAUUUUUUUAUUUAUUUAAUAACAAUACAUAAACAAAAUUACAAGCACACACAAACAUUUUUUUUUAUUAUUAUUAUCACUCUCUUUCUUUUCUUUUCUUUUUCUUUUACAUCCACAUUUACAUAAAAUACAAACUAUAAAAAAAACCACAAAAUUAACCAAAUAUUACAAUGAAAAUUACAAAACAAUCUAAAACUAUUCAGAACAGUGGUGGCGCGUGGAUCUCACGCACCACCGCCACUGGCGGCGCGUGGGUCCACGCGCCGCCGUGAAAAAAACAAACUGAAACAGGGGUCUGCAACGACCUCCUCCCCCUUUCUUUCCUCGCCGGCGCCGACCUGCAGAUCAAGCAAAGAACGCACACCAGUCGAUUUUAAUUUUUGUUCUUUGUUUUUUUUUUUGUUUUUUUUCAAAUCUGCUUCUCUCUUCCAGCUCCGUUUCUCUUCCUUCGCUGGUUACAGAUCCGGCGAUGGGUCUGUGGGCGCCGUGUCUCAGCUGCUGUUCGCGACUGCUGAAGUGGGCGGCGGUGAGGGAAUGGACGAAUGGCUGAUCGUCAGGCUCCGCUCGAAAUGGCGCUCGAUCUGUGGGUGUCGCCGUUGGGGUUGCCGCUGGAGGGCAGAUCUGCAGACGUUGCUGGAGGAAGAAGGUGGAUCGCUCCGAGUCUGACGGUGGAGCUGCAGUUCGGCCGCCGCUGGGGAAGGAAACCGAAUGGGGAGCAACCGUUGCUGGUGGGGAAGGAGACUAACCCCACGGAUCCAAGCUGGGAGGGGGCAGCGGCUAUCUUCAACAGGGAAAGGGAGGCUUCGGCUGAGGGGAGAAGGCUGGGUUUGUGGAGAAAAAAAAUGACUGGUUGUCUUUGAUGCAGGGAAGACGAUGGAGAGCUGAAAAUUAGAGGGCUGUGGGAGCUAAAUGAUACCAGAACCGGGGAGGGGCGGCUCCGGAUGGGUGAGGGAGAAACAAAAGUUCAGUUUUUCUAGGGGUUUUUCUUUUUUUGUGUUUUUGGUUCCUCUCCCCAAAAUUAUCAAAUGACCCCCUUCUCUCCUUUGAGUUUUCAACCUAUAUUUAUAGGUAAAAUGUUGCCCGGGUAUCAAAAUUGGUCCCUCAACUUUUUUUUUUUUGUAAAUUUGGAUUUUUCUUGUUUUUUUCUUGUAUUUUUAAAAAUGAGAAAAAUCAACAUCAAUUCUAUGAGAAAAAUAAUGAUUUUAAAAUGACGCGUGAAAAGUCGAACGUGUUCGAAAAAACAAUUGAAAAUUAAAAUUCUUUUUAGAAGACGUUGAAAAUGCUAAAAACAUUGCAAAUAUAUUAAAAAACAUAUUUUUUCUUUCUUUUUGUUGUUUUCACUAUUUUUGGAUUUUUCGAAAAAUUUAUUAAAAAGGUGGGUAAAAAAUUGGGUAACAACAGAUGCCCCCUCUUUACAAUGCUUACGAAGCAAAACUCCUCAAUGUUUUGCAUAGUAAGCUUUGUAAAGAAAAGAAAAAGAAAAGGAUCUUAUUAUCUUGGGCGACAUGCCCCUUUUGAAGAAAUGUGGUCUAUUUUCCGGGGCGACCGGCCCACACAAUCACACUGGUCUACUUUCACGGGCGACCUGCCCACACAUACUCAAAGUGGUCUAUUUUCAGAAGCGACCGGCCCACACACUCACACUGGUCUACUUUCACGGGCGACCUGCCCACAUAUACUCACUCUGGUCUAUUUUCAGGGGCGACUGACCCACACUCUCACACUGGUAUGUUUUCAGGGGCGACCUACCCACACACUCACACUAGUCUAUUUUCACAGGCGACCUUCCCUUUUGAUUGGGUUUACCUGAGAUUCCAUCUGGCGAUCUAACAAGAACAAAAAUCGGUGUGUAGCUCGAUCAACCUGAAAUCCCAUCUAGUGAUUCUGCGUGAUUAGGCUAAACUGAGAUCCCUUCGCCGAUCCCCUUUAACCAUAACCAAGGUCUGUGUGGUUAGACUGAACUGAGAUCCCUUCGCCGAUCCCCUUCAACCAGAACCAAAAUCCUUUCCAAUUAGGUUAAACUGAGAUCCCUUUGUCGAUCCCCUUUAACCAUAACCAAGGAAUGUGUGGUUAGACUGAACUGAGAUCCCUUCGUCGAUCCCCUUCAACCAGAACCAAAAUCCUUUCCAAUUAGGUUAAACUGAGAUCCCUUCGUUGAUCCCCUUUAACCAUAACCAAGGAAUGUGUAGGGUUGGGCUAGACUAAGAUUCCUUUCGGCAAUCCCCUCUAACCAGAACCAAAAACCUGUGUGUGGUUGGGAUAGAUUGAGAUUCCAUUCGGCAAUCCCCUCUAACCAGAACCAAAAACAUGUGUGUGGCUCGGUCAACCUGAAAUUCCGUAUGGAGAUUCCCUUUAACCAAAGCUACAUGAUAUCCCAUCUGGCGACCUCAUUAUUGGAACUAAAAAUUGUGUGUAGCUCAGUCAACCUGAAAUCACAUCUGGCGAUUCCCUUUAACCAAAGCUACAUGAGAUCCCAUCUAGCGACCUCAUUUAACCAAAACAAAAGAAUGUAAAAAAACAAAACGGUCUUAUUGUAAUGGGUGACCUAUCCAAGUGGAAAGAAUAUGAAAAAUGGUCUCAUUAUGAUGGGUGUCCUACCCAGAUGGAAUGAAUAUGAAGUGUGGUCAUAUUAUAAUGGGUGACCUACCCAAAUGGAAAUAAUAUGAUGAAGGGCGGUCUCAUUGUCAUGGGUGACCUACCCAGAUGGAAAAAAUGUGAAAAACGGUCUUAUUAUGAUGGGCGACCUACCCAGAUGGAAAGAAUGUGAUAUGACAAGUGUGAAAAAUAGGACUUACCUGGCGAAGUCCUGAGGGGAUGACAGAAGACGGGCUGGAAAACUUGGUGCUUCAUGAUAAUCCCCGAUCAUAGGUUUUGAAAACUCAGUGUUUCCUGACUGCAAGGGUUGAAAACUCGAGGCUUCCCGAUUGCAAGGUUGAUCUUUUCAUUUCUUUGGGAUUUCCCUAAUGGUAGGGUUCAUCCCAUCUUCCCUUUUAUUCCAUGAUCAAAACUGAUUCUUUAUUAUCAUCACCACAAUGCUUCUUUCUUUUUUCACCAUCUUGCUGGACCUCAUUAAGGAUUUUCCUGAUUUGAAAUAUAGGUCCCCCCUUCUUUGAUGCUCCAUCUUCAUAGGGUGCCUUUGUUUGCAUUCCAAAGCUUUCCUUGUUCUUUCGAUGUAUUGGAUCAUUCAUGUGCUAGCCAUCCACUCAGCUAUAAAUGCAGUGCCCAUCCCGGGCUGUCUUCGACAAUUACUGCUCGCAUCGUUCAUCAAGUUCGACCCUGCCCCCAAGUGUGGUGCUGCUCGAUUCAUUAUGAAGGAUUUUCUCUCCUAAAUUCUUUCGAGGAUUAUCCUUUGAUUGAUUGUGUGCAUCAUGCCAUCACCCAUCAAGAUUGUUAACCAGUCUUGAUCUUGCCUCCAGUUGAAAUAGUACUCUUCAAGUACAUGUUAUCAUCAGCCUUCUUGGAAAUCAUCCAGUCGUCCAGACAUGCAUCUCAUAGCUUGCAGUACAAAGGCUCAUGGUUGUAUGCUCAGUGUUCUUCUUAAUAGAUUCACUUCAACUCUUUUAAUCAGUUUGUGAAAAGAAAUGUCUCGGCCUCAUCAAUGAUGCUGCUUUUAUCACCCAUACUCAUGCGGUGAAGUGCUCAUCUGGCUUCAAAACAAAUUGUCCCACACAGUCAGUCUUCGGGGUGGGUGCCUUUCUGACAUUCAUUCAAUGCAGUUGCGUGGUAACGUCUGUCGAUAACCAUGUUUCAAAGGAUGACAAUAUGAGAUUGUCCUUCAAGUGCAGCAUUGUUCCACAGUCAGUCUUGGUGGUGUGCAUAUGUUCGAUGUUCAUUCAAAUGCACUCACCCGAUAACAUCUGUCAGGAGUCAUAGCCAUGUUUCAGAGGGUGACCCAAGAUGAAGAUAUGAAAAUAUCCUUCAAGUGCAGCGUUGCUCAUCAAUUGCUGCUGAAGUUCACUAAAUCAUGGAUUGUCUUUGAACAACAUUGCCCCUAGUUGAUCUGAACAUGCUCAUUCUUCUGUUUACAACCAAAUGGCUUUUGUGAAUGCCAGGAAUGACUUUGAUGGCCUUUGAUGACUCAUUAUGUGAUUCUUUCUUUGCCCCCAGCUGAUCUGGAUACUGUUUGUUUUCCUUCUUAAGGUUCACUGUAUUAUCCCCAGCUGCUCAACUUUUCAAGGAUUGUUGAGGACUUCAAUGUCAUUUCUAUCAACGAUUUUGCAUACUCAAUCAAUGUUCUUCUGCGUUUGAUAAUCUUCCUUGUUCUGGAAUCAACUCUCAUAUUUCAAAGAUCAUGUCUAUUCAAAGUCUAGUUUGUUGAAAUGAAAUCAGAGAUGUCCUUUUCGAAAAUCUUUUGAAAAUCAAGCUUUUUGAUCAAAGACCCAACACAGGUUAUUUCAAAGUAUACAAUCCUUUGAUUUUCAUGCAUUUUGAAAACAGAAAUUGACCCAAUGUAGGAUUAAAAAUGGCUUUUUCCAUGGUUCUUUGUAUCCAUUUUAGACUCGGAUUUUGGGUAUAUCUUUUGAUGGUCUAUGAUGAGGUGACCUUUGCGUGAAUUUCAAAAGCAAGGCACCCAAGUCAACACUUAGGCUUUAUCAAGAAAGAUUAUUUCUUUUCUUAGCACUUGUUUUAUCAGCAUGCAUAAUAACCAAUAGCUUAAUUCAUGAAGUCACGACCCUUAUGGAAAAGCUCUUCAAGUUUUGAGAGUGCCAUUUAUCGGUUCAAAUUGCUUGCUUGAUUAAAAAGGGCUUUUAAAAGCACGUAAUGCAGGAAUCUCUUUUUUUUUAUUAUUAUUAUUGCAAAGUUUAUUUUUAAUAUUAUAAUAUAUGCUAUUUUUUUUAAAUUAGUUUUUAUUUAAAAAUAUAUUAAAAUAAUUUUUUAUUUUAUUUUUUCCAUUAGUAUAUCAAAAUUACCAAAAAAACAAUAAAUAAAACAUUAACUUAUUUUUUAAAAUAUAUAUAUUUUUAAAACGCUUUCAAAAUAAAAUUUACUGUAAUUUCAAACACCUUUAAAUAUCUAAUUUACAUUUCGGCUGUUACUUUUUGAAAUGUAAUCACUUUCUUCGAGAAUAAACAAGUGGAUUUCAAAUUAGUUGUCUAACAAAAACAACAGGAGUGGCCGGCAGAGCCCCAGCCCGUGCAAAAAUUAUUUUUUUCCCUGCCUCUCUCUUAAAUAAUUAUAAAUUUUAGCUCUAGAAUUAUUAAAUUUUAACUCUUUUUAACCCUUUUUAAUUUUAUCCUCCAAUUCUAAUGCCCUGUCUCCACUCCAACCCUGGAAACAGCCUCAAAAAAGUGUAAUACCAUUUAACAGUGCUAAAAAAAUUUAAAAAAAAGACCUAAAAUUAUGUAAGAAUUCAUAAUAAAAUUCAAUAGAAUUGUCAAGCAUCAACUAAAAUAACUGCUGCCCGAGAGACGACGUGGGCCAUAGCUCUUGUCUCAUCUAUAAUUUUAAAUUCUAGCUUGAUUCGGCAGUUAAUUUGAGAUUUUGCUCAUUCGAAAUUAAAACUAGACCGAUUAUAAAAAAGUAAAAAUAAUUAAAAAUCCGAAUAACUCAGCUAACUUAAUGUGUUGAUCUAGUAAUGUGAUUGACUUGACAAGAUUCGGUCAAAAAUUCAAUUAUAAUCCAUUGAUUAUUAUUUUUUUUUAUCAAAACAAUAUCAUUUUAAUUUUAAAAAAAUAAUUAUUGGCUUGAGUGACUUAAUAACCCGGUUAAAAACCAGUGACCCAAACCUUAGGCCAGAUUUGAAAACACUAUCUCAUCUAUGCAUGGCUUGCCUUUUGUUACCUAGUUCAAUAUAUAAAGAAAAUAUUGAAUCUAGUGAACACAACAUUAAAACAAAUAAAAAUGAUAAAUAUAAUAGAUUCUUAAAUCUGAGCUAAACAAAUUAGGAUUUGAAUAUGGAUAAACAUUUAUAAAAUUCCAAUUUAAUUAAAAAGAUCCUCACAGACAUUUUUAUUAAAUUUGACAAUCAUAAUUUAUGAAUACCUCUUUCUUCUGAAUUCAUAUACUUCAUUGGUAAAAGAAAUUAACAUAUUUUAUAAUUUCUUACACUUUAAGUGAUAAACUAUAAUAAAACAUAGCACACCCACACAUAUGUACUCCUGUGUGUGUCUAUAUAUAUGUUGUUAAUAUUAUUAAACAAAGUUAAAAUGAGUGAUUUUAACGUUGUUAUUAUCAUUCUAAAUUACACCUAAUCGAUAAUUUAUUAUUUUUACAAAGGAUUAGUUGUGCUUAAUUCAGAUAUUCGAUACUCAUUAUUUGUUUAUAUAUUUCUUAAAAAAAAUAGUAAAAUAGAAAUAUAUACAAGAUAAUUAAGUUAAUAUUUCAAUAACAUAUCAUAUUAAAGUAUCUUUAAAGUACAAUUGAGAAAAAGAGAAUAUAUAGAUAGGUUUGCAAAAAGUAUAGAUCUUAGAGAGUAAAGAACAGUAACUUGAUUGAAAAACUACAAACCCAUCUCUCCUUUUUUUUUUUUUUUGAAGAUCUUUUAGUAUUUUGAUAACUUUUGUUUGUUUUUUUUUUUCAUUUAUAAAGAAAAAAACAUUUAGUUAGACAAAUAAUCUCUACAUUUACACUUAAUUUCAUUUAUAAAGAUUUAUUUAUUAUUUAUUUUAUUAUAAAAUUAUUUCAUAAUAAUUUUAAUCAAACACAUAUUUUUUUAGAAUUAUAAUUAAAAAUUUUAUUAUUUAUUUAUUUUAUUGCGAGAACAGAAAAGACUAGGAGAUGGGGCCUUACGAAAUCUUCAUCCGAAAUAGAGUUCAAAAAAUUAUUAUAGCUCAGUUUAGUAUUAGUAGCAGCUACUAAUAAUAAUAACAUGAGAGUUAAUUAUAACUUGUUAAAAUGAUAUAUUAAAAAAAAAGAUAUCAUGGAAAUACAUAAUAAAUAUAUUUGAAAAUGUAGAUACAUAUUAGUAUAAUGAAGGUAUUUCCAUUCUAUGCUAACAUUGAAAAGUACAAUAUUAAAAAAAAAAAUGCUUGCAAGAAAAUAAAAGCCUAUCGUCAUUUUAAAAUAUAAUUAUUUAAUCCCUAUGAUUUUAAAUCUAUAAAUAACAUAAUCUUAUUUUAUUAAUUUCAUAUCUUUUUUAUUUUUUUAAUAGAAAUAAAAAUUUAAGUACAUAGGAUGAAAAAACAAACAAAUGAAAAAAGAAGGUAUAUUUCGUUUGCUAAUGACUUAAUUAGCCUUUGUCAAUCCUAGUAAAAAUCAUUAAUUUUGCUAAACUACAAGGUCUAAAUUUUAACAACAACAAUAAUAUACUAAAGUUUUCUCUAAAAGAUAUAUACUUGCACUCAAAGAUAAGUAGGUUUGUUAAAUUAUGCAAAAGGGAAAGAAGAAUACAUUAAUCUUUAAUUGGUACAUAAAAUGAACACCAUCGGUGAUAAAAAUAAAUAAGAGAAUAACCUAAUUGUCAUCUUUAAUUUUUUUUGGACUCGGCAGCAAUUCACCUCACUAUAUCCUUGUCAAAAUAAUUAUUAAAUUAUUUCUACCGUGAAACCAAGUGUUACAUUAAAUAUACCUUCUCAUUUCUCUACGGGCUUGGAACAUUGUUCUCUAGGCUUCCAUUAUUGCUCUAAGGUAUGGCAACCUUGUUCUAUGGGCUUGCAACCAUGUUUCCAAUCCAUGUUUAUCUUUGGCAUCAAGUAGACGAACCCCACACUCGCGUACAUCUAAUGCUAAGAGCAUGCCGUUCAUAUCUUCCGGUUGGAAUUCAACUGAGACCUCAUUAUAUUUACUAAACAUAUCAUUUUCUUUGACAACCAGACAGGGAUCAAAUCCCACAAAUAUGUGCUCUGAGCAGAUGCGCCUCUCAUCAUUCCAACCAUGGAGAUAGCAAUAGAGAUCAUGGCUAUCACCGUGCUCAUUGCUGAAGUGAUAUGUGCAUUUAACUUGCAAACUAUGUUUGAAAUAAUGAAAUGCAAUGACAGCGCAAAGAGAGAAACCCAAGAACUCGCUAUUAGCCCAAUGUGAAGAUAGCUGGCAUGUUACUGUAGAUCCCCAACUUUGAUGGCUAAACCACUCCGGAGUUACAUCUCCAUAGAGGCAGAAACUAGAUACCCUUUUUGAAACAUCGGGCUCCUCCUGUUAACACAAUUUCAAUAGCAUCUUUUUAAAAUGAGACAUGACAAAUAGAGAAGAAAAGAAAAAUACGGUAUAACUCUCCGGAAUAAAGUUGAAAAUCCAAUAAGGACCUCACCAAGAAUUCAUAGGUCCUACGUAUGACAGAAUAAUCCUCCCAACUCAUGCCUUGGAACCCUGCUAUCUUGCCUUGGAACCUUGCUCUCUUGUCUUGGAACAUUGCUUUCAAUGCAUCAUAAUAAUCGUCGAUGCAAUGUAUCUCAUCUUCAUAUAGUAGGCGGACCCCACACUCGUGUACUUGACAAAGAUCCAAUGGUAAUAGAUUGCCAUUCAUAUCUUCCAGUUGGAAUUCAACUGAGACCUCAUUGUAUUCAUUAAACAUAUUCUUUUCUUUGACAACUAGAUAGGGAUCAAAUCCCACAAAUAUGUGCUCUGAGCAAAUGCGCCUCUCAUCAUUCCAACCAUGGAGAUAGCAAUAGAGAUCAUGGCUAUCACCGUGCUCAUUACGGAAGUGAUAUGUGCAUUUAACUUGCGAACUAUGGUCAAAAAAAGAAAAUGCAAUGACAGCACAAAGAGAAAAACCCAAAAACUUGCUAUUAGCCCAAUGUGAAGACAACUGGCAUGUUACUGUAGAUCCCCAACUUUGAUGGCUAAACCACUUCGGAGUUGCAUCUCCAUAGAGGCAAAAACUAGAGACCCUUUUUGAAACAUCGGGCUCCUCCUGUUAACACAAUUUCAAUAGUAUCUUUUUAAAACGAGACAUGACAAAUAGAGAAGAAAAGAAACAUACGGUAUAACUCUCCGGAAUAAAGUUGAAAAUCCAAUAAGGACCUCACCAAGAAUUCAUAGGUCCUACACAUGACAGAAUAAUCCUCCCAACUCAUGUCUUGGAACCUUGCUCUCUUGUCUUGAAACCUUGCUCUCUUGUCUUGGAACCUUGCUUCCAAUGCAUCACAAUAAUAGUCGAUGCAAUGUAUCUCAUCUUCAUACAGUAGGCGGACCCCACACUCGUGUACUUGACAAAGAUCCAAUGGUAAGAGAUUGCCAUUAAUAUCUUCCAGCUGGAAUUCAACUGAGACUUCACUGUAAUCAUUAAACAUAUCAUUUUCUUUGACAACUAAACAGGGAUCAAAUCCCACACAUAUGUUCUCUGAGCAGAUGUGCCUCUCAUCAUUCCAACCAUGGAGAUAGCAAUAGAGAUCAUGGCUAUCACCGUGCUCAUUACGGAAGUGAUAUGUGCAUUUAACUUGCGAACUAUGGUCAAAAAAAGAAAAUGCAAUGACAGCACAAAGAGAAAAACCCAAAAACUUGCUAUUAGCCCGAUGUGAAGACAACUGGCAUGUUACUGUAGAUCCCCAACUUUGAUGGCUAAACCACUCCGGAGUUACAUCUCCAUAGAGGUAGAAACUAGAUACCCUUUUUGAAACAUCGGGCUCCUCCUGUUAACACAAUUUCAAUGGCAUCUUUUUAAAAUGAGACAUGACAAAUAGAGAAGAAAAGAAACAUACGGUAUAACUUUCUGGAAUAAAGCUGUAAAUCCAAUAAGAACCUCACCAAGAAUUCAUAGGUUCUACGCAUGACAGAAUAAUCCUCCCAACUCAUGCCUUGGAACCUUGCUCUCUUGUCUUGGAACCUUGCUCUCUUGUCUUGGAACAUUGCUUCCAAUGCAUCACUAUAAUAGUCGAUGCAAUGUAUCUCAUCUUCAUAUAGUAGGCGGACCCCACACUCGUGUACUUGACAAAGAUCCAAUGGUAAGAGAUUGCCAUUAAUAUCUUCCAGUUGGAAUUCAAUUAAGACCUCACUAUAUUCACUAAACAUAUCAUUUUCUUUGACAACUAAACAGGGAUCCAAUCCCACAAGUAUGUGAUCUGUGUCAAUGUGCUUCUCAUCAUACCAACCAUGGAGAUAGCAAUAUAGAUCAUGGUUAUCACCGUGCUCAUUGUUGAAGUGAUAUGUGCAUUUAACUUGCAAACUAUGGCCGAAAGAAUGAAAUGCAAUGACAGCACAAAGAGAGAAACCCAAGAACUUGCUAUUAACCCAAUGUAAAGGCAGCUGGCAUGUUACUGUAGAUCCCCAACUUUGAUGGCUAAGCCACUGCGGAGAGACACCUCCAGGGAGGUAGAAACUACAUGCCCCUUCUGGAACAUCGGUUAGCUGCUAACACAAUUCAAAUAGCAUCUUUUUAAAAUUAAAAGUGGCAAAUAAAGAGAAAAAAAUAAUUGUAUAUCAGAGAUUUGGGAAACAGACCUGAUGGAGCAUUUCGGUAUAAAGUUGAAAUUUCAUUAAUGAGUACGACAAGAUUUGAUUGCUCCUACACAAGCUUAAGCAAUUAGUGAAAAUGAAUUCAAAAAUGUUCCCCUUAAGCGGAAGCAAUUUCAUCCAACUUUGAUAGCUUGAUCCUAGAUAAUUCAAACUCUCGCAAUUGUCUGCAUCCAACUUUGAUAGCUGUGGUGGAAGCUCUGGUAAUGAUUCAAGUCUCUUGCAAUUCCUUAAUCCUAGAUAUUGCAACUCCAAGAGUUUAUUGAUGCUUAUAGGUAUAGCCUUAAAAUCAUUUCCACUUAGAUCUAACAAUUCCAAUGACGAUAGACAACCAAGACUGUCUGGCACUAUCGAUAAAUGGCAACCAUCUAGAUUUAGCUUACGCAAACAAUCUAAAUCCACGCAUCUCUUGGGCAAUUGCAAGUCAACAAAACAUUCGAUGUCAUUUAGAUAUUUGCAGUUUCCCACUUCCAAGCAGGCAAGUCCCUUCAGAUUUCCAAUCGGUGAAGGCAACUUUGUUAUGCUUGUCUGUUCUAAAUAGAGAUAUCUCAAACAAUACAUCGGCUCCAAAACUUCUGGAAAAUCCCUAAAUUGGAGGCAACCUGAGAGAUUAAGCCUCUGCAGUUUUCUCAACUUGCAGAUGCUGCUUGGAAGAAUCUUAAAUUGUUUGCAGUUUUGCAGGUGCAAUUCAUAAAGUUCACACAAACAUUCAAUUGAAAAGGGAAUCUCUUGUAUUGCUGUCCCAUUUAAAUAUAGCUCCUUUAUAUUAUUGGAAACCUUUGGAAACUCUGUGAUACUUGAGCAACCGGAAAGAUCUAAAUAAAUGAGUUCCCUUAGAUCACCAAUUGAAGAUGGCAGUUCUUCUAUUGCAGUUCCAUUCAAGUACAAGUAUCUAAUAUUCCUCGAAAAGCAGGAACCUGCUGAUAGAUGAGCAGCCAACAGAGAUGUCGACGAUUAGAAGAGAUUUCAACAAAUAUAUGUUUUCUGGAAUAUUCACCAGGUGUUUGCAGUUCUUCAAAUUCAACGCGACAAGUCUGCUGAGUUCCCCAAUUGAUUGGGGAAGCUCUUCAACAGCAGUAUCAUUUAAAUUUAAAUAUGUCAGUUUCCUUGCAGUUUCUGGGCACUUCUUGAUAUUUGAACAACCAGAAAGGUUAAGACUCUUCAGACAUCUUGAAUUAAUUCUACUGGGCAGAUUGAUUAGGCUUGUGCAGCCUCUCAAAUCUAAAUCAUUAAGCUUGUCCAGAUGCUGUAUAGAUAAAGGAAUCUUAACCAAACUGGUACAGAAUUGAAGAUUCACUCUCUCAAGGUUUCUGGCCUUUGAAAGCUCUGGCAGGGAAGUUAUGUGCUCACAAUUGCUGAGGUUGACAUCUUUUAAAUUGACGAGAUUCUGAAGCAAAAUGAAAUCAACAGAAAGAAAUUACACUUCAUACCACACUUAAUUUCAAAGAAAGAACUAUGCAUGCAUAGAGUUCUUUUAAAAUACCUGGUCUGCUCUCCACAGUUGCUUAACCUUGCUAGAUGAUAGGUUAAGUUCAACAAGGUUCUGUGGACGAAAAUUGCAAGGCAAAGAUGUCAAAGGGUAUCCAUCCCAAUGAGGAAGGUGCAGUCUGCAUUUAACUCGAGCUUCAGAAUUAUAAAUUUUUAGCAGUCUAAGUUUAUACAUCCUUUUCAAGGCUGCAGAACUCAACUCAAUUUCUCUUAUUUUUGAAACAUCCAAGAAUAUCCCUUCAACUUUUCCAGUUCCCUGAAAACCAGUGAAGGAGAAACGAAGUUUGAAGUAAGAUUUUAAACUUACUAGUACAACCAUAUUGCAUUGCAUAUGAAAAGGAAAACUUUCGUGUAUAUGAAUCUCACCAGAUUAUUGGUCAACACUUGAUAUACAUCUUUAGGACUCCACAAUCUGCUUUGUCCUCCUAGCUCAUCAAGAGAUUCUUUUCGAACAACUUCAUGGGCCAUUUCUUGCAAAAGAUCAUGCAUUUCAACCUUGUCAUCUGAAAUUUUAAUGAGACACCUGUCAAUGAGAAGACUGAAUCCAAUAUCUGUUUUGAAACCGCAGCCAUCUAGUAUCGGCUUUACAAAAUCAACUCGAUGCCCUCUAAAGAAACAUGCAAUGUCGAGAAAUAUACUCUUCUCUUCACUAUCAAGUGCAUCAUAACUUGUUCUCAACACACUAUGAACUUUUUGCCGAGUUGGUUUUUCAUCCUUGUUCAAUUCACUUUCCCAUUCUUUUGUCGUUCUGCCAAAUAGAAACGAACCUAAGACUUUAAGAGCUAAUGGAUUCCCUUUAGCGUAAUUUAUUGCCCUCACAGACAGCUUCAUAUAAUUGUAUGGGGGCUGAUUAUCCUUAAAUGCAUGCAAACUAAAGAGAUGAAGAGCUUCCUGGUAAUUCAGUCUCCCAACCUCAAACAUUUUGUCUGAAUAUUUCUUAAGGACCUGUUUAUCUCUAGAUGUUAGGAUAAUUCUACUUCCUGGACCAAACAAAUCACAUCCUCCAAGUAACAUUUCAAUUUGAUCUACAUCAUUCACAUCAUCGAAAACAAUCAGAACCUUUUUACGGCAUAUCCUGUCUUUAAUGAAAGGGUGUCCAAUACGUGGAGUGCGAAUAUGUAGAUUUUCUUCCUCUGUUAUUUUAGAGAAAAGUUCAUCUCGCAUACGAAAUAAUCCUCCAUUCUUUUCUGAUUCCUCCCUCACAUUUGCAAGAAAAUAGUGACCUUCAUAUUCCCUUGCGAUCUUGUUGAAAAUCUCUCCGGCAAUGGUUGUCUUACCACUACCACCCAUGCCCCAAAUUCCUACAAAACAAACCUCCGGUAACUGUGUGCAUAAUAAGGCUUCGAUUUGCUUCAUGCGUGAAUCCAUUCCAACCAGGCCCUUCAAAUCACUUGAGGAUGCAUAAUUCAAUUUCUUCAAAAUAUGAAGUACAAUUUGUUCCACGAGUCUCGACUCAGGCCUGCCAACAUGGAGGCGAACAGAUAUGUCAAAUAGUACCCCAAGGAAACACAAUCUUUUCUUGAGGUUGGAACUUGUGUGACGGAUUCCAAUUGCCAUACAUUAUAACACCACAUACUUUAAACUGCUCAUUUGGUAACAUUUAGAAGUCACAUAACAUAUUAUAAAGCUCAAAACAUAUGCUUCUGAAUCCAAAAAUAUGAUUAUCAACUUCAAGAAAUUUUAAUUGCUAUAAAUAAAUUUUAAUUGCUAUAAUUCCAGAAAAAAAAGGUUGCAGAUGAGAAUCUAUAGUUACCUAGUAACCUGUGAAUCCCAUCCGGAUAUAUUGGCAGCACUUGUUAAGUCAGCUCUCCACCUUGGAACCUUGUCCAUCUUCUGCUUAAAAUUUCUUUCAAGCUCAGCAAACGCAUUCCCAAAACUCCCUGUCUGUUCGUCAACAUCGGACGGGUCCACAUGAUAGAAAACUGGUAAAACAAUCUGCCCGUAUGCCUUCUUGCAUUCAAGUAUCUUCACUAGUUCAUCCACACACCAUGGAGAAGAUGCAUAGUUUCUUGAGAAUAUUAUCACUGAAAUUCUCGAUUCUUCAAUUGUUCUCAGAAGUGCACCCGUAAUUUCUUCUCCUCUUUCAAGCCCGUCGUCUAUGAAGGUCUUGAUUUGUUUACCACACAGAGCAUCAUAGAGAUGGCUAGUAAAAUUAUUGCGCGUAUCCUCGCCUCUAAAACUAAGGAACACAUCAUACCUCCUUUUAUGAGCAACAGCAGAUGAAGAUGCCAUAUCAGACUGUUACAAGAUCGUGUCUUCCUCAAUCACUAAGAAUCGGAAUCAAUAAGUGCUCUCCUUUUUCUCCUAAAGACAUACAAAGCACCCACUUCAACAGCUGAACAUUCAUUAAGAGAAAUUGAAGUCUAAGAGUACAAGAACCCACACAACAUAUAUUUAUCAGAAAAUUUCUCAAACUCUUAACGAUGGAUAUAUACUAGCAUAAUUUGAUACGAUCUAUCUUAGUUUGAUCACUCGUCACUUGCUACAAAUGCUAGCUUGAUAUUACUUUCAUCAAAAGAACAGUCACUAGCUGAGCAAAAAGAAUUACAGAUGGAAGAAUAAAUACGUUAAUGAAUCAAACUUAUCAAACUCGUAUAUAUAAUCUUAAAUAUAGAAGACAACAUGAACCAGAAAGACUUACCAACAGAUCAUAAGAACAGUUGACUUGUGUUUUGCAUCAGCAAACAAGACGAAGAAGAAGCUGCAUAUUGUUUAUGAUAGAGACGAUUUUUCUUGUCUAUUGCCUUCUCCUACUCCAUCAAGUAAAUUCUUACCAACAGAUAUCUCAUCGUUAUCUAAAUGAAAUAUGUGGAUGUGAGAAGACUUUGGGGUCAUUAGCCAAUGGACUUGUCAUGGCAUUAUGUUUUUUUUUCUUUUUCUUUUCUUUUCUUUCUUAGUGCACAAUGGAUGGGCUUCCUAAAGUAAUUUGUUUGGGUCUUCCAAACCAAAAUCUUAACCCAUUUCAACCUUUCUUUUGGGUUGUGCAAACAAAAUAAUUUUGAAGAUGUCUGUCAUUUAACAUAAUGCUGGAAAUAUGUAUUGUGUCGUCAUUUUCAUAUUUAGAUUAACGAAGUACUAAUGUAAAAAACUAUUUAAAAAUAUACACCAACUUUACAAAAAUAUAUAUUUUAUAAUUGAUGGUAAAAUAAUGUUUAUUUCAGCUGGUAAUUCCAUUAAAUAACUUGUACCAUCCAGUUUUAUAAUUUAAUUUAACUCUCAUUUUCCUAAAGAAAAAAGUAAGUGAUUUGUUUUAUGAUUGAUCUUGAUUAUUUUGUUUUCAUGCAUAAGCAUGAGAUUCUCAAUAUAGCAUGAAAAUGUUUAAUCUCUUAGUUAAUGUUCUGUUUGAGAAAGUAAAAUUCAAUUUUAUUUAUUUUGUUGUUACACAUUUUUGGGUUAGCAUACAAAAAAUAUAAAAAAAAUACAUAUAAAAAAUAUAUAUUCGAAAGAAAUCCAAAAAAUAGUUGGAGUGAGAAAACGAUGUUGGAAUGCCCACAAAAUAGUGAGAAAUGGAUUGAGGAGGUUCAAAAAUACAAGAAUUGAAAUUUUGACAGUAUAUUUUUACUGAUGAGAGCCCUAGGGACAAGGAAAAUUCAAUUUGAGAAAGAAAAGUACAAAAUCAGAUGUUUAUGGACUCAAUUAAAAUUUAUCCAAGGUUUAAUUGAAUUUAGGGAGGGUUUGAUUGUAAGAAAAAUGAUCUUUUAAGUCAAUUUAGGCUUUUAUUGGAAGAAAUUAAAGUUCUAGGGUCCAAUUAUAAUUUUGAAGGGUUGAUUUGGUCAAAUCAAGGGCUUAGUUGCAUAAUUAUUGAAGUUUGAUGGCCAAUUAGGGACUUAAUUGAAAUAAUCCGAAACCAAGGAUCAAACUAGAAAAGUCAAUAAAAUUAAGGGACCUAAUUACAAUUUUUACGGGGUUUGAUUACAAAAUUGCAAAAAUUUCAAUGACCAAAUCAGAAGAAUCCAAACGACACCAUUUCCAUUGAAGCACUAUUCAUUGUCUUUUUAAACAUGGCAGUUGUGGCGUUAAAGGUAGGAGACGUUAGUAGCGAUAAUGGAGCUGCUUCAAUCAGGGGGCAUGUCUCACGCCACCAUGUACACUGGCCGUUACUCUAUUGCCGGAUAAUGUCUGCAUCCUCUGGCUAUAAAAGCCAGAGGAAAGAAGCAGCCAGGAAAAAAAAAGAAAAGGAGGAGAAAGGGAGAACGAGACAGCAAAAAAAAAAAACAAGAGAGGAGAGGUGACAGUGAGAAGAAAACAGAGAGGGAAGAGAGGGGAGCAGAACAGGUGGGCAACACAGGAAAAAGACAGACACAAGACAUAGAGGAGGAAGAAAAGAGAGGGUGGGAAAUAUUUUGAAAAAGAACGAAAAACAGAGACCAAAAGGAGAAGAACUAGAUAGAAGCAGACGAGGAAGAAAAAACAGAGGUUGGUGUCUCUGCAUGGGGAAGAAGAAAAACUACAUCACCGUCAUAACCACCGUGACCCAUCGUCAUCUUCCUCUCCACUGCCACCAGCAUCACUGUGAGCAUACACCAUUACCAUCGUCUUCGACAGCGUUUCCGCCACCAGGUUUGUUCUCUUCGUCUCUGUGCAUGCAAUUCUAUUUUUGCAUUUUCACUGUUCAAGUGAAUUAUAAUUCAUUUAAACAAUAACUAUUUCCAUUUGCAUAAGCAUGCACGCUUAAGCAUGCCUUUUGUUUCCCUAGCCGGGUCAUUGGCUUGAGCUAGUGACCCAGUUAGGCCUGUUGGGUCCAGCCCGAAAAAAAAAUUUCUUCAAAAACAAUUUAUUUCAAAAAAAUCUAUGAUUUUCCAAAUAUUUUUAUAGUAUUUUGAUCAAUAUUGGUUUGUAUUUUUAUAUUGUAAAGAUACAAAUCCAGUAUUAAAAUUAAAAAAAAAAUUGUAUUUUUAUGCAUACGACCAAGUCUCUAAAAAACAAAUCAUAUUGUAUUUUCAUAUAACAAAGAAAGUUUCAAAAAAUAUGUAUUAACAUGCAUUUUAGCUUUAAUAACUAGUUUAUUAAAGUUACGAGAACUAGGCCACUAUUUCAAAAAUUUCAAAAAAAAAUAUUUUGUUUUCUUUUAAUAUCUAGGGUUACGACCUUAUACGUAGGACAUAUUCUGGAUAUGAAAUUAUCUAUUGAUGUUAGGAUGGUUAGGUUUUACCCAAUAAAAUAAAAAUAUCUUUAUCGAAUAGAAUUUUUCUUAAACCAUAGACGGACCAAAAACUAGAAAACACAACAAGACUUUAGAUUUUAUCAAACAAUAAAACAAUGCAGUUUACCUUAGGUAGGGUGUAUUUGGGGUGCUAAUACCUUUCCUUUAUGCAACCAGUCCCCGUACCCAAUCUCUAAGACUAGUUAGGGUUCCUAGUGACCAAAAUACUAGGUGGCGACUCUCAUUCUAUUUUUCCACUAAUAAAAGACAAGAACUCCUUGUCUCCCCGUAUUUGCCAGAUAAAUAUAUAAGAGACAUUUUGAGGGUGGAUGUUUUCGCUACGACGCCACACAUGUGCGAUAUAUUUCAUAUAGUUAUUGAAGAUUAAAGAAAUACUUAGUUUUUUUUUUUUGGUGAAAUUAGGGAUUGAUUUGUGUGGUUAGGGGGAGCUCAUAUCCUAUUUUUUAUUUCGGUCCCUCAAUUAUUAUUUUUAAUUUGAUUCCUUCAUAUUGGCUUCUUUUAAAAUGAAUUAGAAAAUACUUUUAAAUGUUUGCUUAUACCAUGAAAAAUAUAUUGGAAAAUAACCCAUUGAUGUUUUAGUUUUUUAAAAGUUUACUAAAAGAAUAAGGACCAAAUCUGACAAAUAAAAAGUUGAAGAAUAAUAAAAUUAAAAAAAAAUUAUUUUCAUAAAUUAUUUCAAAUAAAACGAAUAGCAAUAAAAAGAAUAAGGAUCAAAUUUGACCGAAAAAAACAUUGAAAGAUGAUAAAAUGGUAUUUAUUUAUUUUUUAAUUUCAUAAAUUACUUCAAAUAAAAUAAAUAAUAAUAAAAAAAUCGAAACCAAAUCUAACAAAUAAAAAAGUUGAAAGAUAAUGAAAUUAAAGAAAUUAAUUUCAUAAAUUAUUUUAAAUAAAAACAAUAGAACAAAUCUAAUAAAUUAAAAAUUAAUUAAAAAAAUAAUAAAGUUUGAAAACACUUUCAUAAAAUAAACUACAUACUGAAGCAGAGAGAUUUUAAUUUAUUUAUCAUACAUGAUGCAUGGCUUCAUAUCCUAACGUGUGUCUUGUUUGGAAAGGUUAUUCGAACAUAUGGAAGAAGGAAGAUUUUGAGGGAGAUGGAUUGUGGAAACUUAAUUAGUUGAAACACAAAGACUGCUUGCUUGAACUGGAGCUAGGGUUUUGAUGAUGACAUAACGCCAUGAUCAUCACCAAUCAAGUGAAAUAAUGGAGGGCGAUAAAAAGCAGAAAUUAUGGUGGGGACUUUUCUUAUUGGAUGGAAAGAAAAGUUAGGUACCUCUCAGUUUAGAAAGAUACUACUGGAUUAUCAACACGUGGACAGUUCGGUUACAUUUUAGCCAUUAGAAUAUGUAGCCAUUCCCAUCCAUGCUUUGAUUAUUGUUUAACAAUAUAUUAAUUAUCUUCGCACAGCAGGUUAUAUGGUGUUUUUAAUUUUUUUUAAAAUCUAAAAUGUUGAUCUGGUAGUUAAGGGAGUUUAUUACUUUUUUUUUCUUUUUUUUUUAUCAAAACUUAAUGCGCAUUAUCUGUUACGGGUUGAGGAUUCCUUCUAGUUCCAUUCUUUAAACUUAGAUUCAUAUUUUUUAUAUAGAAAUAUGUGAUCAAGGAUGUAACAAGAUUCAUUUUGCAUCAUAUUUAAGCGACUCCUUGAUUCGAGCUGAAAAAACAAUAUCAUUAUCAAAAUAAUUGUAAAUUUUUAUGUUAGUGAAGAUCCCACUAGAACACCUUUUACUUCCACUUCCAAUAGACCAUAAACUAGAUCAAAAUCAUUCUCAAUAAAUCUAUAAUAAAUGAUUUUAUUUUUUUCAUCGGGUCCGGGUAGAGACCAAAAAUUUUGAGCCAUCCAUCAUGCAAAAUAACUCUAAAGAUAAAGAAAUAUCAUUAAUUUCUUCACGCUCAUUCAAAGCUAGAAGUAUCAUUUGUAUAAAUAAAAAUCCCCUUAGUGUGUGUGUAUUAUUUGUAUAAAUAAAAAUCCCCUUAGUGUGUGUGUGUGUAGAAUUUAUGGGCAAUUACUUAGAAACAAGAAUUUAAUGUGUGUUUGCUUCUCGAAAAGUGGUUUCCGGAAAAUUAAUUUCCAAACUUUUCUAUAUAUAUAUAUAUAUACACACACACACACUAUCGUAAUAAUAACAACAAGAAUAAUAAUAUAUUAAAGUUUUCUCAAAACGAUAUGCACUUGCACUCUUUUAGCCUUGAGUCCAAAGAUAAGCACGUUUGGUCUCCAUUACAUCCAUCAAAGUUCGAAUUUUGUCAAAUUUUGCUAAAGGGAAAGAAGAAUACAUUAAUCUUAGAUUGGUACAUGAAAUGAACACCAUUACUGAUUAAAAUAAAUAAAAGAAUAACCCAAUUGUCAUAUUUAAAUUUUCUUGAACUUGGCAGCAAUUCGCCCCACUAUAUCCUUGUCAAAAUAAUUACUAAAUCCAAGUGAAAAAUGAAUUAUGCCUUCGAAACCUUGCUCUCUUAGCUUAGAACAUUGCUUCCAAUCAAUCUCGAUCCAUAUCCAUUAUUUGCUUUUUUAUACGACAAUAAUAACCUUAUGUAACAAUGUCAAAUGUGCACGAGGUGCACACUUCGGCAGGCUAUCCAAAACAGUGCUUGACGGUGCUGACAACCAUACCAACAGUGGGAUAAAUCGGCAGCGCAGAUUGUUGACAAACAUGGACUGGACAAUGGACUUUCCAGGCCAAGUAGGAAAACUCGUUAGGGGGAUAGGCUGACGAGAACUGGGGCUAUUGUGGAAUUCGGCAACGCAGACAAUGGCAUCCUGCACACAGAUGUGAAUUCGGCAGCGCAGGAAUUGGCAGCCUGCAUGUAGAUGCGAAUUCGGCAAUGCGCAAUAGCUUGUGCAAGUCGUUGAUACGACUUGGCACGAUCUAAAGCUUGGAUGAUGAACUAUCCAAGGCAUGCGAGAAACUCAAUAAAUGACACAACAAGAACUGGCAGUUGGGGCUGCCAGGUGGACAUCCAGAAUAUGGGUUAGUGGCAGUUAUGGAUAUCCAGGAUCAUGGGAUCAUGGGGGCUGAAAACGUGGGGGCUGACCAGGGGUUGCUCUCAACUCACUAAGAUCAUGGGAGAUCAUGGGGGAAAACUACCCACUACUUGGUAGAUAAUGGGGCCACUAUGUUCAUGGGUGAACAUGAGUGAGAUAGUGUCCCACUACUUCCUUAAAAGUAGGAAUGAGAGUUGUGCCUUGUAAAUGCUUGUCUAUAAAUAUUAGCUGCAGCUCUUAGUUGAUAGGAGGCAUGCGUGGGGCAUGUUCAUCAUGCAAGAAUAUGCAAGAACAUGUAGAGUACAAGUUAGAGAUAGCUUGGUGUAGCAUGCAAUCUUUGUGCAUAGCACACAUAUAGAUUUGUGUAUAGUCUGCUUUGUGUACGAGAUUAAUAAAAGUAGGGGAAGAGUUCCUGUAAAGCUUGUUGUGCACUUUGAUUAUCUUAUUCUACUUGUGUAUUCUGCUUGCUUAGUUACUAGGCAAAAAUGAGUGGGAUUGGCGAGGGGAGGCUGAGUCUAGUGAGGCACUAGGUUGCCGUAUGGGUUUAUUCGAGAGUGAAAAAUUACUACCCCAUGACACCUUCCAUGAUGAACUCAAAGAAAUGUAUCUCAUCUUGAUACACUGGACAGACCCUACACUCGACCACUUGACAAUGAUUUAAAGGUAAGAGAUUGUCGCUCUUAUCUUCUAGUUGAAAUUCAACUAAGACCUCACUAUAUUCACUAAACAUGUAAUCUUUUUUGGCAACCAGACAGGAUCAAGUCCCAUGAAUAUGUGAUUUGAGUCGAUGCGCUUUUCAUCCAAACCAUGGAGAUAGCAAUAGAGAUCAUGGCUAUCACCAUGCUCAUUGCGAAAGUGAUAUGUGCAUUUAACUUGCAAACUAUGGCUCACAGAAUGGAAUGCAAUGACAACGCAAAGAUACCAAAGAACUUGGUAUUAGUCCAAUGUGAAUAUAACUAGAAUGUUACUGUAGAUCCCCAACUUUGAUGACUAAACCACUCCGGUGGUAGAAACUAAAGCAAUUGACACUACAAUAUUAUUGUAAUAGAACUCACACUUUUCCAUUCAUUUCUUGUAUUCUUUAUACAGCCCUGAGAGUUUAAUUUUAGGGAUCCAAAUAUGUGUAACAGACGAAUAUUUACAAUCAAAAUCAAUAGCAAUAUUUACAGGGAUAAUAGACUGAUCCUAUCGUUAUGGAAAACACAAAAUCUAGCAUUACUCAUGGUGACAGCUACGCUUGAAUUGGCAGUAAUUUGAAUUAAUCAGUUUCCUUGAUAUGCACCCACAAGAACGGGCUACCAUCGGAUAGGCCGAUCUUGUCAUAUAGGAAGUUUGUUCGUUGCCUUGAUAGAGGCUUGGUGAGCAAAUCAGCUAGUUGGUCAGUUGUGUUGACAUAUUGAACAGUAAGAAUAUUUUUCGCAACCAAAUCUUGCACAAAGUGAAUAUCAAUCUGUAUGUGUUUCAUCCUGGAAUGCUGAACAAGAUUAAAACUCAAUUGUGUUGCACCUAAAUUAUCAUAUAAGAUAAGAGGUGGUUGUGAUAGACUAAACUUAAGUUCUUGGAGCAAUAAUAGCAGCCACACGGAUUCUGCUGCAACCAUUGCUAAAGCCCUAUACUCGGCUUCAGUUGAUGAUCUUGCAAUUGCACUCUGCUUUUUAGAAUUCCAGGAAAUUGGUGUGUUACCAAGGAAUAGGAGAUAGGCUGAAGUGGAUUUCCUGUCGUCUAGACUACCAGCCCAAUCAGCAUCCAAGAAACAAGUCAAUGUGGUGUUGGAUGUUUUGCUGAUAGUAACACCAUGAAAAAUAAUGUUCUUCAAGUAGCACAACAAUCUUUUUGUUGCUGUCCAGUGAGUCUGCGUGGGAUGAUGCAUAAACCAGGAGAGUUUAUUGACAGUAAAGUUGAUAUCAGGUCAUGGGAGGACAGUUAUUGCAAGGCGCCAAUAACUUGACAGUAUUCGGUGGAGUCAACAAAGGAGGAACCAUCAUCCAGUUGUAAGGAAAUCGAUGUUGAAAGACGCGUGGUGACAUCCCUAGCACCGUCCAUACUGGUCUUGGCAAGUAAAUCUCUGAUAUACUUGUGCUGAGUGAGAAACAAGCCGUUUGCAGUAGGAAUAACCUCAACACCAAGGAAAAAAUACAGUGACCCCAGAUCCUUGAUGGAAAAUUUCUGUCCAAGAUGAUCAAUGAUGCUUGCAACAAAAACUGAAUUAUUGCUUGUGAUAAUCAAAUCAUCAACGUACACUAGACAGUAGGCAAGAGUGGAACCAAUAUAAAACACAAAUGGAUUUUGCCUAGUAGAUGGUGAAGGAAGGGAACUGUUAUGAUCUGGGUUAUGAAAAGGGAACGACCCUUCAUAAGAAAUUACGUGUCGAGAGGUGAUGAUUUUUGUGAUAGAUAGCUCAAAACAUAAAUAUGCAUUUUGGGAUAAGCUGUAACCCAUGAAUGUGCAUGGUUUGGAUUUCGGCUCAAGUUUAUGUUUAUUAUAUGGUCGAGUUAACGAAUAACAAAGAUAGCCGAAUUGUUUGAGCUUGAGGUAGUUGGGCUUUUGAUUGAAUAAUUUUUCAAAUGGAGAUUGAUUAUUCAAGGUAGCGAUGGGCAUGCGAUUGAUAAGAUAGGCAGUAGUUUGAAAUGCAUAAGGCCAAUAAGAGGGAGGCAUGUGAGCAUCAGUAAGUAAGGUAAGACUAGUUUCAACAAAAUGGCGAUGUCACCUUUUAGACAUACCAUUUUGUUGGCGAGUGUGGGGAGCAGUAGUGUAGUGACUAAUUCCAUUGACAAAAAGAAUAGUUUUAAGGCCAAUAUAUUCCCCACCAUUAUCAGAAUAAAGACAUUAAUUUUUGUGUUGAAUCGAUUUUCCACAAGAUUAUGAAAUUGUGGAAAAAUGGUUUGAACAUUUGAUUUAUGUGGCAUGGGAUAGAGCCAAAUAUAUUUGGUAUAAUGGUCAACAAAAAUAACAUAAUAUUUUGAGCCAUUAAUUCCAAGAUCAUGAGAUGGGCCCCAAACAUCCGUGUAAAUCAAUUCAAUUGGAGUAGUGCUAAUAAGUCCAUGAGUACUAAAUGUUUGACGAUGAGCUUUGUUUUGAGAGAAUGAAGUGCACAGAGAGGAAUGAUCAUUUUUAUUGGUAGAUAAAGAAAAAGCAUGAAUGAGAUGAUGAACCAAUUUGGAUGAAGGAUGCCCAAGAUGUUUGUGCCAUCCAUCACGUGUAGUACGUUCAUGAACAUAGUCAAUAAUAUUUUUCUUGGUGGAUGGUAGAUGCUUCGAAAAUGGGUACACUCCAUCUUCACAUUCGUCUUUGAGAAGUAUUGCCCCUGUGAUCCGAUACUUCACCAAAAAAUAAGCAGGAUGAAAUUCAAUGUAAACAUUGUUAUGCUUGGUAAAAUGGUGAACAAAAAUGAGAUUUUUAUGAAUGGUUGGAACACAAAGAGUGUCACGUAAAUGAAAGACAUGAUUGGACGAUUUAAGAGAUAAGGAUCCAAUAUGAGACACAGGCAAACCUGAUCCAUCACCAAUUACCAUCUCAUUAGUACCAUCAUAUUCAGAAUUAAUCAUCAGAUUAGAGAGAUUAGUGGUCAUAUUGUGAGAUGUUGCUGAGUCAACUAGCCAUUUGUGAUUUUUUUUAUUGAGAGGAAGCGGCAUAGUUUGCAGUAAAAUCAGAAGUAGACAUUUUGGGACAUGAUUUUGCUGUAUGACCCAAUUGAUCACACCAUUGACAUUUCGGUUUAAACCUGCUGUGACUCGAAUUGAAUGACAUGUUUCUAUGAGUCCCAUUGUGUCCACGAGAGUUAUGAGAAGCAACCAGGGGGCGCCAUUUAGGCUGUCUGGAAUUAGAAGAAAACUGAGGGCUCCAUCAAUUUGAGUUAUUAGCAGUGGGUAUAAACGGGGUUGCAGAUAGGUGCUCAAGUCAACGAAGAUAACUCUCAUGACUGAUAAAAGGAUCAUGAAUUUCUUCAAAUUUUAGAGAGGUCUCACAGGCACGAAUAGGAGCUGCAAUUUCUCUGAAUUCAAUACCCAAUCCAUUGAGUAUGUAUAGAGUUAAAUCAUCAUCUGAAAUUGGAUGAUCAAUGAUUGCUAGUUCAUCAGCAAUCACUUUGAUUCCAUGAAGGAAUUCAGUAACAGUGCGAGACCCACGAUUGCUUAAGGUUAAAUCUUCUUUGAGUUGCAUCACACACGUUCUUGAUUGCCCAUAUAUAAAUGGGUAAGUGUUGUCCAAGCCUCAUGGGAUGUAGGCAACAAGAAGAGGGGUAAUGGUUGUGGAGGUAGGGGCGAGGAUGGCAUGUAAGAUGAGUUUGUCUUGGCAAAUCCAAUGGGAAUUCGCAGCUUUUGAGGCAGUGGAAUUCAGUGCAUCAAUGGCAGGGCAUUUAUGUAUACCUGUUACAAAAUCAAUAAGGUCAUAGUUAAUGAGUAAGGCUUCAAGUUGAGCCCUCCACUGAGGAAAAGUAGAGGGGAUGAUUUUUUCGUUGAUGGUUGUGGCAGCAUUGAUUGUGAUGAUGGGUGAGUUUGGUGAGUCGGUGGUACAUGCAGAGAUGGUUGUCAUUUUGCAGGAAGCAGAAAGAAGGAAGCAAGAAGAAUGAAUACUCGUUAGAGAUUUUCAAGCUCUGAUACAAUAAAGCAACUAACACUGCAAUAUUAUUGUAAUACAACUCACACUUUUCCAUUCAUUUCUUGUAUUCUUUAUAUAGCCUUGAGAGCUUAAUUUCAAGGAUUCAAAUAUGUGUAACAAACGAAUAUUUACAAUCAAAAUCAAUAGCAAUAUUUGCAGGGAUAACAGACUGAUCCUAUAGUUAUGGAAAGCACAUAAUCUAGCAUUACUCAUGGUGACAGAUACGCUUGAAUUGGCAGUGAUUUGAAUUAAUCAGUUUCCUUGAUAGAAACUACAUACCCUUGUAACAUUGGGCUUGAAUAAGGAGACAAAUAGAGAAGGAAAGAAUUCAUAAUAGAGGUUUGAGAAACAGGCCAGAUGAUAUAACUCUCUGGAAUGCAAUAAGGAGCUCGCCAAGAAUUCAUAGGUCCUACACAUGGCAGAAUCAUCCUCCCAUCUCAUGCCUUGGACCCUUGCUCUUUUGGCUUGGAACAUUGGUUCCAAUCCAUCACGAUCCUGAGGAUAAAAACAAUAAUAGUCUUGCAUGAUCAAAUCAAAGUAAUGUAUCUCAUCUUCAUAUAGUGGAAGGACCCCACACUCAACCACUUGACAAUGAUUUAAAGGUAAGAGAUUGCCGUCCAUAUCUUCGAUUUGGAAUUCAACUGAGGCCUCACUGUAUUCACUAAAACUUUCAUUUUUUAUUGCAACAAAACAGGGAUCGAAUCCCACAAAUAUAUGUUCUGACUUGAUGCACUUUUCAUCAUACCAGCCAUAGAAAUAACAAUAGAGAUCAUGAUUAUCACCAUGCUCAUUGUGGAAGUAAUAUGUGCAUUUAACUUGCAAACUAUAUAUGGCUGACAGAAUGGAAUGCAAUGACAGCGCAAAGCGAGAAACCCAAGAACUCGUUAUUAGCCCAAUGUGAAGAAAUUUGGCAUUUUACUGUAGAUCCCCAACUUUGAUGCCUAAACCACUUCGGAGUCAUGUCCAAGGAGACAGAAACUACAUGCCCCUUCUGGAACACCGGGCAGCUGUUAAUGCAAUUCAAAUAAAUCUUUAUAAAAUAAAAGGUGGCAAAUUGAGGGAAAAAAAAGAUGUAUAUCAGAGGUUUGAGAAACAGACAUGAUGGUAUAAAGUUGAAAUUUCAAUAAUGAGUACUCCAAGAUAUUUUGAAUGGCCUCAUGCAACAACCUCCAGCAAUUAGUCAAAAUGAAUUAAAAAAUGUUCCCCUCAACUACAGUUGAUCCGCUUGAUACUGUUCUUAAUUCCUGGCAAUUGUGUGCAUCUAACUUUGUUAGCCGUGGUGGAAGCUCCGAUAAUGAUUCAAGUCUCAAGCAAUUCCUUAAUCCUAGAUAUUGCAACUUAAACAGUUUAUUGAUGCUUAUAGGUAUACUCCUCAAAUUGUUUCCACUUAGAUCUAACACUUCCAAUGACGAUAAAAGACCAAGCCUGUCUAGCACUUCCGAUAGACUGCAACCAUCAAGAUUUAGCUUACGCAAACAAUCUAAAUACACGCAUCUCUUGGGCACUUGCAAGUCAACAAUACAUUCGAUGACUUUUAGAUAUUGGCAGUUUCCAACUUCCAAGCAGGCAAGUCCCUUGAGAUUUCCAAUCGGUGAAGGCACCUUUGUUAUGCGUGUCUGUUCUAAAUAGAGAUAUCUCAAACAUACCAUCGGCUCCAAAACUUCUGGAAAAUCCCUAAAUUGGAGGCAACCUGAGAGAUUAAGCCUUUGCAGUUUUCUCAACUUACAGAUGCUGCUUGGAAGAAUCUCAAAUUGUUUGCAGUUUCUUAGGUGCAAUUCAACAAGAUCAGACAAGCAUUCUAUUGAAGAGGGAAUCUCUCGUAUUGCUGUCCCAUUUAAAUACAGCUCCUUUAAAUUAUUUGAAACCUUUGGAAACUCCGUGAUACUUGAGCAACCAGAAAGAUCAAGUUUUUCAAGACAUACUAACUUAGAAACCGCACUCGGCAGAUUCUUUAGCCUGUUGCAGCCACUAGAUCUAAAUAAAUGAGUUCCUUAGAUCACCAAUUGAAGAUGGCAGUUCUUCUAUUGCAGUUCCAUUCAAGUACAAGUAUCUUAUAUUCUUCGAAAAAUCAGGAAACCUGCUGAUAGAAGAGCAGCCAGAGAAGUCAGCAAUUAGAAGACAUGUCAGCAAAUACAUGUUUUCUGGAAGAUUCACCAGGAGGUUGCAGUUCUUCAAAUUCAACGCAACAAGUCCACUGAGUUCCCCAAUUGAUUGGGGAAGCUCAACAGCAGUCUCAUUUAAAUUUAAAUAUGUCAGUUUCCUUGCAGUUUCUGGGCACUUCUUGAGAUUUGCACAACCAGAAAGGUUCAGAGUCUCCAGACAACUUGAAUUAAUUCUACUGGGAAGAUUGAUUAGUCUUUUGCAGCCUCUCAAAUCUAAAUCAACAAGCUUGUCCAGAUGCUGAACAGCUAAAGGAAACUUAACCAAACUUGUAUAGAAUUGAAGAUUCCAUCUCUCAAGGUUUCUGGCCUUUGAAAGGUCUGGCAUAAAAGUUAUGUGCUCGCAAUUGCUGAGGUUGACAUCUUUUAAAUUGACGAGAUUCUGAAGCAAAAUGAAAUCAACAGAAAGAAAUUACACGUGCAUACCACAAUAAAUUUCAAAGAAAGAACUAUGCAUGCAUGGAGUUAUUUUAGAAUACCUGGUCUCCUGUCCACAGUUGAUUAACCUUGCUAGAUGAUAGGUUAAUUUCAACAAGGUUCUGAGGACGAAAAUUGCUAGGCAAAGAUGUCAAAGGGUAUCCAUCCCAAUGGAGAUACCUCAACUCUUCAGAAAGAGACUGGAGGCCAUGAGGAAGGUGCACUCUACAAUUCCAAUGACGAUAGACAACCAAGACUGUCUGGCACUACCGAUAAAUGGCAACCAUCUAGAUUUAGCUUACGCAAACAAUCUAAAUCCACGCAUCUCUUGGGCAAUUGCAAGUCAACAAAACAUUCGAUGUCAUUUAGAUAUUUGCAGUUUCCCACUUCCAAGCAGGCAAGUCCCUUCAGAUUUCCAAUCGGUGAAGGCAACUUUGUUAUGCGUGUUUGUUCUAAAUAGAGAUAUCUCAAACAAUACAUCGGCUCCAAAACUUCUGGAAAAUCCCUAAAUUGGAGGCAACCUGAGAGAUUAAGCCUCUGCAGUUUUCUCAACUUACAGAUGCUGCUUGGAAGAAUCUCAAAUUGUUUGCAGUUUUGCAGGUGCAAUUCAUGAAGUUCACACAAACAUUCUAUUGAAGAGGGAAUCUCUCGUAUUGCUGUCCCAUCUAAAUACAGCUCCUUUAUAUUAUUUGAAACCUUUGGAAACUCCGCGAUACUUGAGCAACCGGAAAGAUCUAAAUAAAUGAGUUCCCUUAGAUCACCAAUUGAAGAUGGCAAUUCUUCUAUUGCAGUUCCAUUCAAGUACAAGUAUCUAAUAUUCCUCGAAAAGUCAGGAACCCUGCUGAUAGAUGAGCAGCCAGAGAUGUCGACGAUUAGAAGAGAUUUCAACAAAUAUAUGUUCUCUGGAAUAUUCACCAGGAGUUUGCAGUUUUUCAAAUUCAACGCAACAAGUCCACUUUGUUCCCCAAUUGAUUGGGGAAGCUCUUCAACAGCAGUCUCAUUUAAAUUUAAAUAUGUCAGAUUCCUUGCAGUCUUUGGGCACUUCUUGAGAUUUGAACAACCAGAAAGGUUAAGACUCUUCAGACAUCUUGAAUUAAUUCUACUGGGCAGAUUGAUUAGGCUUGUGCAGCCUCUCAAAUCUAAAUCAUUAAGCUUGUCCAGAUGCUCUAUAGAUGAAGGAACCUUAACCAAACUUGUACAGAACUGAAGAUUCAGGCUUUCAAGGUUUCUGGCCUUUGAAAGGUCUGGCAGGGAAGUUAUGUGCUCACAAUUGCUGAGGUUGACAUCUUUUAAAUUGACGAGAUUCUGAAGCAAAAUGAAAUCAACAGAAAGAAAUUACACGUGCAUACCACACCAAAUUUCAAAGAAACAACUAUGCAUGCAUAGAGUUAUUUUAGAAUACCUGGUCUCCUCUCCACAGUUGCUUAACCUUGCUAGAUGAUAGGUUAAGUUCAACAAGGUUCUGUGGACGAAAAUUGCAAGGCAAAGAUGUCGAAGGGUAUCCAUCCCAAUGGAGAUACCUCAACUCAUGAGAAAGAGACUCGAGGCCACUAGGAAGGUGCACUGUGCAUUUAUCUCCAGCUACAGAAUUAUAAAUUUUUAGCAGUCUAAGAUUAUACAACCUUGCGAAGGCUGUAGAACUCAACUCUAUUUCUCUUAUUUCUGAAACAUUCAGAACAUCCCUUCAACGUUUUCAGUUCUUAGUUUUGAAACAUCCAAGAAUAUCCCUUCAACUUUUCCAGUUCCCUGAAAACCAGUAAAGGAGAAGCAAAGUUUAAGUAAUAUUUUAAACUUACAAGUACAACCAUAUUGCAUUGCAUAGGAAAGAGAUAACUUUGGGGUAUAUGAAUCACACCAGAUUAUUAGUCAACACUUGAUAUGCAUCUUUUGGAUUCCACAAUCUGCUCUGUCUUCCUAGCUCAUCAAGAGAUUCUUUACGAACAACUUCAUGGGCCAUUUCUUGCAAAAGAUCAUGCAUUUCAACCUUGUCAUCUGAAAUUUUAAUGAGACACCUGUCAAUGAGAACACUAAAUCCAAUAUCUGUUUUGAAACCGCAGCCAUCUAGUAUCCGCUUUACAAAAUCAACUCGUUGCCCUCUAAAGAAACAUGCAAUGUCGAGAAAUAUACUCUUCUCUUCACUAUCAAGUGCUUCAUAACUUAUUCUCAACACACUAUGAACUUUUUGCCGAGUUAGUUUUUCAUCCUUGUUCAAUGCACUUUCCCAUUCUUUUGUCGUUCUGCCAAAUAGAAAGGAACCUAAGACUUUAAGAGCUAACGGAUUCCCUUUAGCGUAAUUUAUUGCCCUCACAGACAGCUCCAUAUAAUUGUAUGGGAGCUGGUUAUCCUUAAAUGCAUGCAAACUAAAGAGAUGAAGGGCUUCCCGGUAAUUCAGUCCCCCAACCUCAAAUAUUUUGUCUGCAUAUUUCUUAAGGACCUGUUUAUCUCUAGAUGUUAGGAUAAUUCUGUUGAACUUUUGAUAUUCAGAAAGACAAACAAUUAAAGAAAGAAAAACACACUUUAUUGAUGGAUGAUAUUAAUGCAGCAGCUACAAGCCUUUAUAUAGGCAUUUUACUUAACAGACUUCCUACAAAUAAGACGCGGAAUGACUAUAAAAUAGAAAGAAUAAAACAACUGACUUUGCUAAUCACACUGCAACAAAUUCCUUGUGACUAGGAUUAUUCCUAUUUUAUUGGAAAACAAAUUGACUAAACCAGCAUAUCACUCUUGACUCAGUCACGGUCUGAUGUUGAUUAACUUUAACACUCUCCCUCAACAUCUGCUUCUGUAAUUCUUAUCAAACCAAGCUGCUGACAGAAAGCUUCAAAUUUAUUGCUACUCAGGCCCUUUGUAAAUAUGUCUGCAACUUGAUCUUCUGAUUUGAUCUGCUUCAAUUUAACUUCUUCUUCUAAAACCUUCUCUCGGAUGAAAUGAUAAUGCACUUCCACAUGUUUUGUUCUUGCGUGAAAUACUGGGUUCUCUGCUAGACGAACAGCUGAUUGAUUAUCACAAUACAAUGGAAUUGCAUAAUCUGUCACUUGAUGUAAAUCAUUCAUCAGCCUUAUUAACCAUGUACUCUCUUGAGCUGCCAUUGCUGCUGCACGAUAUUCGGCCUCUGUUGUUGACAGAGACACUGUUGGUUGCCUUUUGCUGCACCAAGAAAUCGAUCCUGACCCAAGUCUAAACACAUAUCCAGUAGUUGAUCGACGAGUGUCAUGAUCCCCUGCAUAGUCAGCAUCACAGUAGCCAACCAUUUUACAGUCUUCACCUUUCUUGUACAGCAAACCAUAGUCAAAUGUGCCCUUCACAUACCUCAGGAUUCUUCGGGCUGCUUCCAAAUGAGGCUUCUUUGGAUUUUGCAUGUAUCUGCUCAUUACACCUACUGCAUAUGAAAUAUCAGGUCUGGUCACAGUUAGAUAUAACAAGCUUCCCACCAUCUGUCGAUACAUUGUAGCAUCUUGCAGCUCCUUGCCUUCAUGUGCACACAUUCUGGUAUUUGGGUCCAUAGGUGUUGCAGUUGCUUUACACUCUAGCAUCCCAAACUUUUCCAAAAGGUCUUUGGCAUAUUUUUGCUGACAUAGAAUUACUCCUCUGCGUGUGAUACUUAUCUCUAAACCAAGGAAAUGAUUCAGCUGUCCUAGUUCCUUCAUUUCAAACCGAACAGACAAAUUCUCCUUGGUUUGGCAGAUUUCUUCAACAUCAUUUCCUGUGAUGAUUAUAUCAUCGACAUAUACGAGUAGUAUAGCUAAUUUUUCACCAUUAGCUUUAACAAAUAAGCUGGAAUCUGCAUGGCUUACUGAAAAUCCACUCUUUGUUAAGAAUUCGGCAAUCUUACCAUACCAAGCCCUUGGUGCUUGUUUCAACCCGUAGAGUGCCUUUCUCAGCUUGCAUACGUAGUUGGGAUGACUUUGAUUUUGAAACCCCAUUGGCUGAUCCAUAUAGAUCUCUUGAUCUAGCUCUCCAUGCAAGAAAGCGUUCUUCACGUCCAUCUGCCACAAGAUCCACUCCUUGUUGGCUGCAACAGCGAGUACAACUCGCACGGAUGUAAGUUUUGCAACUGGACUAAACGUUUCGUCAUAAUCUAGUCCAUAUUGUUGAGAAAAUCCUCGUGCUACCAGGCGAGCCUUGAGUCUUUCAAUUGUUCCAUCUGUGCGUCGUUUUAUCUUAUACACCCAUUUACAUGAAAUGGGUUCCACAUCCUCUGGUCUUGGUACAAGAUCCCAGGUCUGAUUUUGUUGUAGUGCUGUAAUCUCUUCUUCCAUAGCCUUAUUCCAGUUUGAAUUUUGAGAAGCUUCUGUAAAGGUUUCUGGUUCUUUUACACCUUCUACCACUGCAGCAUUUGCAUAUUUUGCAUUUGGCUUCUUCAUUCGUGUUGAUCUUCUAGGUGGAUUUGAUGUUGUUGCUGCAUUGAAUUCUUCACUUGGCUGGUCAUGUAUACCAGUUUGCCACGGGUUCUCUUUAAUUUCAGCAUCAACAUCAAUUACUUCUUCUUGACUGUCAGUGUUAUCUUCAUCUUUGUUCAACUGGAUUCGAGCAAUUUGCAUUUCUUCUUUAAGCCCUUCUGAGUCUGGUAGUGAUUGAUGUUCUAUGGACCACCAUGAAGAUGAUUCAUCAAACACAACAUUUCUGGAUGUGUAGCAUUUUCCAGUAAUUGGAUCACAGCAUCUCCACCCUUUCCGUUGAUUAUCAAAACCAACAAAAAUACAUCUAACAACCUUCUUGUCCAUCUUGCUGCGUAGAUGAUUAGGUAUAAAAACAUAACAUACACAUCCAAAAACUCGAAAAUAGCUCACUGUGGGUUUCUUAUUCCAUAGCUUUUCAAAUGGUGACUGGAAAUCAAGCCUCUGCUGUGGAAGCUUGUUGAUUACAAAAGCUGCAGUCUUCAUUGCUUCUGCCCACCAUCUACCUGGAACAUUCUUUGCAUGAAGCAUACUUCGACAAGUCUCUGCUAAAUGCCUGUUCUUCCUCUCAGCAAUACCAUUUUGCUGCGGGGUAUUUGCACAGGUGAAUUGAUGAUUAAUUCUGCAAUCUCUUAGAUAGUAAGAGAAUUCAUCUGAUAUGUACUCUCCCCCAUUGUCAGAACGUAGACAACAUAUUCUUUUAUUGAUCUCAGCUUCUGCCACCUCUUUGAACUCCUUGAAUCUUGAGAGUGUCUCAGAUUUUUCCUUCAUAAAAUAAACCCACACAAACUUUGAAAAAUCGUCAAUAAAUGUUACCAUGUAUUUCAAGCCACUAACAGAAGCUUGCUUAACAGGUCCAAACACAUCAGAAUGAAUGAGCUCUAAUGGUCCCUUUGCUCUCCACUUCGAUUCUUCAUAUGGCAGUUGAUGUGCCUUGCCAUAUUGACAGCCUGCACAAAUUGCAUCGAUCCUUACUUCAAGCUGAGGCAGACCCUUCAAUGCAGACCUUCUCAUCAUCAUGUUGAGUUUAGAAAAACUCACAUGACUCAGUCUUUGAUGCCAUAGAUCCACUGUCUCACUCUUCCUUGUCUUGUCUACAUAUGCUGUUUGUGCAGACAUCACAUACACUGAUUCAAGCCUCUGCCCCUUUAUCACUGGUUCAUCUAGACUUUCAAGAUCACGGUACACUUUAACAUCUUGAGGACCAAAGAGAACAAAGUGUCCUGAAGAUGUUAAUUGUGCCACUGACAAGAGGUUUUUCUUCAUUCCAGGAACAUGAUAAACAUUUUGUAGUGACACAUCCUUGAGAUUAAGUUGGGAAGAGACUACGGCAUCCCCAACAUGGGCUAUAGCCAGCUUUGAAUUGUUUGCUGUGACUACUACGUGUUUUCCCUUGUAUUCCACCAGAUUCUUCAAUUUUUCUUUGUCACCUGUCAUAUGAUUUGAGCAGCCUGAAUCAAUGAUCCAGUCCUUUUCAUAAUCAAUAUGUUCAGGUGUUGUUACUGUGAAGGCUGCCUCUUUUACUUCAGUAAAGAAUGCAUGAGCAUCCCAUUCAUCUUCUAUUUUGAAGGUAGCUGUAUUACCUUCAACAUGCUCCUUCUUUUGCCAACAGUCUUUUGCCAUAUGACCCUUCUUCCCACAGUUAUAGCACUUCCCUUCAAAUUUUCUUUUGAUCCCGUAGCCCCUUGCUUCACUGGAAUUUCUUUCUUCUCGAUUGAACUUUGUUUUGUCUUCAUUUCUUUUGGAUCUGUCAUUGGCAUGUUGCUUUGGCUUCCAUCUGCCUUUAUGGACAUAAAGUGCAUCAACUUCACCCUUGAGUGCAACUUCUCCCAUUUGUUUGGCUAGUGCUUCUUGACCAGCCAGCAGAUUCUCAAACUCAACAAGUGAUGGUUGAGUCUGCCAUCCUUGUACUGCCGCAACAAAGCUUCUGAAAUCUGGCCGCAAACCAUGGAUAAUUAUCCUUUUCAUCCUGGUUUCACCAAUUGGAGCUUCUGCAUCCAAUUCAGAAAUUUCUCGACAAAGUGUCUUCACCUUGUGGAAAAACUAGGCAACAGUUAGUUCACGUUGAGCUAUUGACAGCAGCUCACUCUCUAACAGUUGAAGCUUUGUAUCAUUCUUCUUUGAGAAUAAAUCUGCAAACGUCUUCCAGGCUUCAUGAGGAUUUUUGGCAUCCCGAAUGUGUUCCAACACAUCUUCUUCAAUUGUUGUUUUCAAAGCAAACAUUGCUUUGCCUGCUUUAAUCUUCCACUUUCGUAAUGCACCAUUUGCAUCCUCAGCCUCUGGUUGUGUAAUUUCACAGCCAUUCACAACUUCCCACAAAUCCUGGCCCUGCAUGUAAGACAUCAUGCACGUUGACCAAGUAUUAUAAUUCUGGUUGUUGAGCUUCUUAAUUCCCCCAAUAACUUGAAGAUCACCCAUCUCACUCUUUUCUUUUCCUCACGUGUUUGACUCUCAAAUAUCAAAUAAAACACUCUCUCUUGAACCCGGCUCUGAUACCAAUUGUUGAACUUUUGAUAUUCAGAAAGACAAACAAUUAAAGAAAGAAAAACACACUUUAUUGAUGGAUGAUAUUAAUGCAGCAGCUACAAGCCUUUAUAUAGGCAUUUUACUUAACAGACUUCCUAUAAAUAAGACGCGGAAUGACUAUAAAAUAGAAAGAAUAAAACAACUGACUUUCCUAAUCACACUGCAACAAAUUCCUUGUGACUAGGAUUAUUCCUAUUUUAUUGGAAAACAAAUUGACUAAACCAGCAUAUCACUCUUGACUCAGUCACGGUCUGAUGUUGAUUAACUUUAACAAAUUCUACUUCCUGGACCAAAAUCACAUCCUCCAAGUAACAUUUCAAUUUGAUCUACAUCAUUCACAUCAUCGAAAACAAUCAGAACCUUUUUACGGCUGAUCCUGUCUUUAAUGAAAGGGUGUCCAAUACGUGGAGUGCGAAUAUGUAGAUUUUCUUCCUCUGUUAUUUUAGAGAAAAGUCAUCUCGCAUACCAAAUAAUCCUCCAUUCUUUUCUGAUUCCCUCACAUUUGCAAGAAAAUAGUGACCUUCAUAUUCCCUUGCGAUCUUGUUGAAAAUCUCUCCAGCAAGGGUUGUCUUACCAGUACCACCCAUGCCCCAAAUUCCUACAAAAAUAUAUAUUUUUAGUUAUUUAUAAAUUUUUUUUUGCUGUUAUUUGGCUAAGGCAUGCAUUAUAGGAUGCAGGUUGCUGUUUGAGAGUGGAUGGCAACACUUAAUAUUUUAUUUUUUACAAAGAAUAGGUUGUCUGUUUUUUUUUUUUUUAAAAAAAAACAUGGGAAGAAUAAUAUAUCAUCUACUCCUUUAAUCCAAAGAAAAUAAAUAGAUUAGGGUAGGUGUUGAGCCCAACCCUUUGUGAGUUCUCUCUAUUCCCGGUGCGUACAAAUUGUCCCGGACACCCACGUUAAUAAAUAAUAAUAAUAACCAUGAGGGGUGUAGUUCAAUUGAUCAAGUCUUGAGUUUGCUCCCUAGAGAUCACCAGUUCGAAUCCCAUAAACCUCAGGGCUACUAGAGGGCUUACAUGAUCGUUAACUUCAAGGCACGUGUGAUUAGUCGAGGUGCGCAAGCUAACCCAGACACCUAUGUUAAUCUAAAAUAAUAAUAAUAAUAAUAAAUUAUUAAUAAAGAUUCAAUUAAACUCAGUGUUUUAUAAUUAAAAAUUUUAAAUGUACUUUAAAAAUAAUUAUAUCACAUUUAAGAUUUUUUUUAGUUUUUGACCACAUAAAAUAUGAAUAUAAUAUUUUGAUUUUUUUGUUGACUUACUUUAACAAUUUUAAAAUAUUUUUGUUUUCAACAAAAAAUAUCAAUUAAAAACAUGGUGUUGGUAAAGAUAAACAAGAGAUAUAUUAUCUUAAUAUUUUUUAAAAAAUAAUUAUAUUUUUAUGUUUAAUAAUAAUACUAAAAAAUUUCUUAAUACCUUCAAUUUUAUUAUUUUGAAAGAAAUAAGAUCACUGACAACGUAGCAUGGAAAAGCAUUCUCUAAGCUAAGUCUAGGGAAAGUCUUGUUUAGGAAAUAAACAUAGGCCUAAACUGAAAGCGCCUGCUUAUGUUUGGCUAAAUAAAAAAAGAUGGGCAGGAAUGUACAAUACCUAAAGGAGUAUGGGAGGUGCCCGAGCCCUUUGGACAGUGCCUCUUGGUGUCCAAAAAUACCCUUAUGUCGUGUUGUUGGGAGCAUCGCCAUGUCCUUUUUCUAUUGGUUUGAUGUGCGUCUCUAGUAUGUAUUUUUUCGCAUUAUUUCCUCUCUCCUCCUUGAAAAAUUACAAUUUUCCCAUGAUACUUCAAUUUCAGUUUGGUAAGCUUGGGCUGGUUCAACUGAACUGCUCUCCAAUCUGGUUGGUCCCAAGUGCACAACUCUCCAGUCCACUUAGGCUAACCCAAUCAGACUCGCUCAGAGUCACCGCCUCGAUUGAGGUAUCAUGCAAAUUCCUUGCAUUAGCCCACAUCACAAUGUAUUAUUAUGAACUCCAAAAGGUCACCAUGGCGCCACGCACCUUCUAGUGCUACCAUAGUUAUCAGAUUCGACCCGGGGUGGAGCUGGCCAAAAAAUCAGGUCUCGGGUUGACCCGGGUCAACUCGCAUCAACCUGAAAAAAUUAUAAAAAAUUAAAAUUUUAAUAAUUCAAAUGAAAAAAAUUAAAAAAGAAUUAAUGUGAAUAUAGGCUAUACAUGUUAUAAAUAAUAAAGUUUAAAUGAUUAUUUCAAAAAGUUUUUUAUCCUACAUUGAAAAGAUACCAUAUUAGUAUGUUGUUGCUACCCAAUUUUUCACCCAUGUUUUUAAUAUAUUUUCAAAAAGUCAAAAAAUAGAGAAAAAACAAUGAAAAUCCAAAAAAUAUGUUUUUUAAUAUAUUCUCGUCAUUUUAGCAUUUUUAGCGUCGUCUAAAAAAGAAUUUAAAUUUUCAAAAGAUUUUCAAACGCGUUCGACUUUUCACGCGUCAUUUUUAAAAUCAUUGAUUUUCCUCAUUGAGUCGACGUUGACAUUGCUCGUUUUCAAAAAUAUACAAAAAAGUAAGAAAAAUUAAAAUUUACAAAAAGAAAGAAGUUGAGGGACCAAGUUGAAAAACCUAGCAAUAUUUCACCUAUAAAUACCAGUCUUCUCAACACAUUUAGGGGUGGGGCAAUUUUGAAACAUCAGAAAAAUACAAAAAAAACCCUAACCCUAAAACCCAUCUCUUUCAACGCCAGCAGCCGCCCCCCCAUCUGGUGAUUUUUUUUUCCCCUUCACUUUUCCAAGUCUUCUUCACCUGGCCAAGCCGAAAGAGGAGCGGCGCCCCCCUUAGAUUUGGCUUUCUUCUUCCUUUAGCCAAAAAGCCUGACUUCCCCUCUACAGAAAAAGCAACCGACUGGACAAGCCCUUUUCUUCUCCAUCUCCAGCCCUCCUUUGGCCAAAGUAUCCAUCACUUCCCUUUUCCCCUUCGCCGACCUCCAGCAGCGGUAGCUUCUGCCCACAGCCGACAGACCCAGCUCUCACUGCCGAACACGCCGACACCGCCUCCAACAAGCCACACCGCAACAGUGCCGCCCUCUGCAACUUCAACAGCCCCAGCUCAACCACACGCCGGACAAAAGCCAGAGCAGUUCCCCUUCGCUCUCCCAUCUCGCCGGUUGCCUCACCAUCUUCCCCGACCUCUUCAUCUCCUUCAGCACCGAAGCUUCCUCCAGCAGCUUCGACAACGGCUCCCAUCUCCACCGCCAGCAGCAGCAGCGCCGUCCUCGCCAGCAGCCACACACGGGAGCGUCGGGGCCACACUCUUCACCUUCUCCCCCGGGCAGCGCCCACAGACCCACCUCCAGAACUGCCCGCAGUGGCCACCGCAGCCGACCAUCACUGGAUCUGCAACCGGCGAAGGAAUAAAAACAGAUCUGCAAGAAAAAAAAACAGAUCUAAAAAUGAAACAAACAAAUUAAAAUCAACUGCCUGUGUGGUUUUCGGAUGCUUUGCAGGUCGCCACCGGCGUUGGGAGACUGAGAAGAGGGAGUCGAUCCAACCCCCCCUGUUGUUCGGUUUUCUUGAGGCGGCGGCGCGUGGGGAGACGCGCCGCUAGUGUUUAGGGACUAUUUUGUAAAUUUUAAAUUAAUUAAUGUAAUUUUCAUUUAUUGGUUUUGAAUUUAUAUUGUAUAAAUGUGAUGUAAAAAAAAAAAAAAAAUAAAUAAAUAAUAAAAAGAAAGUUGUGUGUGUGUUUGCAAUUUUGUUUAUGUCAUUGAAUUAUAAAAAAUAAAAAAAAGGACAAAAAGAAUUAAUUGUUAAUUUAAAUAUGGUUAAAUAUCUCAAGGACAAAUAAAAUCAAGUUGUAUUUUCCACAAAAAUGUAAGAACGAGUUUCUACAUAUAUUCGGGGAUUUAAUAACUGAUUUAUUCAAGCCUUAGAAUUUAAUUAAUAUUUUAAAUUUUCAAAAUCACAUCAGAACACAAAGCAGCUUACCUCAGGUAGGGUGCGUUAGGGGUGCUAAUACCUUCCCUAACCACAACCAGUCCCUUACCCGCGAUCUCUGACAAGACCAGUACAUCAGGUUUCCUAGUAGCCCUCAAUGAAUUACUAGGUGGCGACUCCAACGAACGAAUUCAAAGCAAACGCAAUAACGAGAAAAAUCGCCAGCCGAUGCCAUGCAGGAUUUUUUGACGUGCGACAUAUGUUAUCCUUUUAAGUUGAAGUAUUUAAACCAAAAAGGUUCUUUAUACCAUAUUGAAAAAUUUUUUUUUCUUGUGAACAUAGAAUAUAUAUACUAAAGGGCUUCAAAUCUCACAUUAAAAAAAAUAAAAUAUUAUUCUAGUAUUUAUAUAAUAAACUUUAAAAAAAUUAAUAACCCGCCUCUAAGCGAAUACAUUGAUUGCAAAUGGAGUGCUUUGGAUUGAACCCUAUCUAGUGUGGCGCUGCAGUCAAACACCAAGAUAAUUGAUCGUAGUUUCUGUCUAUCAAUUUCUUUCUUUUCUGCCCUUUUUUUAACCUCUUGAUUUUUCUCUCCAUUGAAAUUUCGUAAGUGGUGGGCUUGAAUUUGGAGGGAGUGGUGGGACUGCUAUCUUGUACGGAUCAUAGAAGGUAACAUGACGCUUCAGACUCUCGAGAUGCACGGAGAAAUCUCCAGACAUUACUUUUAAUUACUGUAGAUAACAGUUUCUUCUUAUUUUUUAAAAAUAUUAUUAUAACUACCACUACACUUCCAACGUACUGUAGAUGAAGGAAAGUUUCUAGACAUUGUCAAGAUAUAAUACCUAUGCAACCUUCAGAAAUGAGCUUCUGGUAUUAAGUUGAAAUUUCAGAAAUGAGUACACCAAGAUUUGAUUGAUUACAUGCAACCUCAAGCAAUUAGUGAAAAUGAAUUAAAAGAUGUUCCCCACAAUUGAUGAGCUUGAUGCUAGAUAAUUCAAACUCUUGCAAUUGUUUACAUCCAACUUUGAUAGCCGUGAUGGAAGCUCCGGUAAAAAUCGAAGUCUCAUGCAAUUCCUUAAUCCUAGAUAUUGCAACUCAAAGAGUUUAUUGAUGCUUAUAGGAAUAGUAUAAAAAUUGUUUCCACUUAGAUCUAACACUUCCAGUGACGAUAAAAGACCAAAACUGUCCAGCAUUUCCGAUAGUCUGCAACCAUCUAGAUUUAGCUUACGCAAACAAUCUAAAUCCAUGCAUCUCCUCGGCAAUUGCAAGUCAACAAUACAUGCGAUGUCUUUUAGAUAUUUGCAGUUUCCCACUUCCAAGAAGGCAAGUCCUUUUAGAUUUCCAAUCGGUGAAGGCAACUUUGUUAUGCGUGUCUCUUCUAGAUAGAGAUAUCUCAAACAUACCAUUGGCUCCAAAACUUCUGGGAAAUCCCUAAAUUGGAGGCAACCUGAGAGAUUAAGCCUCUGUAGGUUUUUCAACUUACUGAUUCUGCUUGGAAGAAUCUCAAAUUGUUUACAGUUUCGCAGGUGCAAUUCAUUAAGUUCACACAAACAUUCUAUUGAAGAGGGAAUCUCUCGUAUUAAAAUGAUGGUAUUUGAAUUGUUUGAGAAACAGACCUGAUGGUAUAAGCUUCUGGUAUUAAGUUGAAAUUUCAGAAAUGAGUACGCCAAGAUUUGAUUGAUCACAUGUAACCUCAAGCAAUUAGUGAAAAUGAAUUCAAAAAUGUUCCCCUCAACUACAAUUGAUGAGCUUGAUACUAGAUAAUUCAAACUCUUGCAAUUGUUUACAUCCAACUUUGAUAGUCGAGGUGGAAGCUCCGGUAAAAAUCGAAGUCUCAUGCAAUUCCUUAAUCCUAGAUAUUGCAACUCAAAGAGUUUAUUGAUGCUUAUAGGAAUAGUAUAAAAAUUGUUUCCACUUAGAUCUAAUACUUCCAGUGACGAUAAAAGACCAAGACUGUCCGGCACUUCCGACAUACUGCAACCAUCUAGAUUUAGCUUACGCAAACAAUCUAAAUCCACGCAUCUCUUGGGCAAUUGCAAGUCAACAAAACAUUCGAUGUCUUUUAGAUAUUUGCAAUUUCCCACUUCCAAGCAGGCAAGUCCCUUCAGAUUUCCCAUCGGUGAAGGCAACUUUGUUAUGCGUGUCUCUUCUAGAUAGAGAUAUCUCAAACAUACCAUCGGCUCCAAAACUUCUGGAAAAUCCCUAAAUUGGAGGCAACAUGAGAGAUUAAGCCUCUGCAGGUUUUUCAACUUACAGAUGCUGCUUGGAAGAAUCUCAAAUUGUUUGCAGUUUCGCAGGUGCAAUUCAUUAAGUUCACACAAACAUUCAAUUGAAGAGGGAAUCUCUCUUAUUGCUGUCCCAUCUAAAUACAGCUCCCUUAUAUUUCUUGACACCUUUGGAAACUCCGUGAUACUAGAGCAACCGGAAAGAUCAAGUUUUUCAAGGCAUCCCAACUUAGAAACCGCACUUGGCAGAUUCUUUAGCCUGUGGCAGCCAACUAGAUCUAAAUAAAUGAGUUCCCUUAGACCACCAAUUGAAGAUGGCAGUUCUUCUAUUGCAGUUCCAUUCAAGUACAAGUAUCUAAUGUUACUCGAAAACUCAGGAAACCUGCUGAUAGAUGAGCAGCCAGAGAUGUCGAUGAUUAGAAGAGAUUUCAACAAAUAUAUGUUUUCUGGAAGAUUCACCAGGUGCUUGCAGUUCUUCAAAUUCAACGUAACAAGUCCACUGAGUUCCCCAAUUGAUUGGGGAAGCUCCUCAACAGCAGUCUCAUUUAAAUUUAAAUAUGUCAAUUUUCUUGCACUCUCUGGGCACUUCUUGAGAUUUGAACAACCAGAAAAGUUAAGACUCUUCAGACAUCUUGAAUUAAUUCUACUGGGCAGAUUGAUUAGGCUUGUGUAGCCUCUUAAAUCUAAAUCAUUAAGCUUGUCCAGAUGUUGUAUAGAUAAAGGAACCUUAACCAAACUUGUACAGAACUGAAGAUUCAGGCUUUCAAGGUUUCUGGCCUUUGAAAGGUCUGGCAGGAAAGUUAUGUGCUCAUAAUUGCUGAGGUUGACAUCUUUUAAAUUGCCGAGAUUCUGAAGCAAAAUGCAAUCAACAGAAAAAAAUUACACUUCAUACCACACUUAAUUUCAAAGAAAGAACUAUGCAUGCAUAGAGUUCAUAAUUGAUAACGUAGAGACACAUUAGUAUAAUGAUAUAAUGCUAUAUCCUUGUCAAAAUAAGCAUUAAAUUAUUUCUACUGACUUCUUCUUCAAACGGCGAAACGCAUUGACCCAGUGAGUUUCGCGGCAUUCCGACUUUCGACGCUCCGGCUGCCGAAAUUCAAUUGCCAUUUGAAUUUUGGGUGAUCCCUCUUGAACAUGUAUGCUUCCGCUACUUGUUCUACAUCAAAGUUCAUCUCGUAGAUCAUUUAAUCGACCCUUUUCUGAUUCCUGCCUUAUGCUGGGAAGAAAGUGGUGGCCUUCAUAUUCACUGGAGAAGCUAUCGUAGAAAGCUCCCGCGAUAGUUGUCUUGCCUAUACCACCCAUGCCUCAAAUUCCUAUUUUGCGGACAAUAGAUAGUAAUUUAUUUAUUUGCUCAAUGCGUGAAUCUACUUCAAACUAGACCUCUUAAUUUGCUUGGGGAUGCGCGAUUUAACCUUUUCCAGAUAGUUUCCACAACUUCUCUUACUAGUUUGGACUCCGGACUGCAAAAAAUGAAACAACCAUCUUUAACUCCAAUUGUAUCUUUACGUCGAAUAAAAAAUCUAUAAGAAACUGGUGAAUUUUUUAUUAUUAUAAGCAAAUGUUGUCAAAGGUGAGGUUUUGAACUCAAGAUCUUGUUGAAUAUUAAACUCAAUCCAGAAGGUCAAGGAAGGCAACCAGCCACCAGUCGCCGACCAGCCACCAGCCGCCAGCCGCCUUCACACUUGAAGGUUGAAUUUUCUAGUUUUUGAUUUCGUGUAUAAAUAGAGUGCCCAGCUUCUGUUAAUGUGUGUGGAGAGAAUAGAGAGAAACACUAUAAAGAGAAAGAGAGAGAGAGAGGGCGUGUAUUGUUAAGCUUUUGUUGAUUAAUUGUAAGCUUGUGUUUUUGUAAUAAAACCUUGUGUUUUAUCCCCUCUGAGUGUUUCAAAGCCACCACUAGUGGUUUCUCCCACCAACAAUUGGUAUCAGAGCCCCGUUCGUCAGAAAACAGAAGAGUUUUGGGGUAUAUCCGAAUUUUCAAAGUUGUCAAAAACAAGUUUUGAUAAUUCCACAGUUUAGAGCUCAUCAAGACGAGCUCACUGGUGCAAGAAUCAACUUCAUCGGAGACGGAGGUAGCCCACACGCGCCGCCUGAAGAUUCUGAAUAGAUGCCCACGCGCCCAGAGGUUGAAGACGACUGAUCCACACGCGCGCCAUAUAUUGAGCAGCGCCGAGACGCUUACGUCAAGUCCUAGCUGAGCCUCAAGCCGAUCCGAGCCGAGCCGAGCCGUACCCGAGCCGCGAGCGCGCCGUACACCCCACCGAUCCGAGCCGCCAGCGUAUGUUUUGACCGGUUCACCCAGCGAACCGCCCACCAUACAGAAUUGGUGUUUUGACCGGUUCACCCAUUUUCUGACCCGAUUUCAACAAAGUCAGACCGAUUCUCGACUAUUUGGACCAUUCCGGAUCGAUCUACAGUGUAUGUUUGGCCAAAUUCGGCUCCCAAAAGGCGAUAUAGUCAUUAAAAGAGCAAAAUGACUACAGAAGGUACACAUACACUCAUCCCGAAGCUGACCAAAGACAACUAUGAUAGUUGGUGCAUCAGAUUAAAGGCAUUCCUUGGGUCACAAGAGUGUUUGGAUAUUGUACAAACUGGUUAUGAUGAACCAGAGUCCAAAGAAGAAGAAGAUGCUUUACAAGAGGCACAUAAGCAAGCCCUCAAAGUCAACAGAAAGAAAGACAACAAAGCAAAGACCAUCAUCUACCAAGGUCUUGAUGAAGAUACAUUCGAUAUCAUAGCUUCCGUUGAAACAUCACAUGAUAUAUGGGAGGCUCUCCAACAAAAAUACAAAGGUGAUGACAGAAUCAAGAAGAUUCGUCUUCAAUCUUUGCGAGGUGAAUUUGAGUUAUUGCAAAUGAAGUCCUCGAAGUCUAUUUCUGAUUCUCGAAUUACUGAGAAAAUUUUGAGAUCCCUAGAUCCAAAAUUCAAUUUUGUUGUUGUCGCAUUUAAAGAGUCCAAAGAUGUGGACAAGUUGACAGUUGAUGAGCUUAUGAGUUCUUUGCAAGCUCAUGAGCAGAAGAUUGUAAAGCGAAAUGGAGAUAAGGCAAUUGAGCAUGCCUUACAAGCAAAGCUGUCCCUCAAGGACAGAUAUGAGUAAGGGGAGACUUCAACAAGUGGUUAUACCACUCAAGCAGGAAGUCAACAAUCUAGAGGAGGAUUUCAGCAAUUCCAAGGAAGAGGAUCUUGGAAUACAAGCUUCAGAGAAAGAGGUGGUAGAAACACCACCAGAGGAGGCCGAGGACAACAAGCAUUCACUCCUAGAGGAAGAGGAGGCGGUUACAAUAACCGUGAUAAAAGGAAUAUCCAAUGUUAUAGUUGCAAUCAAUUUGGGCAUUAUACCACUGAAUGCAGAAGAAAAGCUCCGUUAGAGAUACGCGAGCAAGCCAACUAUAUAGAGAAGGAUGAUAGAGAAGAAGUUGCAUUUCUUGUCCAACAAGGACUUGAUGAGAAAAAGAAGGAUAUAUGGUAUCUAGAUACUGGAGCCAGCAAUCACAUGUACAGCUACCGAGAGUUAUUUAGUAAUCUAGAUGAGACCAAGCAAGGUCUAGUUACUUUUGAAGAUACCAUAAAGGUUCCAUUCAAAGGUAAAGGCAGCAUCCCAGUCAAGUUAAAGAAUGGCGAUUCCAGCUACAUCGCCAAUGUCUAUUAUGUCCCAGCCAUAAAGCAGAACCUGAUCAGCUAGGCAACUUUUGGAGAGAGGAUAUAUUUUUACUCGAAGAAUUGUCAUCUGACAAUUAGAGACAACAAUGGAGAUUAAUGGCCUACGUGAAAAUGUCCAAGAAUAGGAUGUUUCCUUUGAACAUCCAGUAUGAUGCAGCAAGGUGUUUGAGUGCCAUCACCAACAGUGAAGAAUGGCUUUGGCACCUGAGGCCUGGACAUCUGAAUUUCACGAGUCUGAAGAUGCUAUCAAGCAAGAAGAUGGUCAAAGUUUGCCUCACAUUGAUCAUCUAGAUAAAGUCUGUGAGAGUUGUGUCCUCAGCAAACAUCACAGAUCCAGUUUUGCCAAAGAAGUCAACUGAUGUGUGUGGCCCAAUAACGCCUAUGUCGACUGGACAAAAUAGGUACUUCCUCACUUUUACUGAUGAUUUUAGUAGAAAGACGUGGAUAUAAUUUCUGAAGAGGAAGUCAGAAGUAUUCAAUUGUUUUAAAGAUUUUAAAGCAAUUGUGGAGAAGCAAACUGGUACAUGAUCAGAACCGUGAGAUCUGAUCAAGGUGGAGAAUAUAGCAAUGACUUUGAAGCCUUUGUACACAACAAGGCAUCAGACAUCAGACGACACCAGCUUAUACACCACAGCUGAAUGGUGUAGCAGAGGAAGAAUCGACGAUUCUUGACAUGGCAAGAAGUCUGCUCAAAGCAAAGAAGUGCCCAAGCAAUACUGGGCUGAAGCUGUAUCAUGUGCAGUGUAUCUACUGAAUCGCUGCCCAACCAGAAGUUUGCAAGGUCAUUCCAGAAGAAGCAUGGAGUGGUCACAAACCAAGUGUUACUCAUCUACGAGUCUUUGGUUGUGUGGCAUAUGCAAAGAUCCCAGAUGCAAGAAGGAGAAAGCUCGAUGAUAAAGCGAGAAAUGCAUCUUUGUCGGAUAUGGUGAAAGAAGGAUGGGAUACAGUGUAUAAUCCCAUCACGAAGAAGGUAAUCAUGAGUAGAGAUGUUAUCUUUGAAGAAGAUAAAUCUUGGCAAUGGAAUGAUGACCAAGAAGCAGUCAGAUGGAUCAACACUGAUUUGAUCCUUGAAGGUGAAGAAGUACCAACAGUACUUGUUGAAGAACCGAUUGUGCCAGUAGCUGAACCACAAAGUCCGGUACACAGUUUCCUUGUAUUCAACAGGAGGAACACACCAGGAGCAUCAUCAUCAACACCACCAUCAGGAUCCUCAUCAGAAGGACCAAGAAGGAUGCAGAAUCUUGAAGAGUUGUACGAUACCACUCAGGUCAUGGAAGAUACAACUCUGUUUUGUUUCUUUGCAGAUAGUGACCCACUAAACUUCGAUGAAGCUAUCACAGAUCAGAAGUGGAUAGAAGCAAUGGAUGAAGAAAUACAUGACAUUGAGAAGAAUGAUACCUGGAAGCUGACUUAUCUACCAGAACACAAGAAAGCAAUAGGUGUCAAAUGGGUCUACAAGACGAAGAAGAACGCUAAAGGAGAAGUGCAAAGAUACAAAGCCAGAUUAGUGGCUAAAGGCUACAAACAGAGAGAAGGCAUUGACUAUGGAGAAGUAUUUGCUCCAGUAACCCGGCUAGAGACAAUCAGACUGAUGAUCUCACUAAAUGCACAACAUAGAUGGAAGAUCUAUCAACUCGAUGUGAAGUCAGCAUUUUUGAAUGGCUUCCUAGAAGAAGAGAUCUAUGUUGAACAACCACUUGGAUAGAUUGAAGUUGAAGAAAGCUCUCUAUGGUUUGAAGCAAGCUCCGCGUGCUUGGAAUACCAGAAUUGACAGGUAUUUUCAAGAUAAUGGAUUUGAGAAAUGUCCAUAUGAACACGCCAUAUAUGUGAAGAAAGGAGCAGAUGGCAGCAUCUUAUUUGCGUGCCUGUAUGUUGAUGAUUUGAUAUUCACCGGCAACAACCCUACCAUGUUUGACGACUUCAAACAAAGCAUGGUACAGGAGUUUGAGAUGACUGACAUUGGUCUAAUGUCACAUUUUCUUGGCUUAGAAGUAACGCAGAAGGAAGAAGGGAUUUUUGUAUCCCAAAGCGGUUACGCCAAAGAUAUUCUUGAAAGGUUCAAGAUGGAAAGCUGCAAUCCGGUAUCAACUCCAGUUGAGAAUGGAGUGGAAUUGAGGAAGAGUAAGGUUGGAAAUGUUGAUCCAACUUACUUCAAAAGCUUAGUAGGAAGCUUAAGGUACUUGACAUGUACCAGACCGGAUAUACUCUACGGAGUCGGACUCGUCAGCAGAUACAUGGAGACACCAGACCAGUCUCACUUGAAUGCAGCCAAGAGAAUUCUUCGCUACAUCAAAGGCACAAUGAAUGAAGGUAUGUUUUACACCUCAAGUAAAGACUUUAAUCUUGUAGGCUACUUGGAUAGUGAUUGGGGUAGAGAUUUGGAUUAAAGGAAAAGCACAACAAGGUUUGUCUUUUUCAUGGGAGACACAUCUUUCACAUGGUCAUCCAAGAAGCAAUCGAUUGUAACGUUAUCAAGCUGUGAAGCUGAAUAUGUUGCUGCCAACUCAGCCGUAUGCCACUCAAUAUGGUUAAGGAAUAUGCUGAAGUUUUUGGGAUUUCCUCAAGAAAAUCCUACAGAGAUUUAUAUUGACAAUCGAUCAGCAAUCGCAUUGGCAAAGAACCCAGUGUAUCAUGAGAGGAGCAAACACAUUGAUACACGUCAUCACUUUAUCCGGGAACAUGUGAAGAAUGAAGAAGUCCAACUGAUAUCUUGCAACACAAAUGAUCAGGUUGCAACAUCUUCAUAAAGCCAUUGAAAGGAGAAGUAUUUAUCCGAUUAAAGUUCAUGCUUGGCAUGAUAUCUCUCGAUUGAGUUUAAAGGGGAGAUUUGUUGAAUAUUAAACUCAAUCCAGAAGGUCAAGGAAGGCAACCAGCCACCAGCCACCAGCCGCCACAGCCACCAGCCGCCUUCACACUUGAAGGUUGAAUUUUCUAGUUUUUGAUUUCGUGUAUAAAUAGAGUGCCCAGCUUCUGUUAAUGUGUGUGGAGAGAAUUGAGAGAAACACUAGAAAGAGAAUAGAGAGAGAGGGGGCGUGUAUUGUUAUUAAGCUUUUGUUAAUUAAUUGUAAGCUUGUGUUCUUGUAAUAAAACCUUGUGUUUUAUCCCCUCUAAGUCUUUCAAAGCCACCACCAAUGGUUUCUCCCACCAACAGAUAUCCCCCUUCGAUAUUGCACCAUUAAGGUGCAAGUCCAUUGGAUGUUGAUGGAUGUUAGUUUUCCACUAAAAAACAGAAUAGACUUGUGCCUUUUCAAGCAACAAGUACUACGAACUAAGAAGCACAAAUGAUUUACUGGAAAAAAAAAACUAUAAUAUGCAAAAGAAAUUUUAAUUGCUAUAAAUACAUUUUAAUUGCUAUAAUUAAAGGAAAAAAAGGAUGAAGAAGAGAAUCUGUAGUUACCUGGUAACCUGUGAAUCCCAUCCAGAUAUACUGGCUGCAUUUGCCAAGUCAGCCCUCCACCUCGGCACCUUGUCCAUCUUCCCCUUAAAAUUUUUUUCAAGCUCGGCAAAUGCAUUUCCAAAACUCCCAGUCUGUUCAUCAACAUCAGAUGGGUCUACAUGAUAGAAGACCGCUAAAACAAUCUGCUCAUAAGUCUCUUUGCAUUCAAGUAUUUUCACCAGUUCAUCCACACACCACGGAGAAUGUCGCACGUGUGCGGCGGCGCGGCGAUCGUCCACCCUCAAGGAAAAAUCGGAAUAAUUUAUUCCUGGAAAAAUGGGGAGAGACAAGGAAUUCUUGUCUCUACAAGUGAAAAUAUGGACUGGGAGUCGCCACCUAGUAUUCUGGUUACUAGGAACCUUAACUGGUCUUUAGAGAUCGGGUACGGAGACUGGUUGCGUAAAGGGAAGGUAUUAGCACCCCAACUACGCCCUACCUAAGGUAGGCUGCAUUGUUUUAAUGUCUGAUAAAAUCUAAGGUUGUGUUGUGGUUUUUUGUUGUUCGGAAUACGCAUUACAUGUAAUGUCAUACCCCAGGUUCUAUUGUCCAAAAAAAAAAAGAAUUAAAUAUCCAGAAUAUACAUUACGUGUAAUGUCAUACCCCGGAUACUAAGAGACAAACAAAAUAAAAUUUUUGUUGUUUUUGAAAGUUUGGCCAAUAUUCUCUUGACUUUAAUAAACUGGUUAUUAAAGCCAAAAUGCAUGCUAAAUAUUGUUUUUUUGACAUAUGAAAAAUACGAUAUGAUUUUUUAGAUUUGAGACACUUGGCCGUAUGCACAAAAAUGUUUUUUAAAUUUUUUUGUAUUUUUGGAAGUUUGUGACAAAAAACCGGAUAUUGUAAUACCCGAUUUGUAUUUUUACGACAUAAAAAUACUACCCGAUAUUAAUAAAAAUAACAUAAAUAAAAAAUGGAAACAUCAUAAAUAUUUUUUUAAUGGGCCGUAUCAGGCCCAAUUGCAUGGGUUGGGCCACACCUGGCCCAUUUACAUGGGCUGGGCCGAACAUGGCCCAAAUGCAUGGGCUGGUUACUGUGCACAUAGUAACCGGGGUUACUGUGUGCACAGUAACCAGAGAAUUAAUUAGCGUGCAUAGUAACGGGGUUACUGUGUACACAGUAACCCGUGAAUUAAUUAGCAAGUUACUGUCCACAGCACAGUAACUUGCUAAUUAAUCUUCAUCUGCAUGCAGAACGUUUAAGCUUAGCAAAAAAAAAUGACAGUGGAGAAAGUUACCUGGAACGGUGUUGAUGCUGGCAGCAGCUGAUGCGGCAGGGGUGGUGGUGGCGGUGCUGGCGGUUCGCGGUGGCCGGCGGUUUUCCUUCUCUCUCUCUCUCCUCUGUAUUUUUCUGUUUUCUCCUCUGCUGCUCCUUCUUCUUUUUCUGUGUUCUCCCUUCUCUCUCUUUUCCCCUCUCUUUGCUCUCCCUUUUCUUCUCUUCCCCCUCUCUCGAGUCUUUUUUUCUGUGUUUUUUUUUCCCUCGGUCCUCCCCUGUUUUUAUAGGCAAAAACAGGGGAGACGUCAUGGUGGUGGCCGCCGCCCCUCCACUAUCGAUCCAUGGAUAAAAAGGAGGAGGCAAGUGGGCGGGCGUCUUAUUGCGCCAAAUCCGGGUGAAAGAAGUUAGGCAAAAAGGGAGAAGAAAAAUCUUCUUCUUCCCCUGCCUCGCGCGUCCAGGAGUAGAAGAAGAGCUACAGUGCCGUCAAAACGGCACCGUUUUGGGCUUCUUUUUUUUUUUUUUUUUUUUUUUGCAACAGUGAAUGAAAACGGCGUCGUUUCAUUUAAAUGGAUUUGGCGCCAAAACACGUCAGAUUCAAAUUUCAGCCCUCCAUUUGCGCGCGUUUUACAAUUUAGUCCUUGGUCUCGAAUUUCUUCAAUUCAGUCCCUAAUUGGCCAUUAAACCUCAAUAUUUAUGCAAUUAAGCCCUUGAUUUGACCAAAUUAACUUCCAAAAAUUAUAAUUUGACCCUAGAAAAUUAAUUUCUCCUAAUUAAAGCCCAAAUUAACUCCAAAAUCAAUUUUUCUUGCAAUUAAAAUCUUCAUAAAUGCAAUUAAACCUUUAAUAAAAUUUCAUUGAGUCCAUAAACUUCUAAUUUUGCAUUUUUCUUCCACAAAUUGAAUUUUCUAUAUCAUCGGGGCUCUCAUCAGUCAAUGAUAUACUGUCAAAAAUUAAUUUUUGAUUUUUGAACAUCCUCAAUCAAUUUUUGAGCAUUUUUAGGGUGCUCUGGCAUUUUUUCACUGUUAUAUUUUUUGAUAAUAUAUUUUUUUAAUUUUUUUGAAUUUUAUUAUUUUUUAUGUGGGGACCUAAAAAUGGGUUACAACAGAAAAGAUGCAUAGUUCUUGGAGAAAAUUACUACAGAAGUUCUUGAUUCUUCAAUCGUUUUCAGAAGGGCAGGGUAAUUUCUCCUCCUCUUUCAAGCCUAUCAUCAAUGUGUUGAAUCUAAACUCAAUCUAGAAGGUCAAGGAAGGCAACCACUGCCCAGCCAGCCACCAGCUGCCACCAACCGACCAGCCACCAACCGCAGCCGCCAGCCGCCAGCUGCCACAGCCGCCAGCCGCCUUCACACCUAGAAAGUUGAAUUUUUUUAUUCUGAUUUCGUGUAUAAAUAGAGUGCCCAGCUUGUGUUUAUUUGAGUGGAGAGAAUUGAGAGGAACACUAGAAAGAGAAAGAGAGAGAGAGAGGGCGUGUUUAAGCUUUUGUGUUAAGAAAUUGUAAGUUUCGGAUUUUUGUAAUAAAACAGUGUGUUUUAUCCCCUCUGAGUGUUUUAAAGCCACCACCAGUGGUUUCUCCCACCAACAAUUGGUAUCAGAGCCCCGUUUGUCGGAAAACAAAAGAGUUUUGGGGUAUAUCCGAAUUUUCAAAGUUGUCAAAAACAAGUUUUGAUCAUUCCACAGCGUAGAGCUCCUCAAGACGAGCUCACUGGUGCAAGAAUCAGCUUCAUCGGAGACUGAAGUCGACCACACGCGCCGUCUGAAUAUCCGGUGACAGUCGCCCACGCGCAGCCACGCGCUCCAGAGGUUUAAGACGACUGAGCCACACGCGCGCCAUAUUUGAGCCGCUCCAAGCCGUUUACGCCGAGUCCUAGCCGAGCCGAAAGCUGAGUCCAGCCGAGCCACAAGUCGUGCCGUACUCCGCGCUGAGCCGCGCCGCUUUCCAGUUGCAGCCGAGCUCGCAGAAUAUUCCCGGUUCAACCCAGCGAACCGCCCGCCGUACAGAAUUGGUUUGUUGACCGGUUCAUCCAUUUUCUGACCCGAUUUCAACAAAGUCAAGGACUAUUUGGACCAUUCGGAUCGAUCUAUAGUGUCCGUUUGGCCAAAACAGCAGAAGGUGAUAUAGUCAUUCAAGAGAAAAAUGACUACAGAAGGUACACAUACACUCAUCCCGAAGCUGACCAAAUGAUAGUUGGUGCAUCAGAUUGAAGGCAUUCCUUCGGUCACAAGAGUGUUUGGAUAUUGUACAAACUAGUUAUGAUGAACCAGAGACCAAAGAAGCAGAAGAUGUUUUACAAGAGGCACAGAAGCAAGCCUUGAAAGUCAACAGAAAGAAGGACAACAAAGCAAAGACAGAUAUGAGCAAGGGGAGACUUCAUCAAGUGGAUAUACCACUCAAGCAGGAAGUCAACAAUCCAGAGGAGGAUUCCAGAGAUUCCAAGGAAGAGGUUCUUGGAAUACAAGCUUCAGAGGAAAAGGUGGUAGAAGCACCACCAGAAGAGGCCGAGGCCAACAUCCAUUCACUCCUAGAGGAAGAGGAGGCGGUUACAAUAACUGUGACAAGAGGAAUAUCCAAUGUUAUAGUUGUAAUCAAUUUGGGCACUAUAGCACUGAUUGUAGAUGGAAAGCUCUGUUGGAGAUACGUGAGCAAGCCAACUUUGUAGAGAAGGAUGAUAGAGAAGCAUCUGUAUUUCUUGUCCAACAAGAACUUGGCGAGAAACAGGAGAAUAUAUGGUAUCUAGAUACUAGAGCCAGCAAUCACAUGUGCGGUUACCGAGAGUUAUUUAGUGAUCUAGAUGAGACCAAGCAAGGUCUAGUUACUUUUGGAGAUACCACAAAGGUUUCAUUCAAAGGUAAAGGCAGCAUCCCAGUCAAGUUAAAGAAUGGCGAUUCCAGCUACAUUGCCAAUGUCUAUUAUGUCCCAGCCAUAAAGCAAAACCUGAUCAGCUUAGGUCAACUUUUGGAGAGAGGAUAUACUUUUUACUCGAAGAAUUGUCAUCUGACAAUUAGAGACAACAAUGGGAGAUUAAUGGCCUACGUGAAAAUGUCCAAGAAUAGGAUGUUUCCUUUGAACAUCCAGUAUGAUGCAACAAGGUGUUUGAGUGCCAUCACCAACAGUGAAGAAUGGCUUUGGCACCUGAGGCUUGGACAUCUGAAUUUCACAAGUCUGAAGAUGCUAGCAAGCAAGAAGAUGGUCAAAGGUUUGCCUCACAUUGAUCAUCCAGAUGAAGUCUGUGAGAGUUGUGUCCUCAGCAAACAUCACAGAUCCAGUUUUGCCAAAGAAGUCAACUGGAGAGCAAAGAGGCCACUGGAGUUAGUACACACAGAUGUGUGUGGCCCAAUUACGCCUAUGUCGACUGGACAAAAUAGGUACUUCCUCACUUUUACUGAUGAUUUUAGUAGAAAGACGUGGAUAUACUUUCUGAAGAGGAAGUCAGAAGUAUUCAAUUGUUUUAAAGAUUUUAAAGCAAUUGUGGAGAAGCAAACUGGCUACACGAUCAGAACCGUGAGAUCUGAUCAAGGUGGAGAAUAUACAGCAAAUGACUUUGAAGCCUAUUGUACACAACAAGGCAUCAGACAUCAGACAACACCAGCUUAUACACCACAGCUGAAUGGUAGCAGAAAGGAAGAAUCGCACGAUUCUUGACAUGGCAGAAGUCUGCUCAAAGCAAAGAAGUUGCCCAAGCAAUACUGGGCUGAAGCUGUAUCAUGUGCAGUGUAUCUACUUGAAUCGCUGCCCAACCAGAAGUUUGCAAGGAGUCAUCCAGAAGAAGCAUGGAGUGGUCACAAACCAAGUGUUACUCAUCUACGAGUCUUUGGUUGUGUGGCAUAUGCAAAGAUCCCAGAUGCAAGAAGGAGAAAGCUCGAUGAUAAAAGCGAGCAAUGCAUCUUUGUCGGAUACGGUGAAAGAAGGAUGGGAUACAGGCUGUAUAAUCCCAUCACGAAGAAGGUGAUUACGAGUAGAGAUGUUAUCUUUGAAGAAGAUAAAUAUUGGGAAUGGAAUGGUGAUCAAGAAGCAGUCAAAUGGAUCAAUCUUGAUUUGAUCCUUGAAGGUGAAGAAGUACCAACAGUACUUGUCGAAAAACCGAUUGUGCCAGCAGCUGAACCACAAAGUCCAGUGUUUAUACCAGCAGCUGAACCACAAAGUCCGGUACACCACCAUCAGCAUCCUCAUCAGAAGGACCAAGAAAGAUGCGGAAUCUAGAAGAGUUGUACGAUACCACUCAGGUUAUGGAAGAUACAACUCUGUUUUGUUUUCAUGCAGAUAGUGACCCAUUAAGCUUCAAUAAAGCUGUCACAGAAAAGAAAUGGAUUAAAGCAAUGGAUGAAGAAAUACAUGCCAUUGAGAAGAAUGAUACCUGAAGCUGACUUAUCCACCAGAAAAGAAGAAAGCAAUAGGUGUCAAAAGGGUCUACAAGACGAAAGCCAAAUUAGUGGAUAAAGGCUACAAGCAGAGAGAAGGCAUUGAAAGGAGAAGUGUUCAUGCUUGGCAUGACAUCCCUCGAUUGAGUUUAAAGGGGAGAUUUGUUGAAUAAACUCAAUCUAGAAGGUCAAGGAAGGCAACCACCACCAGCCACCACCAGCUGCCACCCGACCAGCCACCAGCCGCAGCAGCCAGCCGCCAGCUGCCACAGCCGCCAGCCGCCUUCACACUUGAAAGUUGAAUUUUUUUUUUGAUUUCGUGUAUAAAUAGAGUGCCCAGCUUGUGUUAUUUGGUGGAGAGAAUUGAGAGGAACACUAGAAAGAGAAAGAGAGAGAGAGAGGCGUGUUUAAGCUUUUGUGUUAAGUUAAUUGUAAGCUUCGGAUUUUUGUAAUAAAACAGUGUGUUUUAUCCCCUCUGAGUGUUUCAAAGCCACCACCAGUGGUUUCUCCCACCAACACAAUGAAGGUCUUGAUUUUCUUACGACACAAAGCAUCAUAGAGAUGGCUGGUAAAAUUAUUGCGCGUAUCCUUGCCCCUAAAACUAAGGAACACAUCAUACUUCCUUUUAUGAGCAACAGCAGAUGAAGAUGCCAUAUCAGACAGUUACAAGAUCGUGUCUUCCUCAAUCACUAAGAAUCGAAAUCAACAAGUGCUCUCCUUUUUCUCCUAAAGACAUACAAGAGCAGCCACUUCAACAGUUGAACAUUUAUUAAGAGAAAUUGAAGUCUAAGAGUACAAGAACCCACACAACAUAUAUUUGUCUGAAAAUUCCUCAAACUCUGAACGAUGGAUACAUACUAGCUUAAUUUGAUAUGAUCUAUCUUAAUUUGAUCACUCGUCACUUGCUACCAAUGCUAGCUUGCUAUUACUUUCAUUGCAAGAACAGUCACUAGCUGAGCAAUAAGAAUUACAGAUGGAAGAAUUAAUACGUUCAUAAAACAUACUUAUCUAACUCGUAUAUAUAAUCUUAAAUAUAGAAGACGCAUGAACCAGAAAGACUUACCAACAGAUCAUAAGAACAGUUGACUUGUGUUUUCCAUCAGCAAACAAGACGAAGAAGAAGCUGCAUAUCGUUGAUGAUAACAGACGAUUUUUCUUGUCUAUUGCCUUCUCCUUCUCCUUCAAGUAAAUUCUUACAGACAAUCUGAGCUUCUCGUUAUCUAAAUGAAAGAUGGUUUUUGAUCAAGAAACAGGUGAAUGUGAGAAGACUUUGGGGUCAUUAGACUCAAUACCAAAUUCAUUGGCCAAUGAACUUGUCAAUGGCAACGGUACCCCUCAUGGCCAAUGAUUUAUUUUUUUCUUUUUUCUUUUUUAGUGCCUAAUGGAUGGGCUUCCUAAAGUAAUUUGUUUGGGUCUUCCAAACCAAAAUCUUAACCCAUUUCGAACAAAGAGUCUUGGAAACAAAAUUCCAUUUAUUAUUAUUAUUAUUCAUAAAACAUUAUUAAUUUACCUAUGAUUUCCAUGGUAUUAUUGACACUUUAUUUUCUUAAAGCUAUUUAUUGGAUUAUAAUUUAACAUAAUGUUGAAGAUGUCUUUCAUUUAAAUAGGGACAAAAGCAUACACAUCAUAACUAAUUCUUAUCAGAUUUAUAGCAAAUAUAGAAAAUAAGCAUUAUGUUGGAAAUAUGUAUUGAGUCAUUUGUUUUUAGCUUGCAUUUAUUUAAAAAAAAAUAUUCUCGAACUAAAAAAUAUUUUUUCCUUCUCUAUAAAAAUAAAUAUUUUCUCUAUCAAAAUUAUCAUGUAAAUUACAUGAUAAGACAAUAAUUUUAAGGUUUAAUAAGUAAAAAAUAUCUAGCAUGAUUACUUCUUGAAAUACUUUUUUUUUUUUUAAAGUUAACUAGAUAUGUGCUCCAUGUGUAAUUCGUAUUAUUUUUAUAUUUAGAUUAACGAAGUACUAAUGUAAAAUACUAUUAAAAAUAUAUACCAACUUUACAAAAAUAUAUAUUUUACAAUUGAUGAUAAAAUAAUGUUCAUUUCAGCUGUUAAUUCCACUAAAUAACAUGUAUCACCUAGUUUUAUAAUUUAAGUUAAUUAUUAUUUUUCUAUGAAAAAAAGUAAUUGAUCUUUUAACAUUGCUUUGUUUUGUGAUUAAUCUUGAUUAUUUAUUUUUCAUGCAUAUGCAUGAGAUUCUUGAUAUGUCACGGAAAUAUUUAAUCUCUUAGGUAAUCUUAGUUAAUGCUUGGUUUGAGAAAGCAAAAUUUUAUUUUAUUGAUUUCAAACAAUUACAACUUAAAUAACCAAAUUUGAAGAUUAAAGAAAUGUUUAUUUAAUUUUUUCAAAAUUAGAGAUUGAUUUGUAUGGUUAGGAGGGAGUUCAUGUACUAUUUUUAUUUUGGUCCCUUAACUGUUUAAUCUCUUAGUUAAUGCUCGGUUUGGAAAAGUAAAUUUUAAUUUUAUUGAUUUCAAAUAAUUAUAACUUAAAUAAUCAAAUUUGAAGAUUAAAGAAAUAUUUAGUUUUAUUGGGUCAAAAUUAGGGAUUGAUUUGUAUGGUUAUGAGGAAGUUUAUGUCCUGUGUUUUUUUUUUAUCCCUUAACUUGUUUUUUUUUUAUUUGAUCCCUUCAUAUUGAUUUUAUUUGGGAUGGAAUUGGUAGUUUGUUUUGAAUGCCUUGAAAUAGAGAUCUUACAAUAUUGAAAAACAAUUAUGGGGCUUAGUUGAUACUUGAUUUUGAUGAGUAAUACAAAUUUCAGCUAAUAUAGAACUACUAAAAUUUAGGAACUAAAAUUAAAAAUAAAACAAAUAUAAAAACUUAGUAAACAAAUAGGAUAAAUAGGUUGUGGCACGUACCAAUGUUUGAAAGAUAUCUAUUAUGUCUAUUUAUGUUUUUUGCAUGAACAUACUAGAGAAAUUUCUCAUUUUUUAUUUUUGUGACUUUGGGCAUUUAUCAUAGGAUGAUAUAGAAGAGAAAAGAAGAGUUACGGUAACUAAUUGUGGAAUUCCAGAGGUAAAGUCAUCAUCUUUUCCCAAUAGGGUUCAGUUAGGAGCCUCAAGCAAAACAAGUAGCAAAGAGUAAAGCUUUAUGGGAUGAGGAUUGGGGACCUGUUUCAAAAGUAUCUUUCACUGCAUAUCGGCCUUCAGCAAGUAACUCAUCACCCACUCCAUCUAUUUCAGCCAAUCAACAAAGUCAGUUAGCAUUUUUGCCAUAGAAUCUUCCAUGACAUCUGCAGUAUCCAAUACGCAGUAAGCCAUAUCAUGGCCUCCAGUUGAUAUAGAAUGGCCUCCAAGGACAUCUUCAACUAUUAUUCCUCGGCUAGAUGAUGAGGGAGAGGAGGGGGGAUGACCUGGAGUUAUAGGUCCAACAUUAGGUGAAGCCAUUGGCAAAGCCUUGCUGGCUAUUUAUAUAUAUAAAAAAAAGUUGUAAGGCCCUCUUUGUAUACUGUGAAAGUUCAAUAUUUCCCUUCUGUUGUUCUUUGCUUUUCUCUCUUGUAAAUGGCUAAUUAAAUUUUGCUUCGAGUAGGUAGCGCAUAAUUAUUUUUGUUUUUGCUAAGAAUAAAGCAACUGAAAUGCAACAUUUCAUUCAUUCAAGCUUUGACAUGAAAAAAUAUGAACAUGAAUGAUCCAUAUCUUCCAACACCUUCCAUCUACUUGACUACCCCUACAUAUCUAUCUUGUGCACCUAUAAUUGUUCUACUAAUCCUUCUCUCACUAGCCUUAGUGAAAUUAUUGACUAAUUAGUGCAUUCCUGACUUAAAUCUCUAUUGCUUGAAGUUCGUCUUCUCAAUGUGUUCAAAAGUCGUCAUCUUAUUAGAUUGUUGAGCAAUGACACUGCUUGUUCAUGGGUUUUGAGAUGAAACAAUCUCGUAUCCAUCAUAAUAUAAGUCCAUUCCUUCAGCCAAGAUUUGCCAAACCAAGCCACCACCAAUUGUCCCUCUAGUUCUUGCAAAGAUGUAGAUGAUUGUAUAGACUGUAUUCAAGAAAGAAUCCCUCACACUUGUACUGUAUCCUGGAUCUUUAUUUGAUUACCCGAAUUCAGCAAAAACCAAUGGCUUCUUUAAUAUGGUUUUUGAGUCUGUCCAAUGACUAGAUAUCCACAUUUGCAUGAAUUCCAUUUGUGCAUUAUCAUUCUGUCCAGAUACCCUGUAAAUUUGACAGAACAGUACCAUGUUAAUUAUCUUUGCAACAUGUCUUUUUAAGCUUGGUGAAUAAAAACAUCAUGAUUAAUUGAUUAUUAUUUCCUUUCGUGCUUACCAUAUGUCAGGGUAUGCAUGUAUUAUAGCAAAAUCACUAUCCCUAACGAGAUGAUUGCUAAUAAACUCUGUGUCAAUAGAUUUAACAUAAGGUGCCAGCUCUUGAACCCAUCCCUGUCAGAUUUAAAGACAAUCAUUAAUUAAUAGAUGAUAUUAUAAUUAACCUAAUAACUACCACAAAAAUAAUCAAUUACUCAUGGUUGUUGUUUCUUACAUUUAUAGGCUUUCCAGAGUAGUCAACCUGGCAGCGAGGUUCGUACAUCAAUUCCCAUGCAAUGAUGGUUGGCUCAUCCAUAUAAGCAACUCCAGUGAUCGUGGUGAUCCUUGUUAACACUCUAUCUGUUGAAAAAAUAAAGAAAGAAAAGAAACAUUAUUCAUCUCUAAUCAUAACAUUACAGAAGGGAAAUUUGUCAUAUUUGAUUUGGUGCUCAAAAUAUGUAACUUGACAUGGUUCUUGUGAUAGCCCUUCACAACAACGUUUGUAUAAAUAAAAAUCAUCAUCGUUGUUUACUGGCACUCCUGCGGCUCUAACCCAAUUCACGUAUUACGGUCUCCCUCCAAAGUCAUGGUAAUUAUUGCUUAAUGUCAAGAUUGAGCGAAUUAUGUACUUUCUUGCCUCAGAAAUCAUAAAAUCAAGUCCCUGAGAAUUAUAAACAGUAUUUAGCAUUGCUUAGAUUUUUCUUAGUUGGGGAACAAGUUAAAACACAAUUUUGGAGACAUAAAUAUACAAGCAUAUACCUGAAAGACAUGCUCACUACAAACCCCAGGAGAAAUCUGCAGAGCUUGAUAACCUUCAUCACUAAAUGUCCAUGUUCGACAGACAGUAAGACCUGUGUCAGCAGCCGUGCGAAAUACAUUAGAUAUUUUGUACCUUUGACUUGGCUGUGCUGCAACAUUCAUCAUCUAGUAGGAGUUGAACCCAUUAAAAAGGAAUGGAGAGCCACUUAGGACAAAUUAGGUGUUUGUAAUUUGAAUGAAUCCAGACGUAGGAAGCCCAUCUUUAUAAGUAACAAAGGCUAAAAACAAUAUAAUAGUACCAAAAAAAGCAAAGCUUACAUCCCUAAAGCUUGCCAUCUUGCUUGAAAUUUAUGUUUUAAUUUGCCUUUGGUUGAUUCGUACUUGAAAGGAUGGAUGUGAGGACAAGUUAGGGAGAUGUGGUGCCUGUUUAUAGAAGUGAAGGGUGAUGAGCAUAUAGAGGUUCUUAAUUUAAUAUAUAUGAAAUGUUUAAGAGAAUGAAAAACUAUUUAUUUACAUUUUAGGAAAAGAUAAACAUACAGAAAAUUAAAUUUGGAUAAUGUUAUUUAAAGGGAACAUGGAAUUGGUGAGGAAUUUAUAAGAUGUAACAGAAAUUGUUGAGUAUCAUCCUUAAAAUGAUGAUGGCUAAGUAUGGCUAAUCUAAGAAUUAGGAAAUGAUCAAAUAUAAAUUAUUACCAGCCUUAUUCAUUGUAGUUCUCAUAAUCAAAUAUUUUGACUCUUCACAAGAACAUCUUCCACUCUAUAGACAAUAAAGCAGUUUGAAUGGCGUUAAGGAAAAAAAUAACAUUAUUAUUUUAUUUUAUUAAUUGAUGUUGGGCUUACAAUGUUUAUGAAUUGUUUAAUUCAAUAGUAAUUAUAUUGAUUAGAUAUAUUAAAAUUCCUUAUUUAAUAAGUGCAAGUAGGGAUGAUAAUUUAAUAUGGGCUCAAUGGAUAUUGACCCAAAUUGACCCAAAUAUAUGGUUAUUUUUUAUUUGAUGGAUAAUAGGUAGAGUAUGAAUAUUGUCAAACAUGACCUGAAAUCCCAAAAUAUAUAUUUAUAUUAUAUAAAUAUAUAUAAUUUUAUUUUUUAUUAAUUGACAUGCAAUUUUCAAAGGGUCUUUUAGAGACGAAGCUUUAUCCUUUUAGUUUGGUGAAAUAGCAUUCCCAAAGUCUAUGUAAGAAUUAACCUCCUUAUCAACUUGGCUACAAACACCAAUUUGAUAAAAAAAAAAAUUUACAAAUCUGUUGCAGAAAUGAAAAAAAUUCUAUCAACCAAAAUUUGAUAUUUUUUUUUUGAAAAGAUAAAAUAAAAUUAAAAUAAAUGACAUGAUAAAAAAAUAAAUAGACCUUUAUAUAUUUCUGAGUCAAUGAAAGGUUGACAAGUGGGAUAAGAUAUUUAAGAUAUCUUAUCAUAUAUAUAUAUAUAAGAUUUUAUAAAUAAAAAUCAACAAAUGAAAUAAUAUCAUGUGGCAUUGAAAAAGAACUUGAGAGCCCCUACAAAACUCAAAAUAAAGGGCUUUACCCUAGAAAAAAAAAAGAUUUUUUGGAGAUACAAAUUUCUUUUCAAAACAAACUCUUCAAGCAAGAGAACUCUCUCAAAAGCUCUCAACAAACGAAACUAUGUUGAAUCAAGCAUAAAUGCCCCAUAAGAGUUUUUUAACAACACUUUGAAAACAAAUUAAAGAUACUCUUGAAAGCAUCAAAUCAUCAAAUAUUAUUCUUCAAUACAUAUCUAAAUUUAGGUUCUUGCACGACAUAAAUCUUGGCUUGAUUUCACAAAUAAAUCAAAUCACCAUAUACCAAAUUCAAGGGAAGGAUAAAAGAAUUGUUUACUCUUUUGCAAGAAUAUUUAAAAUAGAGAUUGUACCUAGUCAUAUAUUUAAUAAAAUCAAAUAUUUAUACACAUGUGCUUAUCAAAUUUCAGGUGCUCAAAAUUGUGUUUAUAAAUUUCUAGCAUAAAAUCAAACAUCUAUACCUCUCGUGUCUUCCUUUCAGAAAGAAUUUCCAACAACCUCUCAAUGACAACUAGGAAGAGCAUGAUCAUCGUUGUCGCUUAAAAAAAAAAUACAAGGCUAUUGAUUCAAGUCACCGAUAUACCGUUGAAGAUUCUUCAACCUGUCAUUGAAUACAAAAUUCAUCGCAGAAUUGUAUUUGCAAACUAAGCCAAUUAUUGAGCUAAUGUCAGCAUCAAAUGCAAAGGAGGCAUGAGAGUUUGCUCCAAAACUGAAGCUACAAGUACCUCCACCAUAAAAGUCAAGUAGGGUCCGUAGGCUUUUCUUCGGCACUUAAGGUGAGUACUCUGAAAAUUCACCUAUAGAGACUUCUUCAUGUCAAUCACCAAGUAAGGUUUUGGGUUUUAGCAUCAUAUUAGUGAUGAUGAUCGAGACUGCAUCUUUGGAGAAUCAAGUGGCUAACUUGUCAAAAAUCUUCGAAGGGCUUUCAAGUUCACUCAAGGCAAAAGAGCACUAGAUAACAAAGUUGAUAAACAAACUCGAGAGCAUGAACGAGGGAGGCCAAACUGCAACUAUAAAGGAUUUGCAAGUAGAUCAAUUAGAUGUCAUUGAGGAUUCUAUAAUUGGAGCCACAAGGAAUAUCCACGGUAUUAUCGAUGGCAUCUUCACCACGAAUUAACUGAAAGAACUUAUCAAAAAAAGUCAUAACGGACAAAAUAGAAAGAUCAAUUCAACCUUCAUAUUCUUAUGUGAAGCUGUACAAAGAAAGGAUUAACCUGCUAAGGAUGCCUUUGAGCUAUCAACCAUCAAAGUCUCAAUAAUAUAAUGGAAAAGAGAAUCCAAGGCAACAUGUAGCUCACUUUGUGGAGACUUGCAACAAUGUCAAAACCGAUGGUGAUCUCAUGGUAAAACAGUUUGUCUAUUCGUUAAAAGGUAAUGCCUUCGACUAGUACACUAACUUGAAGUCUGGCUCAAUUGAUAGUUGGGAGCAAUUGGAAUGCGAGUUUCUUAACCGCUUCUACAACACUCAUCGUGUGGUCAGUAAGAUUGAACUCACCAAUGCACGUCAAUACAAGGAGAAGCAUGUCAUUGAUUAUAUUCAUUGGUGGAGAAACCUUAGCCUCGAUUGUAAGGAUCGACUCAUCGAAACUUAUGCGCUAAAUAUGUGUAUUCAAGGGAUACCCCGAGCACACAACUCUCCAGUCCACUUUGGCCAACCUAAUCAGACUCAUUAAAGUUACCGCCUCGACUUGGUAUCAUGCAAAUUCCUUGCACUAGCCCACAUCACAAUGUAUUAUUACGAACUCCAAAAAGUCAUCAUGGCAUCACACACCACCUACUAGUGCUACACGAUGCUCAUCUAAUUCUCUAUUAUGGUGCCCGACCUCUUGUAAUAGUAGAAAAAUAUUAUUCUACUUCCCGUGCCAUCACUUCUAAUUAAUAUAAGCAGGAGGUGCUUGUUCAUAUUUAAUAGGAUGUGAUGGGUAUCAUAAUUACUAACACAGACCUAGAGUAUGGGAGCUUAGUGUAGAGUGACAUGUUAGUUAUGCACCCAAUCUAAGGGAUGUUGGGCUCAAUCCACGCCCAAAGCGCAGGAGAAAAAGGGGCGCAGACGUAUCCAGAUCCACUGUGAAGCUGGGCGUGGACACGACUAGGUCCAAAGUGGGGUUGGGCGUGGUCGCGCCCGAGCCCAAUUGUGGGACCGGGCGUGGAUGCGUCCGUGCCCAACAUAGAUUUGGACGUGGACGCGCCCGGGCCCGAUCAUGGGACUGAACGGGGACGUGUCCAGGCCCAACAUAGAGUUGGGGGUGGGUGUACCCCAACCCAACUUGGGGUUGGACACCCGAAAAGACAUAGCUCCAUUUUGGGUUAUGAUUUUCAUGCAUUAUCUCUUAAAUAAGGUUGAGUUGAGAAACUAUGACCCAUCAAUAUCCAAAAUCAUAAGAUUCUAAAAGACACAAAAAAAUCAAAAUCUGUCCUCAUAACUUCUCAUAAGUUACUAGGGAUUAAAAAUAAAAAAAGGAGGAGAAAACAAGUCAACUACAAAGAGAAUAUUUUGUUUUAGUCUGUGCUCGUGGAGAUGGAGAGAAGAAAUCAUGGAGGGAAAAAUGGUUUUCUAUGUAUACUAGAUUGAUAUAUUGUUCCCUUUGUAUGGGUUAUAUUAUAUAAAGGAUAUUUUUAUCUUUUAAUCAAAAUUUAAAUCUUGAAGUAUAAUUUCUAAAGCUAUAGAGAGAGAUAUUAAAAUCGUUUUCAAACCUUGGUAGAUGAGUAAUUUUUCUAUUAUAAAUUGUGUACGGCUAACAGGUGAUUUUAGUACACUUGCUAAGUCCCAUUUAACAUUCCAAAUUAAUUCAUGUGUUUAACGUUUUGUUUAUAAUUUAUUAUAGACACUUAAAAACAUCACCAUAUAAACUAUUUAACAUAUUUAAUUAAUUUAAUUGAUUUUUAUUUGAAUAUUUGUUUUUUAAUUAUUAUUUUUACCACAAUUCAAUAAUAAAUAAAAUCUAAGAAAUACAUUAUUCAAAUAAUGGUUUACUAUUCAUAUAAAUAUAAAUAGUAAAGAAUCUUAAUACAUAUUUUUAAUUAGUUUAUAAUAAUUUUCUUGUUGUUAUGUGGCAGAGGCACACGUGAUAUGAUGCAGGUUGCAGCUCGAGAGUGGAUGGCAACACUUAAUUUUUUAUUUUUUACAAACAACAGGUAGUCCGUAACUUUCUUUUUUUUUUUAAGGACGAAUAACAUUCAAAUUCAUCUAAACAGGAGACCUUAUGGUCUCUUUAAGCAAUGGAGCAAUACUUCACUAUGAAAAUAAAAUUAUGUUCAAAUAAUACAAUGAAAAAAAAAAGAAAAAGGAAAAGUGUUUUUUUCUCAGAUCUGAAUCCAUGUCGUGAAAAACAUGUUGGGAAUGGUUUCCCAGAUUUUCUCCUGCUAUAUCUAUCUAUCAAUUGAUUUGAUGAUAAAGUUUUCAUGUUUACCUUCAACCAGUAUGGCAAGAUAAAAUCACAAUAGUUCUCCGCUUGGCUGUAUAGCUGGCGGACCCCACACUUUCUCACAUGACAAUAAUGCAAGGAGUUGUUGUCCAUAUCUUCCACGGAGAAUUCAACUGAGACUUCACUGAAAUUACCAUACCAAAAAUCUUUUGUAGCAUUCAAACAAGGAUCAUAUCCAAGAAAUAGGUGAUCUGACUGGAUAGAUCGUUUGUGCAAUGAGCCAUAGCAACUGGCAAAGUAGCAAUGGAGAACGCAGGGAUCAGCAUGGUCAUUCUUGAAAUGGUAAGUACAUUUAACUUGGAAUCCACCAGAGUCGUCAUAAGAUGGUUCGAAUGCAACAACAGUGCACAGCAUGAAACCCAAUAACUCACUACUAGCGCAAUGUGAAGGCAGCUUAAUUGUCACAGAAGCUGCUGAAUUCUGCUGCACAAACCACGCUGGAACUUUACAUCCAGGGAAGCAAAAACUAGAUACCCCAGCAGCUACUGAUGAAAUCUGCAUCAUGAAAAACAUGCUCAACUCUACCUCCAAUAAAAAACGAGAGAAGAGAUUAUAAUACGGGAUUGUACGGGGAUUGCACGUGCGUGCGUGCGAGCGUGCGUGCGUGCGUGUGUGAGAGAGAGAGAGAGACCUCAUUGUAAAGUCUUUUGGCAUAUAGCUGAAUUUUCAAGAGAGCAUAUGCCAUGAUAUUGUUGCGUGCAGUCUCAUCCAACAUGAGACAAUUAGUAAAGAUGAAUUCAAAAAUGUUUCCAUCAACUAUAGUUGAUGAGCUUGGGACUGUUCUCAGAGAUGUGCAGCUGUGUGCAUCUAGUUCUGCAAGCCGUGGGGGAAGUUUUUGUAAGGACCCAAGCCUCCUGCAAUAGCGUAAGCCAAGAUAUUGGUGACAUUUGAGCAGCCAGAGACAUCAACAAUAACAAUAGACUUCAACAAACAAAUACUGUCUGGAAGAUUCCCAAGUUGUUUACAGUCCCUCAAAUUCAAAGCAACGAGUCUACUCAGAUGUCCAAUAGAUUGGGGAAGUUCUUUGAUUGCAGUCUCAUUGAAAUUCAAAUACAUCACAUGCUCUGUAGUCUCUGGGUACAUCUUGAGAUUUGAGCAGCCAGAGAGGUCAAGAGCCUUGAGAUAUUUCGAUUUAAUAAUUCUUGGAAAACUCAAAAGGCUUGUGCAGCUUCUCAGAUCCAAAUCAACAAGCUUCUCUAGAAAUUGAAGAGAUGAGGGAACCACUUUCAGAGUUGUACAAAAUUGAAGAUUCAAUCUCUCAAGAUUUUUAGCCUUUGAUAGGUCUGGAAUUGUAGUUAGAUGCUCACAAUUACUAAGGUUGACCUCUGUUAAAUUCACAAGAUUCUGCACCCUCAUAGCAUUGAUAAAUAUAUAUAUAUAUAGUAUCAGUACAUUUUAAAAUUCAUUUGAAGGAGGAGAAAAAUUACAUGUGUAGUGACUAAACCAUACCUGGUCCCCCUUCCAAAGUCCUCGAACCUUGCUGUGUGAUAGAUUAAGUUCAACAAGGUUCUCCGGAUGAAAAUUGGAUGGCAAAGAUUUCAGAGGGUAUCCAUCCCAAUGGAGAUACCUCAACUCAUCAGAAAGUGAUUUGAGACCAUGAGGAAGGUACACUUUACAGUUUUUUCCAACUUCAUAAUUAUAAAUUAUGAGCAAUCUAAGAUUAUACUGUAGACACAAUUUUGUGCACCUGAAAUUAAACAAGCACAUGUGUACAAAUAUAUGAUUUUAUUAAAUAUAUGAAUGGGUACAAUCUCUAUGUAAUAUACUCUUUCAAAAGAAUAUAGCAAUCCUCUAAUUCUUCCCUUGGAUUUGAUAUAUGGUGACUUGAUUUAUUUGAGUAAUCAAGCCAAGAUUUGUGCUUUGCAAGAACGCGAAUUUGAGCGUGUAUUGCGAAGCGAGAUAUUGUGAUUUAAUGCUUUGAAGAGUACCUUGAUUUGUCUUCAAAGUGUUGUUGAAGAACUCUUAUGGGGCGUUUUGACUUGAUCCAAUAGAGCUUCGUUCUUUGUAGACUUCAAGCGUAGAUGAAGGAGGCUUGAGAACUCUUUGAGAGAGAGCUUCCUUGCUUGAAGAGAAAGAGAGAGAGCUUCCUUGCUUGAAGAGCUUGUCUUGAAGAAAAUUUGUAUCUCCAGGAAUCCAAUCCCUGCCUUUAGGUUGAGGUCCUCUAUUUAUAGAGAUCUAUAGGGGCUCUCAGGUCCUUUUCCAAUGUCACGCGGCAUAAUUUUAUUGGUUGGUCUUUAUUGACGGGAUCCUGCAUUUAUGACAAGAUAUCUUGAAUAUCUCAUCCCAAAUGUCAACUUUUCAUAGGCCAAAAAAUAUAUGAAGACUCAUUUGUUUUCUAUGUCAUUUAUUUCAAUUUUAUUUUAUCCUUUCUUUUAAAGAAUAAAAUAACAUAUGGUGAAAUUUGAUUAGUAGAAAAUUUGUGUUUCUACAGAUGCCCCCUCGAGACAAGUUCACUUACUUUUGGAACAAGUGGACAUGUCUCGAAAAAUAUAGUUGAGAGGGUUUUAUAUUUUUGACUAAAAUUUAAUUUGAUCAUAUUAGAUUUUCACAAGAAGCAGAUAAAUUUUAUUGUGAAAAUAAAAUAUGAUAAUCAAAAUUGAAAAUUUAUGGAUCAAUCUUGAUUGAGAUUUAUCAAAUCAAAUGAUAGAAUAUUCAGGUCCAACACCUCAUUUGAAACUGUUGCAUAUUCAAGACUCAACAAAAUUUAUCUUUAUACCCGUAUAGCAACCAAUAAAAUUUACUGCAAUUUCAAUUUCAAACAGCUCCAGAUAUCUUUAUUUACAUUUCAGCUGUUACCUUAUGAAAUGUAAUCACUUUCUCUUAGAAUAAGCAAAUGGAUUUCAAAUUAGUUGUCUAACAUAUUAUACUACGUACAGAAAGCUUUUAUUGGAAUACUUUCCAUAUAGUUCUUUUGGCCAUGAAACAAUCUCAUUUGAUUUCUUUGAACCUUUUAGGUCUCCGACUGUAAACCUUCAAGUCAUUUGUGGUAGAUUCCGCACCAUUCUUGAAGCCACUUCCACCGGGUUCCGCCUCAUUGUCACGCUUGUUAUCAUGGCAUCUCUUGUUUGUUCCCACGCCGGCAUUAGUGAAUUGUUCCGUUGGAAGAUAAAUUCCACAUGCAAGAAUGGUUUUCCCCCUCUGAGUGAUUCCACAUAAUUGUUGUACAAGCUGUCCAAAUUCCGUUGGAGUUGCUGCAAAUAACCGACGGUAUGGCAAGAUAAAAUCGCAAUAGUUCUCUGCUUGGGUGUAUAGUUGGCGAACCCCACACUUGCUCACAUGACAAUAAUGCAAGGGGUUGUUGUCCAUAUCUUCCACGGAGAAUUCAACUGAGACUUCACUGAAAUUACCAUACCAAAAAUCUUUUGUAGCAUUCAAACAAGGAUCAUAUCCAAGAAAUAGGUGAUCUGACUGGAUAGAUCGUUUGUGCAAUGAGCCAUAGCAACUGGCAAAGUAGCAAUGGAGAACGCAGACAAUUAGUAAAGAUGAAUUCAAAAAUGUUUCCAUCAACUGUAGUUGAUGAGCUUGGGACUGUUCUCAGAGAUGUGCAGCUGUGUGCAUCUAGUUUUGCAAGCCGUGGGGGAAGUUUUAGUAAUGAUACAAGCCUCCAGCAAUGGCGUAAGCCAAGAUACUGCAGCUCAGAGAGUUCACUGAUAUUUUCAGGCAGUAUAACAAAGUUGUUUCCACUCAGAUCCAAUGCUUCCAGUGAGGUUAAGCAGCCAAGACUUUUAGGCACUUCCAGUAUUCCGCAACCACUGAGGUUUAGCUUGCGCAAAUAUUUUAAAUCCACAUCCUGCUCAAGCAAUCGCAAGUCACCAAGAUAUUUUCCUUCCAAAUAUAUACAAUUUCCCAAUUCUAAGCAACAAAGCCCCUUCAGAUUUCUAAUUGGUGAGGGUAAUUUUUGUAUGCCUGUCCUGCCCAAGUAAAGAUAUCUCAAAGAUUCCAUUGUCUCCAAAAUUCCCGGGAAUCUCUGAAAUUGAGAGCAACCUGAGAGGUUGAGCUUUUGCAGAGAUUUCAACUUGCAGAUACUCCCAGGAAGAAUCAUCCAGAUGAAGUCUGUGAGAGUUGUGUCCUCAGCAAACAUCACAAAUCCAGUUUUGCCAAAGAAGUCAACUGGAGAGCAAAGAGGCCACUGGAGUUAGUACACACAGAUGUGUGUGGCCCAAUUACGCCUAUGUUGACUGGACAAAAUAGGUACUUCCUCACUUUUACUAAUGAUUUUAUUAGAAAGACAUGGAUAUACUUUCUGAAGAGGAAGUCAGAAGUAUUCAAUUGUUUUAAAGAUUUUAAAGCAAUUGUGGAGAAGCAAACUGGUUACACGAUCAGAACAGUGAGAUCUGAUCAAGGUGGAGAAUAUACAGCAAAUGACUUUGAAGCCUAUUGUACAUAACAAGGCAUCAGACAUCAGACAACACCAGCUUAUACACCACAGCUGAACGGUGUAGCCGAAAGGAAGAAUCGCACGAUUCUUGACAUGGCAAGAAGUCUGCUCAAAGCAAAGAAGUUGCCCAAGCAAUACUGGGCUAAAGCUGUAUCAUGUGUAGUGUAUCUAUUGAAUCGCUGCCCAACCAAAAGUUUACAAGGAGUCAUUCCAGAAGAAGCAUGGAGUGGUCACAAACCAAGUGUUACUCAUCUACGAGUCUUUGGUUGUGUGGCAUAUGCAAAGAUCCCAGAUGCAAGAAGGACAAAACUCGAUGAUAAAAGCGAGAAAUGCAUCUUUGUCGGAUAUGGUGAAAGAAGGAUGGGAUACAGGCUGUAUAAUCCCAUCACGAAAAAGGUGAUUACGAGUAGAGAUGUUAUCUUUGAAGAAGAUAAAUCUUGGGAAUGGAAUGGUGAUCAAGAAGCAGUCAAAUGGAUCAAUCUUGAUUUGAUCCUUGAAGGUGAAGAAGUACCAACAGUACUUGUCGAAGAACCGAUUGUGCCAGCAGCUGAACCACAAAGUCCGGUGUUUAUACCAGCAGCUGAACCACAAAGUCCGGUACACAGAUUCCCUGUAUUCAACAGGAGGAACACACCAGGAGCAUCAUCAUCAACACCACCAUCAGCAUCCUCGUUAGAAGGACCAAGAAAGAUGCGGAAUCUUGAAGAGUUGUACGAUACCACUCAGGUCAUGGAAGAUACAACUCUGUUUUGUUUUCAUGCAGAUAGUGACCCAUUAAGCUUCAAUAAAGCUGUCACAGAAAAGAAAUGGAUUAAAGCAAUGGAUGAAGAAAUAUAUGCCAUUGAGAAGAAUGAUACCUUGAAGCUGACUUAUCCACCAGUAAAGAAGAAAGCAAUAGGUGUCAAAGGGGUCUACAAGACGAAAGCCAAAUUAAUGGAUAAAGGCUACAAGCAGAGAGAAGGCAUUGAAGAGAGAAGUAUUCAUGCUUGGCAUGAUAUCCCUCGAUUGAGUUUAAAGGGGAGAUUUGUUGAAUCUAAACUCAAUCUAGAAGGUCAAGGAAGGCAACCACCACCCAGCCAACCACCAGCUGCCACCAACCGACCAGCCACCAGCCGCAGCAGCCAGCCGCCAGCUGCCACAGCCGCCAGCCGCCUUCACACCUAGAAAGUUGAAUUUUUUUUAUUCUGAUUUCGUGUAUAAAUAGAGUGCCCAGCUUGUGUUUAUUUGAGUGGAGAGAAUUGAGAGGAACACUAGAAAGAGAAAGAGAGAGAGAGAAGGCGUGUUUAAGCUUUUGUGUUAAGUAAUUGUAAGCUUCGGAUUUUUGUAAUAAAACAGUGUGUUUUAUCCCCUCUGAGUGUUUCAAAGCCACCACCAGUGGUUUCUCCCACCAACACAAUGAAGGUCUUGAUUUUCUUACGACACAAAGCAUCAUAGAGAUGGCUGGUAAAAUUAUUGCGCGUAUCCUUGCCCCUAAAACUAAGGAACACAUCAUACUUCCUUUUAUGAGCAACAGCAGAUGAAGAUGCCAUAUCAGACAGUUACAAGAUCGUGUCUUCCUCAAUCACUAAGAAUCGAAAUCAACAAGUGCUCUCCUUUUUCUCCUAAAGACAUACAAGAGCAGCCACUUCAACAGUUGAACAUUUAUUAAGAGAAAUUGAAGUCUAAGAGUACAAGAACCCACACAACAUAUAUUUGUCUGAAAAUUCCUCAAACUCUGAACGAUGGAUACAUACUAGCUUAAUUUGAUAUGAUCUAUCUUAAUUUGAUCACUCGUCACUUGCUACCAAUGCUAGCUUGCUAUUACUUUCAUUGCAAGAACAGUCACUAGCUGAGCAAUAAGAAUUACAGAUGGAAGAAUUAAUACGUUCAUAAAACAUACUUAUCUAACUCGUAUAUAUAAUCUUAAAUAUAGAAGACGCAUGAACCAGAAAGACUUACCAACAGAUCAUAAGAACAGUUGACUUGUGGUUUUCCAUCAGCAAACAAGACGAAGAAGAAGCUGCAUAUCGUUGAUGAUAACAGACGAUUUUUCUUGUCUAUUGCCUUCUCCUUCUCCUUCAAGUAAAUUCUUACAGACAAUCUGAGCUUCUCGUUAUCUAAAUGAAAGAUGGUUUUUGAUCAAGAAACAGUGAAUGUGAGAAGACUUUGGGGUCAUUAGACUCAAUACCAAAUUCAUUGGCCAAUGAACUUGUCAAUGGCAACGGUACCCCUCAUGGCCAAUGAUUUAUUUUUUUCUUUUUUCUUUUUUAGUGCCUAAUGGAUGGGCUUCCUAAAGUAAUUUGUUUGGGUCUUCCAAACCAAAAUCUUAACCCAUUUCGAACAAAGAGUCUUGGAAACAAAAUUCCAUUUAUUAUUAUUAUUAUUCAUAAAACAUUAUUAAUUUACCUAUGAUUUCCAUGGUAUUAUUGACACUUUAUUUUCUUAAAGCUAUUUAUUGGAUUAUAAUUUAACAUAAUGUUGAAGAUGUCUUUCAUUUAAAUAGGGACAAAAGCAUACACAUCAUAACUAAUUCUUAUAAGAUUUAUAGCAAAUAUAGAAAAUAAGCAUUAUGUUGGAAAUAUGUAUUGAGUCAUUUGCUUUUAGCUUGCAUUCAUUUAAAAAAAAAUAUUCUCGAACUAAAAAAUAUUGUUUCCUUCUCUAUAAAAACAAAUAUUUUCUCUAUCAAAAUUAUCAUGUAAAUUACAUGAUAAGACAAUAAUUUUAAGGUUUAAUAAGUAAAAAAUAUCUAGCAUGAUUACUUCCUGAAAUACUUUUUUUUAUUUUUUUAAGUUAACUAGAUAUGUGCUCCAUGUGUAAUUCGUAUUAUUUUUAUAUUUAGAUUAACGAAGUACUAAUGUAAAAUACUAUUAAAAAUAUAUACCAACUUUACAAAAAUAUAUAUUUUACAAUUGAUGAUAAAAUAAUGUUCAUUUCAGCUGUUAAUUCCACUAAAUAGCAUGUAUCACCUAGUUUUAUAAUUUAAUUUAAUUUUUAUUUUCCUAUGAAAAAAAGUAAUUGAUCCUUUAACAUUGCUUUGUUUUGUGAUUAAUCUUGAUUAUUUAUUUUUCAUGCAUAUGCAUGAGAUUCUUGAUAUGUCACGGAAAUAUUUAAUCUCUUAGUUAAUCUUAGUUAAUGCUUGGUUUGAGAAAGCAAAAUUUUAUUUUAUUGAUUUCAAAUAAUUACAACUUAAAUAACCAAAUUUGAAGAUUAAAGAAAUGUUUAUUUAUUUUUUUCAAAAUUAGAGAUUGAUUUGUAUGGUUAGGAGGGAGUUCAUGUACUAUUUUUAUUUUGGUCCCUUAACUGUUUAAUCUCUUAGUUAAUGCUCGGUUUGGAAAAGUAAAUUUUAAUUUUAUUGAUUUCAAAUAAUUAUAACUUAAAUAAUCAAAUUUGAAGAUUAAAGAAAUAUUUAGUUUUAUUGGGUUAAAAUUAAGGAUUGAUUUGUAUGGUUAUGAGGAAGUUUAUGUCCUGUGUUUUUUUUUUAUCCCUUAACUUUUUUUUUUUUUAUUUGAUCCCUUCAUAUUGAUUUUAUUUGGGAUGGAAUUGGUAGUUUGUUUUGAAUGCCUUGACAUAGAGAUCUUACAAUAUUGAAAAAAAAUUAUGGGGCUUAGUUGAUACAUUUUGAUGAGUAAUACAAAUUUCAGCUAAUAUAGAACUACUAAAAUUUAGGAACUAAAAAAAAAAACAAAUAUAAAAACUUAGUAAACAAAUAGGAUAAAUAGGUUGUGGCACGUACCAAUGUUUGAAAGAUAUCUAUUAUGUCUAUUUAUGUUUUUUGCAUGAACAUACUAGAGAAAUUUCUCAUUUUUUAUUUUUGUGACUUUGGGCAUUUAUCAUAGGCUGAUAUAGAAGAGAAAAGAGGAGUUACAGUAACUAAUUGUGGAAUUCCAGAGGUAAAGUCAUCAUCUUUUCCCAAUAGGGUUCAGUUAGGAGCCUCAAGCAAAACAAGUAGCAAAGAGUAAAGCUUUAUGGGAUGAGGAUUGGGGACCUGUUUCAAAAGUAUCUUUCACUGCACAUCGACCUUCAGCAAGUAACUCAUCACCCACUCCAUCUAUUUCAGCCAAUCAACAAGUUCAGUUAGCAUUUUUGCCAUCAGAAUCUUCCAUGACAUAUGCAGUAUCCAAUACGCAGUAAGCCAUAUCAUGGCCUCCAGUUGAUAUAGAAUGGCCUCCAAGGACAUCUUCAACUAUUAUUCCUCGGCUAGAUGAUGAGGGAGAGGAGGGUGGAUGACCUGGAGUUAUAGGUCCAACAUUAUGUGAAGCCAUUGGCAAAGCCUUGCUGGCUAUUUAUAUAUAUAAAAAAAAGUUGUAAGGCCCUCUUUGUAUACUGUGAAAGUUCAAUAUUUCCCUUCUGUUGUUCUUUGCUUUUCUCUCUUGUAAAUGGCUAAUUAAAUUUUGCUUCGAGUAGGUAGCGCAUAAUUAUUUUUGUUUUUGAUAAGAAUAAAGCAACUGAAAUGCAACAUUUCAUUCAUUCAAGCUUUGACAUGAAAAAAUAUGAACAUGAAUGAUCCAUAUCUUCCAACACCUUCCAUCUACUUGACUACCCCUACAUAUCUAUCUUCUGCACCUAUAAUUGUUCUACUAAUCCUUCUCUCACUAGCCUUAGUGAAAUUAUUGACUAAUUAGUGCAUUCCUGACUUAAAUCUAUAUUGCUUGAAGUUCGUCUUCUCAAUGUGUUCAAAAGUCGUCAUCUUAUUAGAUUUUGAGCAAUGACACUGCUUGUUCAUGGGUUUUGAGAUGAAACAAUCUCGUAUCCAUCAUAAUAAGUCCAUUCCUUCAGCCAAGAUUUGCCAAACCAAGCCACCACCAAUUGUCCCUCUAGUUCUUGCAAAGAUGUAGAUGAUUGUAUAGACUGUAUUCAAGAAAAAUCCCUCACACUUGUACUGUAUCCUGGAUCUUUAUUUGAUUACCCGAAUUCAGCAAAAACCAAUGGCUUCUUUAAUAUGGUUUUUGAGUCUGUCCAAUGACUAGAUAUCCACAUUUGCAUGAAUUCCAUUUGUGCAUUAUCAUUCUGUCCAGAUACCCUGUAAAUUUGACAGAACAGUACCAUGUUAAUUAUCUUUGCAACAUGUCUUUUUAAGCUUGGUGAAAAAACAUCAUGAUUAAUUGAUUAUUAUUUCCUUUCGUGCUUACCAUAUGUCAGGGUAUGCAUGUAUUAUAGCAAAAUCACUAUCCCUAACGAGAUGAUUGCUAAUAAACUCUGUGUCAAUAGAUUUAACAUAAGGUGCCAGCUCUUGAACCCAUCCCUGUCAGAUUUAAAGACAAUCAUUAAUUAAUAGAUGAAUUAUAAUUAACCUAAUAACUACCACAAAAAUAAUCAAUUACUCAUGGUUGUUGUUUCUUACAUUUAUAGGCUUUCCAGAGUAGUCAACCUGGCAGCGAGGUUCGUACAUCAAUUCCCAUGCAAUGAUGGUUGGCUCAUCCAUAUAAGCAACUCCAGUGAUCGUGGUGAUCCUUGUUAACACUCUAUCUGUUGAAAAAAAAAGAAAGAAAAGAAACAUUAUUCAUCUCUAAUCAUAACAUUACAGAAGGGAAAUUUGUCAUAUUUGAUUUGGUGCUCAAAAUAUGUAACUUGACAUGGUUCUUGUGAUAGCCCUUCACAACAACGUUUGUAUAAAUAAAAAUCAUCAUCGUUGUUUACUGGCACUCCUGCGGCUCUAACCCAAUUCACGUAUUACGGUCUCCCUCCAAAGUCAUGGUAAUUAUUGCUUAAUGUCAAGAUUGAGCGAAUUAUGUACUUUCUUGCCUCAGAAAUCAUAAAAUCAAGUCCCUGAGAAUUAUAAACAGUAUUUAGCAUUGCUUAGAUUUUUCUUAGUUGGGGAACAAGUUAAAACACAAUUUUGGAGACAUAAAUAUACAAGCAUAUACCUGAAAGACAUGCUCACUACAAACCCCAGGAGAAAUCUGCAGAGCUUGAUAACCUUCAUCACUAAAUGUCCAUGUUCGACAGACAGUAAGACCUGUGUCAGCAGCCGUGCGAAAUACAUUAGAUAUUUUGUACCUUUGACUUGGCUGUGCUGCAACAUUCAUCAUCUAGUAGGAGUUGAACCCAUUAAAAAGGAAUGGAGAGCCACUUAGGACAAAUUAGGUGUUUGUAAUUUGAAUGAAUCCAGACGUAGGAAGCCCAUCUUUAUAAGUAACAAAGGCUAAAAACAAUAUAAUAGUACCAAAAAAAGCAAAGCUUACAUCCCUAAAGCUUGCCAUCUUGCUUGAAAUUUAUGUUUUAAUUUGCCUUUGGUUGAUUCGUACUUGAAAGGAUGGAUGUGAGGACAAGUUAGGGAGAUGUGGUGCCUGUUUAUAGAAGUGAAGGGUGAUGAGCAUAUAGAGGUUCUUAAUUUAAUAUAUAUGAAAUGUUUAAGAGAAUGAAAAACUAUUUAUUUACAUUUUAGGAAAAGAUAAACAUACAGAAAAUUAAAUUUGGAUAAUGUUAUUUAAAGGGAACAUGGAAUUGGUGAGGAAUUUAUAAGAUGUAACAGAAAUUGUUGAGUAUCAUCCUUAAAAUGAUGAUGGCUAAGUAUGGCUAAUCUAAGAAUUAGGAAAUGAUCAAAUAUAAAUUAUUACCAGCCUUAUUCAUUGUAGUUCUCAUAAUCAAAUAUUUUGACUCUUCACAAGAACAUCUUCCACUCUAUAGACAAUAAAGCAGUUUGAAUGGCGUUAAGGAAAAAAAUAACAUUAUUAUUUAUUAUUAAAUUGAUGUUGGGCUUACAAUGUUUAUGAAUUGUUUAAUUCAAUAGUAAUUAUAUUGAUUAGAUAUAUUAAAAUUCCUUAUUUAAUAAGUGCAUGGAUAUUGACCCAAAUUGACCCAAAUAUAUGGUUAUUUUUUAUUUGAUGGAUAAUAGGUAGAGUAUGAAUAUUGUCAAACAUGACCUGAAAUCCCAAAAUAUAUAUUUAUAUAUAUAAUAUAUAUAAUUUUAUUUUUAUUAAUUGACAUGCAAUUUUCAAAGGGUCUUUUAGAGACGAAGCUUUAUCCUUUUAGUUUGGUGAAAUAGCAUUCCCAAAGUCUAUGUAAGAAUUAACCUCCUUAUCAACUUGGCUACAAACACCAAUUUGAUAAAAAAAAAAAUUUACAAAUCUGUUGCAGAAAUGAAAAAAAUUCUAUCAACCAAAAUUUGAUAUUUUUUUUUGAAAAGAUAAAAUAAAAUUAAAAUAAAUGACAUGAUAAAAAAAUAAAUAGACCUUUAUAUAUUUCUGAGUCAAUGAAAGGUUGACAAGUGGGAUAAGAUAUUUAAGAUAUCUUAUCAUAUAUAUAUAUAUAAGAUUUUAUAAAUAAAAAUCAACAAAUGAAAUAAUAUCAUGUGGCAUUGAAAAAGAACUUGAGAGCCCCUACAAAACUCAAAAUAAAGGGCUUACCCUAGAAAAAAAAAAGAUUUUUUGGAGAUACAAAUUUCUUUUCAAAACAAACUCUUCAAGCAAGAGAACUCUCUCAAAAGCUCUCAACAAACGAAACUAUGUUGAAUCAAGCAUAAAUGCCCCAUAAGAGUUUUUUAACAACACUUUGAAAACAAAUUAAAGAUACUCUUGAAAGCAUCAAAUCAUCAAAUAUUAUUCUUCAAUACAUAUCUAAAUUUAGGUUCUUGCACGACAUAAAUCUUGGCUUGAUUUCACAAAUAAAUCAAAUCACCAUAUACCAAAUUCAAGGGAAGGAUAAAAGAAUUGUUUACUCUUUUGCAAGAAUAUUUAAAAUAGAGAUUGUACCUAGUCAUAUAUUUAAUAAAAUCAAAUAUUUAUACACAUGUGCUUAUCAAAUUUCAGGUGCUCAAAAUUGUGUUUAUAAAUUUCUAGCAUAAAAUCAAACAUCUAUACCUCUCGUGUCUUCCUUUCAGAAAGAAUUUCCAACAACCUCUCAAUGACAACUAGGAAGAGCAUGAUCAUCGUUGUCGCUUAAAAAAAAAAUACAAGGCUAUUGAUUCAAGUCACCGAUAUACCGUUGAAGAUUCUUCAACCUGUCAUUGAAUACAAAAUUCAUCGCAGAAUUGUAUUUGCAAACUAAGCCAAUUAUUGAGCUAAUGUCAGCAUCAAAUGCAAAGGAGGCAUGAGAGUUUGCUCCAAAACUGAAGCUACAAGUACCUCCACCAUAAAAGUCAAGUAGGGUCCGUAGGCUUUUCUUCGGCACUUAAGGUGAGUACUCUGAAAAUUCACCUAUAGAGACUUCUUCAUGUCAAUCACCAAGUAAGGUUUUGGGUUUUAGCAUCAUAUUAGUGAUGAUGAUCGAGACUGCAUCUUUGGAGAAUCAAGUGGCUAACUUGUCAAAAAUCUUCGAAGGGCUUUCAAGUUCACUCAAGGCAAAAGAGCACUAGAUAAAAAAGUUGAUAAACAAACUCGAGAGCAUGAACGAGGGAGGCCAAACUGCAACUAUAAAGGAUUUGCAAGUAGAUCAAUUAGAUGUCAUUGAGGAUUCUAUAAUUGGAGCCACAAGGAAUAUCCACGGUAUUAUCGAUGGCAUCUUCACCACGAAUUAACUGAAAGAACUUAUCAAAAAAAGUCAUAACGGACAAAAUAGAAAGAUCAAUUCAACCUUCAUAUUCUUAUGUGAAGCUGUACAAAGAAAGGAUUAACCUGCUAAGGAUGCCUUUGAGCUAUCAACCAUCAAAGUCUCAAUAAUAUAAUGGAAAAGAGAAUCCAAGGCAACAUGUAGCUCACUUUGUGGAGACUUGCAACAAUGUCAAAACGAUGGUGAUCUCAUGGUAAAACAGUUUGUCUAUUCGUUAAAAGGUAAUGCCUUCGACUAGUACACUAACUUGAAGUCUGGCUCAAUUGAUAGUUGGGAGCAAUUGGAAUGCGAGUUUCUUAACCGCUUCUACAACACUCAUCGUGGUCAGUAAGAUUGAACUCACCAAUGCACGUCAAUACAAGGAAAGCAUGUCAUUGAUAUAUUCAUUGGUGGAGAAACCUUAGCCUCGAUUGUAAGGAUCGACUCAUCGAAACUUAUGCGCUAAAUAUGUGUAUUCAAGGGAUACCCCGAGCACACAACUCUCCAGUCCACUUUGGCCAACCUAAUCAGACUCAUUAAAGUUACCGCCUCGACUUGGUAUCAUGCAAAUUCCUUGCACUAGCCCACAUCACAAUGUAUUAUUACGAACUCCAAAAAGUCAUCAUGGCAUCACACACCACCUACUAGUGCUACACGAUGCCAUCUAAUUCUCUAUUAUGGUGCCCGACCUCUGUAAUAGUAAAAAAUAUUAUUCUACUUCCCGUGCCAUCACUUCUAAUUAAUAUAAGCAGGAGGUGCUUGUUCAUAUUUAAUAGGAUGUGAUGGGUAUCAUAAUUACUAACACAGACCUAGAGUAUGGGAGCUUAGUGUAGAGUGACAUGUUAGUUAUGCACCCAAUCUAAGGGAUGUUGGGCUCAAUACGCCCAAAGCGCAGGAGAAAAAGGGGCGCAGACGUAUCCAGAUCCACUGUGAAGCUGGGCGUGGACACGACUAGGUCCAAAGUGGGGUUGGGCGUGGUCGCGCCCGAGCCCAAUUGUGGGACCGGGCGUGGAUGCGUCCGUGCCCAACAUAGAUUUGGACGUGGACGCGCCCGGGCCCGAUCAUGGACUGAACGGGGACGUGUCCAGGCCCAACAUAGAGUUGGGGGUGGUGUACCCCAACCCAACUUGGGGUUGGACACCCGAAAAGACAUAGCUCCAUUUUGGGUUAUGAUUUUCAUGCAUUAUCUCUUAAAUAAGGUUGAGUUGAGAAACUAUGACCCAUCAAUAUCCAAAAUCAUAAGAUUCUAAAAGACACAAAAAAAUCAAAUCUGUCCUCAUAACUUCUCAUAAGUUACUAGGGAUUAAAAAUAAAAAAAGGAGGAGAAAACAAGUCAACUACAAAGAGAAUAUUUUGUUUUAGUCUGUGCUCGUGGAGAUGGAGAGAAGAAAUCAUGGAGGGAAAAAUGGUUUUCUAUGUAUACUAGAUUGAUAUAUUGUUCCUUUGUAUGGGUUAUAUUAUAUAAAGGAUAUUUUUAUCUUUUAAUCAAAAUUAAAUCUUGAAGUAUAAUUUCUAAAGCUAUAGAGAGAGAUAUUAAAAUCGUUUUCAAACCUUGGUAGAUGAGUAAUUUUUCUAUUAUAAAUUGUGUACGGCUAACAGGUGUUUUAGUACACUUGCUAAGUCCCAUUUAACAUUCCAAAUUAAUUCAUGUGUUUAACGUUUUGUUUAUAAUUUAUUAUAGACACUUAAAAACAUCACCAUAUAAACUAUUUAACAUAUUUAAUUAAUUUAAUUGAUUUUUAUUUGAAUAUUUGUUUUUUAAUUAUUAUUUUUACCACAAUUCAAUAAUAAUAAAAUCUAAGAAAUACAUUAUUCAAAUAAUGGUUUACUAUUCAUAUAAUAUAAAUAGUAAAGAAUCUUAAUACAUAUUUUAAUUAGUUUAUAAUAAUUUUCUUGUUGUUAUGUGGCAGAGGCACACGUGAUAUGAUGCAGGUUGCAGCUCGAGAGUGGAUGGCAACACUUAAUUUUUUAUUUUUUACAAACAACAGGUAGUCCGUAACUUUCUUUUUUUUUUUAAGGACGAAUAACAUUCAAAUUCAUCUAAACAGGAACCUUAUGGUCUCUUUAAGCAAUGGAGCAAUACUUCACUAUGAAAAUAAAAUUAUGUUCAAAUAAUACAAUGAAAAAAAAAAGAAAAAGGAAAAGUGUUUUUUUCUCAGAUCUGAAUCCAUGUCGUGAAAAACAUGUUGGGAAUGGUUUCCCAGAUUUCUCCUGCUAUAUCUAUCUAUCAAUUGAUUUGAUGAUAAAGUUUUCAUGUUACCUUCAACCAGUAUGGCAAGAUAAAAUCACAAUAGUUCUCCGCUUGGCUGUAUAGCUGGCGGACCCCACACUUUCUCACAUGACAAUAAUGCAAGGAGUUGUUGUCCAUAUCUUCCACGGAGAAUUCAACUGAGACUUCACUGAAAUUACCAUACCAAAAAUCUUUUGUAGCAUUCAAACAAGGAUCAUAUCCAAGAAAUAGGUGAUCUGACUGGAUAGAUCGUUUGUGCAAUGAGCCAUAGCAACUGGCAAAGUAGCAAUGGAGAACGCAGGGAUCAGCAUGGUCAUUCUUGAAUGGUAAGUACAUUUAACUUGGAAUCCACCAGAGUCGUCAUAAGAUGGUUCGAAUGCAACAACAGUGCACAGCAUGAAACCCAAUAACUCACUACUAGCGCAAUGUGAAGGCAGCUUAAUUGUCACAGAAGCUGCUGAAUUCUGCUGCACAAACCACGCUGGACUUUACAUCCAGGAAGCAAAAAACUAGAUACCCCAGCAGCUACUGAUGAAAUCUGCAUCAUGAAAAACAUGCUCAACUCUACCUCCAAUAAAAACGAGAGAAGAGAUUAAAUACGGGAUUGUACGGGGAUUGCACGUGCGUGCGUGCGAGCGUGCGUGCGUGCGUGUGUGAGAGAGAGAGAGAGACCUCAUUGUAAAGUCUUUUGGCAUAUAGCUGAAUUUCAAGAGAGCAUAUGCCAUGAUAUUGUUGCGUGCAGUCUCAUCCAACAUGAGACAAUUAGUAAAGAUGAAUUCAAAAAUGUUUCCAUCAACUAUAGUUGAUGAGCUUGGGACUGUUCUCAGAGAUGUGCAGCUGUGUGCAUCAGUUCUGCAAGCCGUGGGGAAGUUUUUGUAAGGACAAGCCUCCUGCAAUAGCGUAAGCCAAGAUAUUGGUGACAUUUGAGCAGCCAGAGACAUCAACAAUAACAAUAGACUUCAACAAACAAUACUGUCUGGAAGAUUCCCAAGUUGUUUACAGUCCCUCAAAUUCAAAGCAACGAGUCUACUCAGAUGUCCAAUAGAUUGGGGAAGUUCUUUGAUUGCAGUCUCAUUGAAAUUCAAAUACAUCACAUGCUCUGUAGUCUCUGGGUACAUCUUGAGAUUGAGCAGCCAGAGAGGUCAAGAGCCUUGAGAUAUUUCGAUUUAAUAAUCUUGGAAAAUAAAAGGCUUGUGCAGCUUCUCAGAUCCAAAUCAACAAGCUCUAGAAAUUGAAGAGAUGAGGGAACCACUUUCAGAGUUGUACAAAAUUGAAGAUUCAAUCUCUCAAGAUUUUAGCCUUUGAUAGUCUGGAAUUGUAGUUAGAUGCUCACAAUUACUAAGGUUGACCUCUGUUAAAUUCACAAGAUUCUGCACCCCAUAGCAUUGAUAAAUAUAUAUAUAUAUAGUAUCAGUACAUUUUAAAAUUCAUUUGAAGGAGGAGAAAAAUUACAUGUGUAGUGACUAAACCAUACCUGGUCCCCCUUCCAAAGUCCUCGAACCUUGCUGUGUGAUAGAUUAAGUUCAACAAGGUUCUCCGGAUGAAAAUGGAUGGCAAAGAUUUCAGAGGGUAUCCAUCCCAAUGGAGAUACCUCAACUCAUCAGAAAGUGAUUUGAGACCAUGAGGAAGGUACACUUUACAGUUUUUUUCCAACUUCAUAAUUAUAAAUUAUGAGCAAUCUAAGAUUAUACUGUAGACACAAUUUUGUGCACCUGAAAUUAAACAAGCACAUGUGUACAAAUAUAUGAUUUUAUUAAAUAUAUGAAUGGUACAAUCUCUAUGUAAUAUACUCUUUCAAAAAGAAUAUAGCAAUCCUCUAAUUCUUUCCCUUGGAUUUGAUAUAGUGACUUGAUUUAUUUGAGUAAUCAAGCCAAGAUUUGUGCUUUGCAAGAACGCGAAUUGAGCGGUAUUGCGAAGCGAGAUAUUGUGAUUUAAUGCUUGAAGAGUAACCUUGAUUUGUCUCAAAGUGUUGUUGAAGAACUCUUAUGGGGCGUUUUGACUUGAUCCAAUAGAGCUUCGUUCUUUGUAGACUUCAAGCGUAGAUGAAGAGGCUUGAGAACUCUUUGAGAGAGAGCUUCCUUGCUUGAAGAGAAAGAGAGAGAGCUUCCUUGCUUGAAGAGCUUGUCUUGAAGAAAAUUUGUAUCUCCAGGAAUCCAAUCCCUGCCUUUAGGUUGAGGUCCUCUAUUUAUAGAGAUCUAUAGGGGCUCUCAGGUCCUUUUCCAAUGUCACGCGGCAUAAUUUUAUUGGUUGGUCUUUAUUGAACGGAUCCUGCAUUUAUGACAAGAUAUCUUGAAUAUCUCAUCCCAAAUGUCAACUUUUCAUAGGCCAAAAAAAUAUAUGAAGACUCAUUUGUUUUCUAUGUCAUUUAUUUCAAUUUUAUUUUAUCCUUCUUUAAAGAAUAAAAUAACAUAUGGUGAAAUUUGAUUAGUAGAAAAUUUGUGUUUCUACAGAUGCCCCCUCGAGACAAGUUCACUUACUUUUGGAACAAGUGACAUGUCUCGAAAAAUAUAGUUGAGAGGGUUUAUAUUUUGACUAAAAUUUAAUUUGAUCAUAUUAGAUUUUCACAAGAAGCAGAUAAAUUUUAUUGUGAAAAUAAAAUAUGAUAAUCAAAAUUGAAAAUUAUGGAUCAAUCUUGAUUGAGAUUUAUAUCAAAUCAAUGAUAGAAUUCAGGUCCAACACCUCAUUGAAACUGUUGCAUAUUCAAGACUCAACAAAAUUUAUCUUUAUACCCGUAAGCAACCAAUAAAAUUUACUGCAAUUUCAAUUUCAAACAGCUCCAGAUAUCUUAUUUACAUUUCAGCUGUUCCUUAUGAAAUGUAAUCACUUUCUCUUAGAUAAGCAAAUGGAUUUCAAAUUAGUUGUCUAACAUAUAUACUACGUACAGAAAGCUUUUAUUGGAAUACUUUCCAUAUAGUUCUUUUGGCCAUGAAACAAUCUCAUUUGAUUUCUUUGAACCUUUUAGGUCUCCGACUGUAAACCUUCAAGUCAUUUGUGGUAGAUUCCGCACCAUUCUUGAAGCCACUUCCACCGGGUUCCGCUCAUUGUCACGCUUGUUAUCAUGGCAUCUCUUGUUUGUUCCCACGCCGGCAUUAGUGAAUUGUUCCGUUGGAAGAUAAAUUCCACAUGCAAGAAUGGUUUUCCCCCCUGAGUGAUUCCACAUAAUUGUUGUACAAGCUGUCCAAAUUCCGUUGGAGUUGCUGCAAAUAACCGACGGUAUGGCAAGAUAAAUCGCAAUAGUUCUCUGCUUGGGUGUAUAGUUGGCGAACCCCACACUUGCUCACAUGACAAAAGCAAGGGGUUGUUGUCCAUAUCUUCCACGGAGAAUUCAACUGAGACUUCACUGAAAUUACCAUACCAAAAAUCUUUGUAGCAUUCAACAAGGAUCAUAUCCAAGAAAUAGGUGACUGACUGGAAGAUCGUUUGCAAUGAGCCAUAGCAACUGGCAAAGUAGCAAUGGAGAACGCAGACAAUUAGUAAAGAUGAAUUCAAAAAUGUUUCCAUCAACUGUAGUUGAUGAGCUUGACUGUUCUCAGAGAUGUCAGCUGUGUGCAUCUAGUUUUGCAAGCCGUGGGGAAGUUAGUAAUGAUACAAGCCUCCAGCAAUGGCGUAAGCCAAGAUACUGCAGCUCAGAGAGUUCACUGAUAUUUCAGGCAGUAUAACAAAGUUGUUUCCACUCAGAUCCAAUGCUUCCAGUGAGGUUAAGCAGCCAAGACUUUUAGGCACUUCCAGUAUUCCGCAACCACUGAGGUUUAGCUUGCGCAAAUAUUUUAAAUCCACAUCCUGCUCAAGCAAUCGCAAGUCACCAAGAUAUUUUCCUUCCAAAUAUAUACAAUUUCCCAAUUCUAAGCAACAAAGCCCCUUCAGAUUUCUAAUUGGUGAGGGUAAUUUUUGUAUGCCUGUCCUGCCCAAGUAAAGAUAUCUCAAAGAUUCCAUUGUCUCCAAAAUUCCCGGGAAUCUCUGAAAUUGAGAGCAACCUGAGAGGUUGAGCUUUUGCAGAGAUUUCAACUUGCAGAUACUCCCAGGAAGAAUCUUAAAUUUUGUACAGUUUCGUAGAUGCAAUUCAACAAGUUUGUAAAAACACCCGAUUGACGAUGGGAUUUCUUCUAUUGUUGUCCCAUUAAAAUACAGCUCUUUUAUAUUACACCAAACAUUUGGAAACUCUGUGAUAUUGGAGCAGCCAGAGAGAUUAAGUUUCUCAAGAUAUGCCAACUCAUAAAUGGUACUUGGAAGAUUCUUGAGCCUUCUACAGUUGGACAGAUCCAAAGAAGAGAUUAUCCAGAGAUGACCAACAGAAAAUGAAAAUUCUUCUACUGCAGUUCCACUCAAGUAUAAAUACCUUGUAUUCCCUGGUAUGCUCAGAAACUUGGUGACAUUUGAGCAGCCAGAGACAUCAACAAUAACAAUAGACUUCAACAAACAAAUACUGUCUGGAAGAUUCUCAAGUUGUUUACAGUCCCUCAAAUUCAAAGCAACGAGUCUACUCAGAUGUCCAAUAGAUUGGGGAAGUUCUUUGAUUGCAGUCUCAUUGAAAUUCAAACACAUUACAUGCUCUGUAGUCUCUGGGUACAUCUUAAGAUUUGAGCAGCCAGAGAGGUUAAGAGCCUUGAGAUAUUUCGAUUUAAUGAUUCUUGGAAGACUCAAAAGGCUUGUGCAGCUUCUCAGAUCCAAAUCAACAAGCUUCUCUAGAAAUUGAAUAGAUGAGGGAACCACUUUCAGAGUUGUACAAAAUUGAAGAUUCAAUCUCUCAAGAUUUUUAGCCUUUGAUAGGUCUGGAAUUGUAGUUAGAUGCUCACAAUUACUAAGGUUGACCUCUGUUAAAUUCACAAGAUUCUGCACCAUCAUUGUACUGAUAACAAAAAAAAUAUCCAUGGUCAUAUGUGAAUACUUUCAAACUUCAUAGACCAAAUCUCUAAAAAGAAACAAGAAAUGAAAGAAAUUAAGCAUUCACAUACAUGACACUCACCAUAUUUUUUGUCAAAACUUGAUUGACAUCCCUAGGACUCCAUAACCUACUACGUUUUCCCAGUUCUUUUAUGGAUUCUUGUCGGACAAUUUCGAAAGCCAUUUCUUGCACCAGAUCAUGCAUUUCAAGCUUUCCAUUUGAAAUAGUAAUAAGGCACCUUUCAGCAAGAAAAAAAACUCCAAUAUUUGUUGAGAAACCACAACCAUCCAGUAUUCUCUUCACGUAAUCAAUUUGCUUCCCUUUAAAGAAACACGCAAUAUCAAGAAAUAUGUUCUUCUCUUCAUCACCAAGUGCAUCAAAACUUACUUUCAACAUAUUAUAAAUUUUCAGCUGAGGAUUUCUUUCAAGUUUAUUCAAUGCAUUUUCCCAGUCCUCUUUCCUUAGGUCAAAUAGAAAGGAACCCAAAACAUUAAGAGCCAAUGGGUUUCCUCUAGCAUAAUUUACUGCCCUGAUUGAUAGGCCCAUAUAAUCUUUUGGAAUGUGGUUUCCUUUGAAGACAGACAAACUGAAGAGUUGACGAGCUUCACUGCAAUUUAAUUCCUCGACCUCAUAAAUUUCAUCAGCCACAUUCUUAAGCACUUGUCUAUCUCUGGACCUCAUAUAUUUCAUCAGCCACAUUCUUAAGCACUUGUCUAUCUCUGGACGUUACAAGAAUUCUACUUCCUGGACCAAACAUAUCAUGCCUUUCAAUUAAACAUUCCACUUGUUCUACAUCAUUCACAUAAUCUAGAACAAUUAAGACUUUUUUGUGCCGGAUCCUUUCCUUGAUUAAAGUGGAUCCCAUGCGUGGAGUGUCAAUAGUAGAUUUUCCUGCUCUAAUACUCUGGAAAGGAAUUCCUCUCGCAAGCGAAUCAAGCCACCACAUUCUUCCGAUUUCUCUCUUACAUUGGUAAUAAAACAGCAGCUUUCAUAUUGACUUGAAAUUCUGUUGAAAACAGCUUCAGCAAUGGUUGUCUUACCUAUACCACCCCAUGCCCCAUAUUCCGAUUAUACGAGCUUCAGAUGAUCUAAUGCAUAAAAGUGUUUUGAGUCGUUCAAUGCGUGAAUCUAUCCCAACUAGGCCCUUAGAGUCACCUAAUGAUGUGUGGUUCAAUUUUUUCAAAAUGAAUUGCACAAUUUCACUUACAAGUUUGGACUCGGGCCUACCAAAUACAAGGAACAAGCGUUAGUAAAACAAAAGUUAUCCAAAAAAAAGUAAAUAGAAUAAUGAAGAUAAUGCAGUAUCUUUUUAUUUUUUAUUUUUUUGUUAAGAGUUCAUUUGGAAUUUUUGUGAUCAUUACGCUUGUAGCAACUAACUCAAAUUUCUUAAAUUUAUAAUGUUUCUUGAAAUUCACCAGUGCAUAGCAUUUUUAAGGCUGAUUUAGAAGUCCCAGGAACAUAUACAAUUUAAAAGUUAUAAUUUUGCACAAGUAAACCCACAAGAAGUGCGGUGACACAAGACUGGGCAAUUAAGUUCCAUCACAGUAAUAGUCCUUCUGUGGAUUCAAAUUAACAUGGGAAUCAGUUUUAAAAGCUCAAACUGAGAUAUUAUAACCUUUAAGUGAAAUAAAUUUAUGCUUUUUAAAGUUAUUAUCCUAAACUGGAAAACAUAAACUAGUUAAAUUGCUAAAGAACAUGUCUAAGGACUGCGCCCCUUUUAAGCGAUUAUACUAAAUGACCAUUUCAUGAUGAGCAAGUAUAAUUUGGUUUGCAUACUGAAUAAUGCUAGAAAUACUUAAUUCUGACAUAAUUGAUGUGUUACCUCAAAAAGGAUCGAGUUACUUCACCUAACUAAACAAUGUACUAAGCUAGUAAUUCGAUAAUUGCCAAGUGUUGAUUCUUAAAAAACUUUUAUUAGUAAAGAACAAUGGCAGAUUCUAUUACCAUGUUCAAAAACAUUUAGCCCCUUUGUCUAAUUAGUGUUUUGAAAUUUAAUGUGGAACGGUAACUCCAUCAUUUCCAGGGCAGCUAAAAAUAAAGAAACUUGCAUUCUUUCAAAUUCUUGAAAGUGCAAAGUAAGGGAACUUUAUUGUUCUUAUUUAUUUUCCAACCCUUAGCUAGUUCCAUACCCAUUGGAAAUCAGCCUUUUUAACAUUAUGCAUAAUUUUAGCUAUAUUAGAAAAUGGGCAUGCUAAAAAUGGCACAAAUAAUACUUAUAUUCACGUAUUCAAGUGAAACCUGCAAAUGGUAUAGAAUAGAGAGAAAAGGUUACCUAGUGACUUGUGAAUCCCAUCCAGAAAUAUUGGCCGCAUUUGUCAAGUCAGCUCUCCAGCUUGAAACCUUGUCUAUAUUCCAUUUAAAAUUUCUUUCAAGUUUAGCAAAUGCAUUUCCAAAACUCCCUCUCUGUUCAUCCACAUCAGAUGGGUCUACAUGAUAAAAAACUGGUAAGACAAUCUGCCCACAUGUUCUCUUGCAUUCCAGUAUCUUCACCAGUUCAUCCACACACCACGGAGAAGAUGCAUAGUUUUUUGAGAAUAUCACUACUGAAAUUCUUGAAUCUUCAAUUGUUCUCAACAGUGCAGGUUCAAUUUCUUCACCCCUUUCAAGAUCAUUAUCUAUGAAAGUCUUGAUUUGUUUACGACAUAAGACAUCAUAGAGAUGGCUGGUAAAAGUGUCACGAGUAUCCUUGCCUCUAAAACUGAGGAAUACAUCAUACUUCCAUUGUUGAGCAGUUGUAGAAGAAGAUGCCAUAUCCGACAUUCACUAGCUUGUGCGGAAAAUCACUUGAAAUUAGAAGUUCAUUGAUGCUCUCUUUUUCACCUAGUAAAGAAAAAUUAAGGAUAUAAAUCACAGUCGAUAACACUAAACAACAGUCGAGAAUUUUAAGAGAAGGACAAAUCACUAAACUCAUUAAACACUAAACGCUGAAACCCACCUUACAAAUAUCAAGGAUUCAAAAAUUUCUUCACAAAAAAAUCACCAGAUCCUUCCACCCCAAAAUGCCGACAUAAAGGGAAUACUUGCGGCCUGUUAAUGGACUAGAAAGUUAGAAACCAUGCUCAAAUGUAGGCUUACGCUCCAUAAUUUGAUAAGAACAUAACUUUUUUACUUAAAUCUCAGCAAAUAAAUCUUUCAUUCAGCUAAACUCAAAGGCAAACCGUGAGACUUGGAGCUUUACAGUACGCUUCAUUUAUCAAAUAAACAUGCAAUCUCAAUCAAUAAACCCAGAGAGAGUUGAUAAUUAAAACUAACGGUAGCAUCAAUUUGAAUACUACAAAGUGGAAAGAAGCAAAGAGUUUGGACUUACAGGGUGGAUACAGGAAAGACAGUAAGAGGGGUUCGGCAGCAACUUUCUUGUUUGAUGUUUCAGUCAGCCAAGAAACCAUAGAAGAAAAACAACACUGAUUCCUGUUUCCACCAAGAGAUCGAGAACGUCACAAGAUGAUCUUUUCCAUGGAAAAUGGAUACCAAAGCUAAAAGGGAAGACAAUUCCUAACUAUUGGUCAAGUAGUUUACUGGCGAAGCAGACAUUUCUUUUAAAAAAAUUAAAAUAAUUUGUAUAAAAUUUAAUUGUUUUAAUAUAUCUUAUUAUUUUGAGAUCAUUCAAAAACAAUAUUAUCAUUUGUUAAAAUAUAUAUGUACUCAAAAAUAUUUUUUAAAAUCUGAAAAAAAAUGUCAAAUGUCAUUGGUCUCUCUCUUAACUAAAACUUUCACACUAUUAAUAUAUCAACAAAUUAUUUAAUUUAAUAUAAUCUAGAGCCAAAUUUAAUAAUAUAAUUAUAAAAUUAUAUUAUUAAUUGAUUUUCUUAAUUUGAAAUAAUAAUUAAUAAUCAAAAUAACAAUGAUGAAUUAUAUAUCCAAGUUUCUUUCAAAUCUCAAAAGCAACUAUUAAAAACUCACAUGUGUGAUUGUGAAUGUAGUCAAUAUGAGAUUAUCAAAUACCCAUAAAAAUAAAGCAAACCUGAAUAAUAAUAAAAAAAAGAGAUGUAACCAUUAAAAGAUAGCUAAAAAAGCAGUAUUUUAAAAUUUAAAAAAAAAUAAGUUUUUUUUUAAUUUUUUUCAAAUUAUUUUUUUAUUUUCAAAUUAUUUUGACAUGCUGAUAUCAAAAAUAAUUUUUUUAAAAAAAUAUAUAUUAUUUCAAUACAUUUCUAAAAAAAAAUAUUUUAAAAAAUAAUUUUUAUCACUCUUGCAAAAAGACCCUAGACUGUUUGUUUAAAAUAUUUAUAUGUUUAAACUUAAAAAUAUUUGUUAAAGAAAUAAAUUAUUUCAAUAUAUUUAUAAACAAAAAGUAUUUCAAAGAAUAAUUUUGACUACACUAGCAUUGAAAUUUGUAUAUGUUUAAAUGAAAAAAUAUUUAUUUUUGAUAAAGCAUUUUAUCAUAAAAUAUUUGCUUAAAAUUGAUUAUAUGUUUUAAAAAAAUUAAAAUUUCAAAAUUACUUAAGAAUAAAAGAAUUUAGAAAUAAAAAUUUCAGUUUUUUCAAAGAAAUAAAAUCAUGCUCUUGUGUAGUGUAAGAGCGUUUUAAAUAUGAAAUGAAAUUUUAUCAAGUUGAUUGGUAAAACUUGUUAAACUAGUAUAUUAAAAAAAAUAACAUGGAAAUACAUAAUAAACAUAUUUGAAAACGUAAAGAUAUAUUAUAAGUAUAAUGAUAUAAUGAUAUAUUAAGCUUGACUUGAGUAGAGUUGUUAGUCAAGUUAAAUAAGAUAGUGACCUGGCAAAAUUUAGUACCAGAUUUUUCAUAAUUUAAUCAAAUCUAGUUCAAACUAAACCAAGUUAACAUCUAAAAAAAAUUUAAACAUUAUCGUCCUAAUUGACCUAGUGAGCAUGGAGAAUAUUAUUACCAUGUGAAACAAAUUUAAUGAGCAUACACAAAUUAUAUAUUUUCUGUAUUAUAAAAAAAUCCACAACAAUUAGAAUUUUUUUCUCUUUAUGGCAGGGAUAUGUAUGGAUGAGCCGAUACAUUACUUAUCGAGUAAAAAAUUUAAAUAUUCAUAUUUUAUAUAUUAAGUUUUAGAUAUUCAUAUAGAUAUUCAUUAUUUGACUAUUAUUUAAUAUUUAACAAAAAAAUAAAAUAUUUAAAGUAUGUAUAAAUGUAUUAAAUGAUAAGUGUGUAUCUUGAGUUAGGUUUGGGUUGGGUUUUGGGUCAAUUUUGAUAAUAUUUAUAUUUUAUUCAUUAUGUAAAAUAAUAUUAAAAAAAAGUUUAUUUAUUUGGACUGGGUCGGGUUAGAUAAAUGUUCAUCGAAUUUAGAUUAAAUUGUUAUGGAUAUGUAUUACAAUUUUAUAAUCAAAAUUAUUUUUUUAAUUCAUGAUUUAGGUUGUGAUUAAGUCAUUCAACCAUGGAUAAAAAACUCAAAGCCAAAGAGAAAAAAAAUGAUGGAAAGGAACCAUCAAUUUGUCCUUUGAUGAGCAGAACCUAAAAGAAAAGCAGAAUCCGACAGUGGAGGUAUAGGCAUCCGCAGAAACACGGAACCGUUCGCGCCCAUGUCUUUGGAAUCUUGAGAUUACUAAAAAAUGCUUGCAAGAAAAUAAAAGGUUGUUUUCAUAUUAAAAUAUAAUUAUUUAAUCUUUAUAAUUUUAAAUCUAUAAAUAACAUAAUCUUAUUUUAUUAAUUUCAUAUCUUUUUUAAUUUUUAAAAAAUAAAAAAAAAAAUAAAAAUUUAAGUACAUAGGAUCCAAAAAAAUAUAUAAAAAAAGAAGGUGUGUUUCAUUACCAAAUAACUUAAUUACCAAAUAACUUAAAUAAAAAAUAAUUAGCUUUGCUAAACUAGGAAGACUAAAUUUUAACUAUCGUAACAGAAUAAUAAUAUAUUAAAGUUGUCUCUAAAAGAUAUGCUCUCCAUUUCAUCCAUCAAGUUUGGAUUUUGUCAAAUUUUGCAAAAGAGAAAGAAGAAUACAUCACUGAUAAAAAUAAAUAAAAGAAUAACCUAAUUGUUACAUUCAAAUUUUCUUGGAUUGGACAGCAAUUCACACCUCUACAACCUUAUCAAAAUAAUUAUUAAAUUAUUUCUACCGUGAAACCCAAGUGUCAUAUUAAUUAUGCCUUCUCUUUUUAAUCGGGAGAGUAACAUCGUCAAAACCAUCAUCCCAUAUCAUGUCAUUUGUCUGGCAACAUUGCUCUCUUGGCUUGAAACAUUGCUUCCAAUCCAUCAUUGGCAUGCAGUAGACGAACCCCACACUCAACCACUUGACAACGAUCUAAUUGUAAGAAAUUGUAUACUGGUUGGAAAUGGUAUACUGGUUGGAAUUCAAUUGAGACCUCACUGUAUUCACUAAACAUAUCCUUUUCUUUGGCAACCAAACAGGGAUCAAAUACAAAUAUAAGAUAUGUGUAAAUGUUUAUCUUAUCAAACUUCUCAUGGAGAUAGCAAUAGAGAUUGUUGCUACCCAAUUUUUGACCCAUGUUUUGAUAUAUUUUCAAAAAAUCCAAAAAAUUGAGAAAAGCAAAGAAAAUCCAAAAAUAUGUUUUUUUAAUAUAUUUUCGUCAUUUUAGCAUUUUCAACGGCGUCUAAAAAAGAAUUUAAAUUGUUAAAAUAUUUUCAAACGCGUUCGACUUUUCACACGUCAUUUUUAAAAUCAUUGAUUUUCCGCAUUUUGAGUCAACGUUGAUAUUGCUCGUUUUCAAAAAAUACAAAAAAAUAAGAAAAAUCAAAAUUUACAAAAAGAAAGAAGUUGAGGGACCAAGUCGAAAAACCUAGUAAUAUUUUUGCCUAUAAAUACCAUGCUAAACUUAUUUUUAAAAGGGGGGGCAAUUUUGAAACUUCAGCAAAGAUAUAAAAGAAAAAACCCUAAACCUAUCUUUUGGUUUUCUCCAAACAGCCUACCCAAAGCAGCCGCCCCCUACCCGGUGCAUUUUUGACCCCGCCGUUUCCCAUCUUCUUUGCAAACACAGCCGCCCCACCUUUGGCUUGGAUUUUUCGAGACCAGCCCUCUCGGCCAAAGGAACAAACCAAAAACCCCCACCUCCUGCUUUUUUUUUUUUUUUUCCAACAACCGCCACUCUUUUUCUCCAAAACAGCCGCUGGUCCAACCAUUUUCUUCCACCUCAACUGGCCAGAACAGCAGCCCCAGCUUGGAUUUCUUUUUCCCCACAAACGCCGCCCGAAACGACCACACCACCACCGAAACUCCCCCCCUUGCCUGGUGAUUGUUUUUGCCCCGGUUUGGAUUUUUUUUUUCUCUAAAAACCAGCCGAAGCAGCCACUCCACUUCCCCAUUUCCCCCUCACCUUGUUGUUCCCCAGCCGAAACAAAAAAAGCCAGCCAACAAAGAAGGCUGCCUUCCCCAUCUCCCCGUCAUCUUCCCUCUCGGCCUGCACAGAGCCACCGCUCCUUCUCCCCUCCGCCGCAGUCUCCUAGCUUCUCCACCCGACAGACCCGAACGACAGCCUUCAAUGGUGCCCACGAACAACAGCGUCGCCGCCCGAUCUGCCACCGGGGAAGGAGACAGGAGCAACGGGCAGAAAAAAAGCUUCCCGGCGAGCCACCUAACACUCCUCAACAGAUCUGCGAUUGAGGAAGGAGGAAAGAGGAGCAGAUCUAAGACGAUCUGAAGAAGAGGAAGCAGCAGGCGGAGAAAGAAAGAACAAAAAAAAAACAGAUUUGAAAAAACUAAGAAAAAGUUAAAAUCGACUGAUGUGGUUGUUCUUUUUUGUUGCAGGUCACACCGGCGAAGACAGAGAAGAAGAAGCCAUUCGGGAUCUGCUGUUUCCCAAGUUUCUUCACGACGGCGCGUGAACCCACGCGCCGCUAGUGGCGGUGGUGCGUGGUUCCACGCGCCGGAACUGUUCAUUCAUCCCCAGAAGUCUUUCCGUGCAAAUUCAGGAGUUUUGAGGGACCAUUUUGUAAAUUUUAAAGUUUUAAUGUAACUUUUGUUUAUUUAUUUUAAAUUUGUAAUAUGUGAAUGUAAAAGAAAAAAAAAAGAAAAGAAAAAAAAUAAUAAUAACAAAGGGGAUGUGUGUGUUAGUGUAUUUUUAUUUAUUUAUUUUGAAUUUGUAUUUGUAUUUGUAUUUGUAUUUUGUGGAUGAAAAAGAAAAGAAAAAAGAAAAGAAAAGAAUAAAAAUAGUGAAAGUGUAUGUGUGUGUUUGUAUUUUGUUUUAUUUAUUUGUAUAUAUUUUUAAGGAUGAAAUUGCAAAUACAUUAAAGAAGAAUUUAAUAUUUUGAUCGGAUCACGGUUAAGAAUUAUUAACUUAUACGUAAGUGAUAUUUCUAAUUUCCGAAGAAAAGACAAUUAUUAAAACUUCUUUAACACGUCAAAGCCACGAAGCAGCUUACCUCAGGUAGGGUGCGUUAGGGGUGCUAAUACCUUCCCUAACCACAACCAGUCCCUUACCCGCGAAUCUCUGACAAGACUAGUGCAUCCGGUUUCCUAGUAGCCCGAAAUCAAUUACUAGGUGGCGACUCCAACGAACCAAAUUCAAGCAAACACAAUAAACGAGAUUUAAAUCGCCAGCCGAUGCCGCGCGCUGAGAUUUUUUGGGGUGCGACAGAGAUCAUGUCUAUCACCGUGCUUAUUGCGGAAGUGAUAUGUGCAUUUAACUUCCAACUCAAAGUCCAAAGAAUAAGAUGCAAUGACAACGCAAAGACAGAAACCCAAGAACUCGCUGCUAUCACAAGAUAGCUGGAAUGUUACUGUAGAUCCCCAACUUUGAUGGCUAAACCACUUCCUAGUCAUAACUCCAGGAAGGCAGAAACUAGAUGCCGAUGCUCGAACAUCGGACUUCUCCUGUUAACACAAUUCAAAUAGCAUCUUUUUAAAAUAAGACAUUGCAAAUAUAGAAGGAAAGAAAAAAGCAUGUUAGAGGUUUGAGAAACAUACCACAUGACAGGGUAAUCUGAACCUUUCGGAAUAAAGUUCAGAAUUCAAUAAUUUAUACGUCCUACGCAUGAUAGAAGAAUCCUCCCCUCUAGUGGCUUGGAACCUUGCUCUCUUGGCUUGGAACAUUGCUUCCAAUCCAUCUCGAUCCAGAAUAUGAAAACGAGAGGAGCCUGGCUUGAUCAAAUCAAAGGGAUGUAUCUCAUCUUCAUACAGUAGACGAACCCCACACCCAUAUACUUGACAAAGAUCUAAUGGUAAGAGAUUUCCGUUCAUAAAUUCCGGUUGGAACUCAAUAGAGACUUCACUGUAUUCACUAAACAUAUAAUCUUCUUUGGCAACCACACAGGGAUCAAACCCCACCAAUAUGUGUUCUGAGUUGAUUCGCUUCUCAUCAUACCAACCAUGGAGAUAGCAAUCGAGGUCACAACUAUCACCAUGCUUAUUGAGAAAGUGAUAUGUGCAUUUAACUUGCAAACUGUGACUGACAGAACCAAAUGCAAUAACAGCGCAAAGAAAGAAACCCAAGAACUAUUGUAAAGCUUUAUUGUUAUUGUUAAGCUUCUGUUUUUUGUAAUAAAACUUCGUGUUUUAUCCCCUCUUAGUGUUUUAAAACCACCACCAGUGGUUCCUCCCACCAACAAUUGGUAUCAGAGCCCCGUUCGUCGGAAAACAGAAGAGUUGUGGGGUAUAUCCGAAAUUUCAAAGUUGUCAAAAACAAGUUUUGAUCAUUCCAUAGUGUAGAGCUCAUCAAGACGAGUUCACUGCCGCAAAAAUCAGCCUGAUCGGAGUCCGGGGUGAUCCACACGCGCCGUCUGAAGAUCCGGUGACUGUCACCCACGCGCGCCCACGCGCUCCAGAGGAAGACGACGAGUGUCGUCCACGCGCGCCAUAUUCGAGCCGUGUAAGCCGCCUAAGCCGAGCGCCAGCCGAGCCGAUAGCCGAGUCCAGCCGAGCCACAAGCCGAGCCGUCCUCCGCGCCGAGCCGAGCCGUAUUCCAGCCGCAGCCGAGAGAGAAUAUUCCCCGAAUAUUCCCCAGAAUAUUCCCCAGAAUAUUCCCAGAAUAUUCCCCAGAAUAUUCCCCGAAUAUUCCACAGAAUAUUCCCGGUUCAACCCAGCGAACCGCCCGCCGUACAUAAUUGGUUUUUUGACCGGUUCACCCAUUUUUUGACCCGAUUUCAACAAAGUAAGACCGGUUCCCUACUAUUUGGACCAUUCCGGAUCGAUCUACAGUGUCCGUUUGGCCAAAUUCGGCUCCCAGAAAGGUGAUAUAGUCAUUCAAAGAGCAAAAUGACUACAGAAGGUACACAUACACUCAUCCCGAAGCUGACCAAAGACAACUAUGAUAGUUGGUGCAUCAGAUUGAAGGCAUUCCUUGGGUCACAAGAGUGUUUGGAUAUUGUACAAACUGGUUAUGAUGAACCAGAAUCCAAAGAAAGAGAAGAUGUUUUACAAGAGGCACAGAAGCAAGCUUUGAAAGUCAACAGAAAGAAGGACAACAAGGCAAAGACCAUCAUCUAUCAAGGUCUUGAUGAAGAUACAUUCGAGAUAAUAGCUUCCGCUGAAACGUCACAUGAUAUAUGGGAGGCUCUCCAACAGAAAUACAAAGGUGCUGACAGAAUCAAGAAGAUUCGUCUUCAAUCUUUGAGAGGAGAAUUCGAAUUAUUACGAAUGAAGUCCUCAGAAUCUAUUUCUGAUUAUCAUACAAGGAUUAUGGUGAUAGUCAAUCAGAUGAGGAGAAAUGGAGAAGCCAUCAUAGAUACUCGAAUUAUUGAGAAAAUUUUGAGAUCCAUAGAUCCAAAAUUUGAUCAUGUUGUUGUCGCAAUUGAAGAGUCCAAGGAAGUGGACAAGUUGACAGUGGAUGAGCUUAUGAGUUCUUUGCAAGCUCAUGAGCAGAAGAUUGUAAUGCGAAAUGAAGAUAAGGCCAUUGAGCAUGCCUUACAAGCAAAGCUGUCUUUCAAAGACAGAUAUGAGCAAGGGGAGACUUCAACAGGUGGCUACACCACUCAAGCAGGAAGUCAACAAUCCAGAGGAGGAUUUCAUAGAUUCCAAGGAAGAGGAAGAGGAUCUUGGAAUACAAGCUUCAGAGGAAGAGGUGGUAGAAGCACCACCAGAGGAGGCCGAGGACAACAAGCAUUCACUCCUAGAGGAAGAGGAGGCGGUUACAAUAACCGUGACAAGAGGAAUAUCAAAUGUUAUAGCUGCAAUCAAUUUGGGCACUAUAGCACUGAAUGCCGAAGGAAAACUCCGUUGAGAUACGUGAGCAAGCAACUAUGCAGAAGGAUGAUAGAGAAGAAACUGCAUUUCUUGUCCAACAAGGACAUGAGAAACAUGAGGAUAUAUGGUAUCUUGAUACUGGAGCCAGCAAUCACAUGUGCGGCUACCGAGAGUUAUUUCGUGAUCUAGAUGAGACCAAGCAAGGUCUAGUUACUUUUGGAGAUACCACAAAGGUUCCAUUCAAAGGUAAAGGCAGCAUCCCAGUUAAGUUGAAGAAUGGCGAUUCCAGCUACAUCGCCGAUGUCUAUUAUGUCCCAGCCAUAAAGCAGAACCUGAUCAGCUUAGGUCAACUGUUGGAGAGAGGAUAUAUCUUUUACUCGAAGAAUUGUCAUCUGGCAAUUAGAGACAACAAUGGGAGAUUAAUGGCCUACGUGAAAAUGUCCAAGAAUAGGAUGUUUCCUUUGAACAUCCAGUAUGAUGCAACAAGGUGUUUGAGCGCCAUCACCAACAGUGAAGAAUGGCUUUGGCACCUAAGGCUUGGACAUCUGAAUUUCACAAGUCUGAAGAUGCUAGUAAGCAAGAAGAUGGUCAAAGGUUUGCCUCACAUUGAUCAUCCAGAUGAAGUCUGUGAGAGUUGUGUCCUCAGCAAACAUCACAGAUCCAGUUUUGCCAAAGAAGUCAACUGGAGAGCAAAGAGGCCACUGGAGUUAGUACACACAGAUGUGUGUGGCCCAAUUACGCCUAUGUCGACUGGACAAAAUAGGUACUUCCUCACUUUUACUGAUGAUUAGUAGAAAGACAUGGAUAUACUUUCUGAAGAGGAAGUCAGAAGUAUUCAAUUGUUUUAAAGAUUUUAAAGCAAUUGUGGAGAAGCAAACUGGUUACACGAUCAGAACCGUAAGAUCUGAUCAAGGUGGAGAAUAUACAGCCAACGACUUUGAAGCCUUUUGUACACAACAAGGCAUCAAACAUCAAACGACGCCAGCUUAUACACCACAGCUGAAUGGUGUAGCAGAAAGGAAGAAUCGCACGAUUCUUGACAUGGCCAGAAGUUUGCUCAAAGCAAAGAAGCUGCCCAAGCAAUACUGGGCUGAAGCUGUAUCAUGUGCAGUGUAUCUGUUGAAUCGCUGCCCAACCAGAAGUUUGCAAGGAAUCACUCCAGAAGAAGCAUGGAGUGGUCACAAACCAAGUGUUACUCAUCUACGAGUCUUUGGUUGUGUGGCAUAUGCAAAGAUCCCAGAUGCAAGAAGGAGAAAGCUCGAUGAUAAGAGCGAGAAAUGCAUCUUUGUCGGAUAUGGUGAAAGAAGGAUGGGAUACAGGCUGUAUAAUCCCAUCACGAAGAAGGUGAUUACGAGUAGAGAUGUUAUCUUUGAAGAAGAUAAAUCUUGGGCAUGGAAUGAUGAUCAAGAAGCAGUCAGAUGGAUCAACACUGAUUUGAUCCUUGAAGGUGAAGAAGUACCAACAGUACUUAUAGAAGAACCGAUUGUGCCAGCAGCUGAACCACAAAGUCCGGUGCACAGAUUCCCUGUAUUCAACAGGAGGAAUACACCAGGAGCAUCAUCAUCAACACCACCAUCAGCAUCCUCAUCAGAAGAACCAAGAAGGAUGCGGAAUCUUGAAGAGCUGUAUGAUGCCACUCAAGUUAUGGAAGAUACAAAUUUAUUUUGUUUCUUUGCAGAUAGUGACCCAUUAAGCUUCAAUGAAGCUGUCACAGAAGAGAAAUGGAUAACAGCAAUGGAUGAAGAAAUACAUGCCAUUGAGAAGAAUGAUACCUGGAAGCUGACUUAUCUACCAGAAAACAAGAAAGCAAUAGGUGUCAAAUGGGUCUACAAGACGAAGAAGAAUGCCAAAGGAGAAGUGCAAAGAUACAAAGCCAGAUUAGUGGCUAAAGGCUACAAACAGAGAGAAGGCAUUGACUAUGGAGAAAUAUUUGCUCCAGUAGCCCGGCUAGAGACAAUCAGACUGAUGAUCUCACUAGCUGCACAACAUAGAUGGAAGAUCUAUCAACUCGAUGUGAAGUCAGCAUUUCUGAAUGGCUUCCUAGAAGAAGAAAUCUAUGUUGAACAACCACUUGGAUACAUUGAUGCUGAAAAUGAAGGCAAAGUAUACAAGUUGAAGAAGGCUCUCUAUGGUUUGAAGCAAGCUCCGCGUGCUUGGAAUACCAGAAUUGACAGGUAUUUUCAAGAUAAUGGAUUUGAGAAAUGUCCAUAUGAACACGCAAUGUAUGUGAAGAAAGGAGCAGAUGGCAGCAUCUUAUUUGCGUGCCUGUAUGUUGAUGAUUUGAUAUUCACCGGCAACAACCCUACCAUGUUUGACGACUUCAAACAAAGCAUGGUACAGGAGUUUGAAAUGACUGACAUUGGUCUAAUGUCACAUUUUCUUGGCUUAGAAGUAACGCAGAAGGAAGAAGGGAUUUUUGUAUCCCAAAGCGGUUACGCCAAAGAUAUUCUUGAAAGGUUCAAGAUGGAAAGCUGCAAUCCGGUAUCAACUCCAGUUGAGAAUGGAGUGGAAUUGAGGAAGAGUAAGGUUGGAAAUGUUGAUCCAACUUACUUCAAAAGCUUAGUAGGAAGCUUAAGGUACUUGACAUGUACCAGACCAGAUAUACUCUACGGAGUCGGACUCGUCAGCAGAUACAUGGAGACACCAGACCAGUCUCAUUUGAAUGCAGCCAAGAGAAUUCUUCGCUACAUCAAAGGCACAAUGAAUGAAGGUAUGUUUUAUACCUCAAGUAAAGACUUUAAUCUUGUAGGCUACUCGGAUAGUGAUUGGGGUAGAGAUUUGGAUGAAAGGAAAAGCACAACAGGGUUUGUCUUUUUCAUGGGAGACACAUCUUUCACAUGGUCAUCCAAGAAGCAAUCGAUUGUCACGUUAUCAAGCUGUGAAGCUGAAUAUGUAGCUGCCAACUCAGCCGUAUGCCACUCAAUAUGGUUAAGGAAUAUGCUGAAGUUUUUGGGAUUUCCUCAAGAAAAUCCUACGGAGAUUUAUAUUGACAAUCGAUCAGCAAUCGCAUUGGCAAAGAAUCCAGUGUAUCAUGAGAGGAGCAAACAUAUUGAUACACGUCAUCACUUUAUCCGGGAACAUGUGAAGAAUGAAGAAGUUCAACUGAUAUCUUGCAACACAAAUGAUCAAGUUGCAGACAUCUUCACAAAGCCAUUGAAAAGAGAAGUAUUUAUCAGAUUAAAGUACAUGCUAGGCAUGACAUCCCUCGAUUGAGUUUAAGGGGGAGAUUUGUUGAAUAUUAAACUCAACAUCCAGAAGGUCAAGGAAGGCAACCACCGCCUCACCGGCCACCAGCUGUCACCGACCAGCCGCCAGCCACCAGCUGCCACCGCCUAGCCGCAUUCACACCAUUGGCCGCCAACCAUUUUUCACACCAUGACGGUUGAAUUUUGAGCCGACUGAAUUUGUGUAUAAAUAAGCAUCUAAGCUAAGGUUAUUAUAAGUGUGGAGAGAAGAGAAAAACAAUAGAUAGAGAGAGAGAGAGGGUGUGUAUUGUAAAGCUUUAUUGUUAUUGUUAAGCUUCUGUUUUUUGUAAUAAAACUUCGUGUUUUAUCCCCUCUUAGUGUUUUAAAGCCACCACCAGUGGUUCCUCCCACCAACAAGAACUUGCUAUUAGUCAAAUCUGAAGAUAACUGGAAUGUUACUGUAGAUCCCCAACUUUGAUGGCUAAACCACUCCGGAGUCGCAUUUCCAGGGAGGCAGAAACUACAUGCCCCUUCUGGAACAUCAGGCAGCUGUAAACACAAUUCAAAUAGCAUCUUUUUUAAAUGAAAGGUGGCAAAUAGAGAAAGAAAAAAGAUGUAUAUCAGAGGUUUGAGAAACAAACCUGAUGGUAUAACCUUUUGAUGUAAAGUUGAAAUUUCAAUAAUAAGUAUGCCAAGAUAUGAUUGAAACAAAGCAAUCUCGAGCAAUUGGUGAAAAUGAAUUCAAAAAUGUUCCCCUUAACUACAGUUGAUGAGCUUGAUACUAGAUAAUGCAAACUCCUGCAAUUGUCUACAUCCAACUUUGAUAGUCGUGGUGGAAGAUCCGGUAAUGAUUCAAGUCUUUUGCAAUUCCUUAAUCCGAGAUAUUGCAACUCAAAGAGUUUAUUGAUGCUUAUAGGUAUUCUCUGAAAAUCGUUUCCACUUAGAUCUAACACUUCCAGUGAAGAAAAACAGCCAAGACUGUCCGGCACUUCCGAUAGACUGCAACCAUCUAGAUUUAGCUUACGCAAACAAUCUAAAUCCACGCAUCUCUCGGGCAAUUGCAAGUCAACAAAACAUUUAAUGUCUUUUAGAUAUUUGCAGUUUCCCACUUCCAAGCAGGCAAGUCCCUUCAAAUUUCUAAUCGGUGAAGGCAACUCUGUUAUGCUUGUCUGUUCUAAAUAGAGAUAUCUCAAACAUACCAUCGGCUUCAAAACUUCUGGAAACUUCCGAAAUUGGACACAACCUGAGAGAUUAAGCCUCUCCAGUUUUCUCAACUUGUAGAUGUUGCUUGGAAGAAUCUCAAAUUGUUUGCAGUUUCUUAGGUGCAAUUCAACAAGAUCACACAAACAUUCUAUUGAGGAGGGAAUCUCUCGUAUUGCUGUCCCAUUUAAAUACAGCUCCUUUAAAUUAUUUGAAAACUUUGGAAACUCCGUGAUACUUGAGCAACCAGAAAGACUAAGUUUUUCAAGACAUACUAACUUAGAAACCGUACUCGGCAGAUUCUUCAGCCUGUUGCAGCCAACUAGAUCUAAAUAAAUGAGUUUCCUUAGAUCACCAAUUGAAGAUGGCAGUUCUUCUAUUGCAGUUGCAUUCAAGUACAAGUAUCUUAUAUUCGUUGAAAAAUCAGGAAGCCUGCUGAUAGAUGAGCAGCCAGAGAUGUCAGCAAUUAGAAGAGAUUUCAACAAAUACGUGUUUUCUGGAAGAUUCACCAGGAGGUUGCAGUUGUUCAAAUUCAACGCAACAAGUCCACUGAGUUCCUCAAUUGAUUGGGGAAGCUCCUCAAUAGCAGUUUCAUUUAAAUUUAAGUAUGUCAGUUUCCUUGCAGUUUCUGGGCACUUCUUGAGAUUUGCACAACCAGAAAGGUUUAGAGUCUCCAGACAACUUGAAUUAAUUCUACUGGGAAGAUUGAUUAGUCUUUUGCAGCCUCUCAAAUCUAAAUCAACAAGCUUGUCCAGAUGCUGUAUAGAUGAAGGCAACAUAACCAAACUUUUACAGAAUUGAAGAUUCAAUCUCUCAAGGUUUCUGGCCUUUGAAAGGUCUGGCAGGAAAGUUAUGUGCUCACAAUUGCUGAGG